UUUUUUUUUUUUUUUUUUUUUUGAGUUCAAUCCACCAAGUGUGAACCAUAGGUUGCAAGUGUUCCUAAGGAACAAUUUAAACCUGUUAAACAACUGAUUCCUGUAAGGCUAAUGCUUCCAGGCUUGGGGUCUGGCUUUGACUUCAAUAAUCACAGGCUUACCUACUCGAAGCUCAAAUUACAAUAAUGUAUGUCAGAACAUGUUAAUUAGCAUACUGCCAUCAUUGUGUUCAAUUCAAAGCUUCUUUUUAGUACUGGAUAAACCUAUCAACGAUCAUUUUUUCUUUUGAUGAUUUGCUGAAUUAUUUUAGUUGAAAUGAUGAUUUUAGGGAAGUUUGCUCUGCCUAAUUAUUGAUGAUACAGUUCUCUUCUAUGUAUCCUGUCAGGCAUUAGACCUUGGGAGAGGUGCGAAUCCAGGAAGAUAUAUUGUUGAAGAGAUCUGGGAAGAGCUUGCUAAAGCAAAGUACAUGGAGUGGGAGCAUGAAUCUACAAUGCGCUCCUGGGAGCUUCAGAACUUGAAGUAAUGGCUCUUCUAAUGUUGCUUAUAAAUUUCUGUUACUUUUGUUGGAUUGUUAUACCAACUACAUAGGUUGUCUCCCCAUAAUUUUUCUUGUGUAUGCGCCUCAGAGAAUCCUGUGAGUCAGCUCUCAAGGAGACCCAUAUGCUUGACAGUUCUCAGACAGAAGGGCUCAAAGAUGAAAACUCAACAGCGCUUUUGAAGCAACUGGAAGCUCUAGGUGAGGUUUUCAUGAAAGCUGCAGCAGAUGAUAUUCCAACUGAGGUGAGCAUUCAAGCAUUUAUCAUGUUAGUCAAUUCUCCCUUUUGUAAGCAAGUAUGUUGUAUUAACCUUUGACACUUAACAAAAUUCCUAGGUUCCUGAUUACUUGUGUUGUAAAAUUACUCUUGAUAUUUUUCGUGACCCUGUAAUUACUCCGAGUGGGUUUACAUAUGAGCGGGCUGUGAUCCUUGAGCAUUUGCAAAAGGUAAAUUUGUUUCUCCUCCCUCAUUUCAUCUUUGUUUUCCAUUGGAUUUGUUAAUUUAUGUUCCUUAUCCUGUGCUUGGCAAUUUAGGUGGGCAAAUUUGAUCCAAUCACAAGAGAACAACUUUUGCCGUCCCAGUUGGUGCCAAACCUGGCCAUAAAAGAAUCUGUGCGGGCAUUUUUGGAUAGGCAUGGCUGGGCAUACAGGAUACAGUAAAUUUUUCGUUGGGCAUACAGGACACAUGUCCUUGGUGGUGCUAGUGAAACCAAGAGCCAGAGGGGCGGGAGGACGCAUCUUUUGGUGGUAGUCAUCUGGCUAACUGCUUCCAAUAUGAUUCAAUAUUAACAUGGUUUCCUGUGUAAUUCAUGUUAACCUCAGUUGUACAGUGUAGUGCUUUUGUACAUUAAUUGUACAGCAAACCAUCGCGAGUUUUUUGUAAGAUGUUACAGUGAUAUACUGUUGAUCAAAUGAAACAAUAGUUUUUUGAUAAAGCUAGCUUUUGUGUGAAGAAUUUGAAAAACUUAAACUAGCUUCUGACUUAAUUUUGCAACAUGUUCACCAUCAAUAUAGGCACAAAGGGGGAGAGAUAAAGCUACACUCUAUACCCCAAUGACCAAGAAUGAAUUGGAUGGAGAUAGGGAUGGCAAUGGGGCGGUGUGGGUUGAGCUUAAUCCGCUAAAUUUUUAAUCCACCCCGCCCUGCAUUACAACUCUUUUCAUUUUCAACCUGCCCCGCAUAAUUUUUUUAAUAUUUUCUUUUUCUAGUUAUGUUUGAUACUACAAAUAAAAUUCAUAAAAAUAAAUUCAUUUUUUCAUUAAGUUGUAUUAAUUUAAUAGGAUAAUGACUUAAAAUUUUGUUUUUUAGAGGUCAAUUGGGAAAUAUGUAAGAAAUUGUAUUCUUUUUUAUUGAACCAUUUUUAUUUAUUAUCUUGAAUAUUUUAGUAGCUUUAAUGAAAUUAUCUUAAUAAAUAAUGCUCUAUCACUCUUAUAACAUGUAAAAAGUUAAAAUUAAGUUUGAAUCCAAAUAAAAUCACAUAUACCCGCAACCCAUCCCUCCCCACAUUAAUUUUUAAAAAACCCACUCCAACCCGACUCGCACCACACAACCUUAAACCUGCCCCGCCCCACAUAGCCUUAAACCCGCCCCGCCCCAUUGCCAUCCCUAGAUGGAGAAUCAUGAGGCCUCUCACGUUCAAAUUCUAAUGGAGGCAAAAAUAUUAAGUGAUUUCUUCUCACAUGUCUUAGGCUUGAUGGAUAGGGUUACUCAAUACUUGUACUGGAAGGUAGUAGGUUCCCCUUAAAAUUUUCGAGGUGCAUGCAGUUUGGCUCCGUACACCACUGAUGUAAAAAAAACAAUUACUCCCUGACAUUUUGUGUCUGUUAUUAACUCAAUUCCAGCAGUUAACCCUUUCCACAUUGAUUCCAAUUUACUCUGAAAACAAAGUCUCAACUCAAUGUCCGGCGUAUCUCAUUUUACUUAGACAAUUCACUAUCCAUGAGUAGUCCCUCUACGCUUAGGACAUCAAAAUAUCGAAUCAUGAAUGAAUAAAGAAAGAAAGGCAUGAGAGAAAAGAAUUGGCUAGUGAUUGUGAGACCUCAAUUCUUAACAUGACAAGAAAGGAAUUGAUUUUUUUUCUUUUAAAAAAAAUGAUUUUUUUUAAUCUGUAAGCAUAAAUUGAUGCAACAAUAAAUAAAAUUAAAGAAACAACACGUUGACAAGUGGCACUUUUAUUCUACUUUUGCCACAUGCAAGGAAGUAUCCACCAACAAAUAAAUAAAUUAAGAAACAAUAUUUAUAUCUUGAACAGAAGCAAUACAGCUAUCUCUAUACAAAUUGUGAAAGGGUAAAAACUUGUAGGUACUGAGUUUUCACACCAAAUCAACAAAACUACUCGUGAUCAAGUUAUAUAAUGAAGUGGAAAAACAGUAUAUUCAAAUACAAUAUACAUAUAUUAAUUCGAUAAAAGCAUUCGAUCCAAGUAAUUUUUUAUCGAAAAGAGUGCAACUUGUAAAUAAAUAAACAAAAAAUAAAGCAUCAUAAAGUCCUUACACUUUGACCCUUUACGUAACCCAACCCUUCAAAAAAGAAAUAGAGGCUAUAACAACUUUAGUAAGGGCACUUUGAGCUUCUACAAAUACCCUAAAGUCAAGCCUGCAAAGAACAAACAAAUCUUCUUGAAAGGCCAAAAUAUAUUAAAAUAAAUAUUAUUGCCCUAUCGGAUCUCUUGAAAAACACAUUAUCCAUUCAACAACCUUAUUUUAUAUAUAUAUAUAUAUUAAAUAUUUCCUCCAACUCAGUCUUAUUAAAUACUGUACUGAUAUAGGCCACUUGUCCUCAAUAUUAACUUUUUAAAAAUCAUUCAAUGUCCAAAUGUCCAAACUUUACUUAUUUGAUCAAUUAAGAUUUGUCAGAUUAACGACAAUUUUAUUAUUUGAAAAAUGGCAAUAUGAAUGAAUCUGAAUUUUAAAGCAACGAGUACUAAACUAGUUGAGGAUAUUAUUUUUCAUAGAGAGAACACCCGACGAAAAUUAUUAAUUUUGUCAUCGAACUAUUGACAGUUUUAAACUACAUGAUACAGCGAUGGUUUCAAACUCUUGUAGAAGCAUGAAACUCUUAAUAAAAAAUUAAGAAAAGUGCUGAAAAAAACUCCUAAACUUGGCGAGAGUUUAGGGAUGUAUUUCACUCAUAUUGCAAUAUCGAAAGUGUAUUUAAGUUCAGUUAGUCAAAUAGAAGGUGUUUCUAAAAUUAUCAAUAAUUAGAAGAUGAAACUAAUAGUUCGCACCAAAUUUAGAGGUAUUCAAUACUUCUCUCUUUCAUAUAUUAUGUAGACAAGUGUAUUUUUCUAAUGUAUAAUAUGUUCCAACAAAUACUGCGUCGUCAACCCGUCGAUAUCGUAUUUUUAAUCAGCCGCCCGAAUUUUGAAACUGGAUUUUCCAUGUUGUCAACGACGCUGCCUGCUCUGACCACUGAAUUUAUCUUGUAAAAAAUGCUCCUUGCCCAUAUCUAUGGCACGUGAAAUCUUAACUAGGCUAUGUAUGCACACAAUAUGCAUUCGUCGCGUUACACAUUGCAAAUAAACAAUCACAAUUCACAAAUCAAUAAUAAUAACAUGUUCAGUAUAUAUAGGAGACGAACUGAUUGGCUUUUCAAUUGUUACAUUCAUAUUUUCAUUCAAUCAAAUACAAAUAUAAGUACUUGUAAUAUGAAUGAAACAGAAAAAUAAAUAAAUGGAUCUAUUACUUUAUUUCAAAAUUUGAUUAAUUAUUGUUAUCUGUCGUCUAAUCAUCUAGUACGAGUUGUCGCGGGAAACAACAGGCAGUUGUUCACGGCGGUAGUGUUAAACCCGACGGUCCGGCAUUUUACCGCAUUAGUCUCCUUUGACGGUGACAACCACGCCGGCGAGUUCGCCGUCGGUAUGAUGUUUGUUGUUCUUUUGUACGAACUGAACCAUUUGUUCUGCAUGAACCGGUGUUUCCUCCAUGGCGGAAACGUGAGGCCUCUGCUUUUCAACGAUCGUCUCGCCGCAUCGCUCAUUGCUCUUAAAAUCUGCUUUAGUUCUUCACUUUUGCCAACGAAAAUAUUUGGUAAUGACUGUAAUAACCGUUCGUACUGAAUCGUCGGCCUCACGAUCUCGAACUCUGCUUUAAAAUCGAGAUCGAUGAAGUAGCGAGUAGUGAUCCGAUUGGCGGAAUCCGAUUUCGUUAUGUCAAUAAACUCAUAAUUUCCGGCAGAAAGUCCGCCGGAACUCUCCCAUUUCGUCUUACAAACCGCCGCAUUGUAACCGAAAUUCCUCAGGUAUGCCAUUACAUUCCUCUGGAGCAUCGAUUUAUUCGAUUUAAAGCACGAAAACACUUCCAAUCCCUUCGCAACGCAAGAUACAAUCACAUUACGAUACAAAUCGAGCUCGCUGCAGAAAACAGGGCUCGGCAUUAUCUCAAUCCUGUCAAUUGAAUCACACAUUGAUACAUCAAGCUCAGAAUCUGAAUCGUUCUCCGGAAUUUCAUCUCCGGCAUUAUUUUCCAAAUCACCGAAAACGAGAUCGGAGAAACUAGGAGAAGCAACAUCAUCAUCAUCGGCAUGAGCACUGUGUUCACUGCCGCUGCUGCCAACAAUCCGAGCCUUCAUUUUUUCGUCUAACGGGUCAGUAACUCUCUUCAUUCUGCUAAAACCAGACAUUUUUUUCUCCCUUCAAUUUUUAGUAAACCACAAUUAAUUCGUUGUGCUUAUUAAAAGAGCUAUUUGACACGAGAAUAUUCGAAUAAAAACUAGAAUUCGAAACAGAAAAAAAAAAUGUGGAGUGAGUAAUGCUUUUAUAAGUUUUUGAAAACAACAGAAUGAGUCAUUGAUAAAAAAGGAUAUACUUAGGAAAAUUCUGGUAAUUAAUUGAAUGGCUUAAUUAGAUAGAUAAGUGUAGGGGCAUAGGGGGUACAUAUGACUCUUCAGAAAAUCGAAAAGGUAAAUACUAAAAAAUAAUUAUUGGCUGCAUGGAAUUGGAUUAAGAUGGGAAAACGUGUUUUUGGGAGCUUCUAUUUUAAACUAAUCAAAAAUAACUAUCGCGAUUUUAAGUUAAUAUAUAUAUGAUUUGGAACAAAGAGCUGUGUACCAUGAACAAUAUGGAUAAGAUCAUAACAAAAAUGUCAAAUAAGCUAAGAAUUCAAAGUUUCUCUCCGUCCUCUAAAAUCGAAGAUUUGAAAUAUUGGCAAUGUCACGACUAGUGAUAUAUUAUGGUAUAUGGCUGGUUUAAUUUAUACUCCUAUUGAAGGAUAGUUGUUAUGACUUGGGUUACAAGAAAGUGAGCUGUAGAAAAUCUUGAGCUAAUUUUGGAAAUACAUUUGCCUUUUGUCCUUAGAAUAUAAAACUACAAAACUGACUCUGUAUACACAUUGAUUAUGCAUUAAAGCAGCCAUGGAUUCGAUAGUCGAUGCCAAACUUUGCGGCCAAGCAAGAUUGUAUAGUUGCCACAUAAGCAUUAGGUCAUUUUUUAAAAAAAACUUUUUCGAUUUAAGUUGAAUAUGUAAUUGUCUUUGUUAGAGAGUACAUAGAACUUUGAAUUUAAUCGGAUCCAAUACCUGAAUUGGAUGGGAAAUUAAAGAAGGGUCAAUUUUUUGUUCUUUUGCAUUAGGUCCAAGUAUUGCCUUUUUUGAAAUGAUUUUAAAUUGGCCAUGGGACAAAUUAAAUACCUAAUAAGUGAAAAUUAUACCUUCAAUUCAUAAAUCUCUCUACCUAAUUGUCCAACUGUUCUCACUUUAUUUGUUUCCAAAUAAACGUCAUAGAGGCCUAUUUAGAGCAUGUUUGAAUGAGCUUAUAGCUUUUGACUUACAAGUUAAUCUCCAUAAGUUAGUAAUUUUAACUUAUGACUUUCGAUUUAUUUGGCUUUAAACAAGUGUUUAAAAGGAUUUUAAAGGAAAGUAUUUAAAAACUACUUUCAUUUAAAAUAUUUAAAACAAGUCAAUCUAAACAAACUCUUAGCCUUUUCGUUGUGUACUUUUAAGUUUUCAUUAACACGCUAAUGCUAUGGAUGUGCUGACUGCUUUUAAUCGCUCUAUCACUUCAUGCAUGUACCAUGAUUCCAAUUUCCAAAUUGAACCUCUUUGGAUUAGCUAAAUUAAGUAUUUUAUCAGUCCUAAUUUAUGUGACAUAUUUUUUCUUUUGUGUCUGUCUAAAACAAUGUCAUCUUUUCAUAAUACUCCCUCCGUCCAACAAUAGUUGUCCUCUAUAUUAUUUUGGUAUGUCCAAUAAUACUUGUUCAUUUUAUGAAAUCAAUGGAUAAUUUUUACAUUUAGUUUCUAAUUUACCCUUAUCAUUAAUUAUAGUUAUUCCUCUAUUCUAUUUUUCAAGACAUUAUAUUUAUUAUAUUCAAAGAGUAAUAUAGUAAAAUUACCCUUAUAUUUAUAGUUUCUUAAGAAGUGUGCAAAAUUAAUAAUAGCCAAGUAUUGUUGAACAGAAGUAGUAAUAAGACGAACAUGAUAGACUAUAGGCAACAAUUUUAUAAUUUUAUAUUUAAUAUCAUUACCCGUAAGCUUCCCUUCAUUUUUCUCAUUUUUAUUGAAGAAUAAUAUGCAAACACAUAAAAUAAUAGAGGAGAAUUGUGAAUAACUGAAUUAAUUCUAUUUCUAGAAAUUGACUUUGCAGAUUACAGAAACCUCAAAUACAACAAUAUGAAAACAUAAACUAAGCUGGGCCAACUAGCAUGGUCCAUUGGGCCGAAUUUUCUCAAUUCUACAGCCCAUUUCAUUCGAAGCCAAUUAAGUAGGCUGCAUAAUUCUGAUCGAGUCAUUUAACCUCAGCACAUUGUCAUUUUAAGAGCCUGUUUGACAUUACUAUUAAAAAUAACUUAUUUUUAGAAGCACUUUUAAAAAAUAUUUUUGGAAAAAAAUAAUUCGUAUUUGGUAAAUUUAUUUGAAAAGUGAUUUUCAUAAGCAAAUUGUGUUUAACUAAUUUUUUUUUAAAAAGUGCACUUAAGAGUCAAAUUACAAAAAAGGGCAACUAUUAAGUACUUCUAAUAUUAAAAAUAUUAUAUAGAGAGAAACUAUUUUAAAUAUCUAUUAUAAAAAAGAUAAUUAAAUUUUAUUUUUUUUAAAAUUAAAAUUUACAUAUUUAAAUUUUAAAUCAAUAUUAUAUCUUUUUUGGGAGGCUGAAAUCUUUAAUUGUUAUUUUUUUCUUCUUUUUUCUAAUUUUGAAAAAAAUAUUGUUGUUACUUUUUUUCUAAUUAUACAAACGUAAAGUAAAUUAUAAAAUUCAUUAUAUAAAAUAAAAAAUAAAAUUCUUAAAUGAAAUUUAACCAUAUUUAUGAAAUAUGCUAAUUUAUUAAUAAGAAAUGUAUUGAUAAAUAUGUAAUUAUGUAUAUAUGAAAAGAAUAUUUAGUCUUGAGAAAAAUAUUUCUUGUUUCUGCUUUUUUUUUAAAACAUAAAUUUUUAGCUUCCUACCAACCGCAGAAAAACUGUUUCUGCUUCCAUUUAAAAAUACUUUUACUGAUUUACCAAACACUUAAUUUUUUGGGAAAAUUACGCGGUGAAGCAAACUUAUACUACUUAAUUACUCAUCAUAGCUAUAGUUUGCUAUAAUUACCACUCACGACUAACAUUAUACAUUAAUUACGCGGGCUGACUUCGAGUUUGUAUAAUUUGCCACGUUUGUAUAUGUAUAACUCGCCAGAAUAUAAAAAUUCAUAUGUAUAAUAUACAAUUAUCUAACCUUUAUACAUAUACAAUUAAACCUCUCUCCCACUCUCUGCCCUCUCUCGCUCGCCUCUCUCCUCCCUCUCCCAAUCUUGCUUACCAUAUAUACAAAUGCAUAUGUAUAAUAUACAAUUAUCUAACCUUUAUACUAUAUACAAUUAACUCUCUCCCACUCUCUGCCCUCGCUCGCUCGCCUCUCUCCUUCCUCUCCCAAUCUCGCUCACCUCUCUCCCCCCUAUCCCAAUCUCGCUUGCCAUAUAUACAAAUACAUAUGUAUAAUAUACAAUUAUCUAACCUAUAUACAUAUACAAUUCACCUUUCUCCCACUCUUUGCCCCCUCUCUCUCGCCUCUCUCCUCUCUCUCCCAGUCUCGCUCACCUCUCUCCUCCAUAUAACAUGUAGCUACGAAUUGUAAUUAUCAAACUAUAGCUAUGGAGAGUAAUUAGGCUAUUUUUGAGUGGCUAUAUGUGAAAGUUCCCCUAAUUUUUUCUAAAAAUAAGUGUUUUUGCCCUCCCAACAACAAUGUCAAACAAGCUCUAAGGCAUGAAAAAUUAAAAUUGCACCGAUGGCCACUUUGAGAACCCCUACUUAAAGUAUAGUUAAAAUUCACAAUUUUUUAUAAGUUUAGGGCUUAUUAAUUAUUUUUUUCGUCUCAAUUUAUGUGAUACGGUUCUAAUUUGAAGAAUCAAACUUUAAAAUAUUGAUGGUAAAUUUGGACUUUGAACUUUCAUGUUUUCUGAAGUAAAAUUUACAUAAAAAGUAUAAGUCACUGUAAUUUCUCAUUCAAAAUAUUUAAAGACAUGAAAAAAUGCGUAAAUCUAUUUGACUCUUGAAAUUUGAAAUAUGACACAUGAAUUAGGUGAGUGUUCAUUACAACAAAAACAUCUUUUAGUGGCAAUAAGUAUACACAGUAACAAAGAGUGUUAAAACGUUUAUCAGCAUUAGUUAAUUGACAUUAAAUCCAAUGUCGCUAAAGACUUUAGUGACAUAUACAGAGAGUGCUAAUUGUCGCUAAAAGUACAUAUUUAGUAACAAUUAAGCUAUUGCUGUUAAUAAAUUGCCGCUAAAGAUCAUUUUUAAUGUGAUGAUUAUUUUGAAUAAAAUAAUCCAAAGCAGCCAAGAUAUUUAAUUAUCCACCAACACACCCCUACUCAAAGUUGUUAAUCUUGUCAUCAUCAUUAGAAUUAAAAAGGCUUAAUUGUGAUUGCAUGUACAUGACAAGGCAUAGACCCAACAUUUUAUGACACAUACUAUAUUAUAAAAAUAAGUUUGUGUCAAUAUGUCACUGUAGAGACCAUCAAUCAACAUUGUCUAAUUUUUUACUUCUCAUGCUUCUUUUGUUGGUAGACAAUGGUUACACUUGAUUUAAUUACACAUUAUUUUUUUAUUUGCUUUUCAAUCACACACAUACCUAUUUUUUAGUUUAAUUAUUUUUGUUUUUUGGUGUGUCUCUUUCUAUUUGUUUAUGUUUAUAUGAGUAGCAAUUAGGUUACUUAGAGACUAGGGUAAUAAAUUGACACAAUUCAUACUUUCAUUAGUCGUGUUUUGGUCAUAUGAAUUCACAGGUAGAAUUACAUUACAAUAUUUUAGAAUCUUAUCCAUAAAAUUUAAAAUAUUAUGUUAAAGACUAGUAAAAAAAUUUAAUAUAGAAGCUGAAAUUGUUAUACUAAAACAAAAAAUCAUUAAUAUGGCAUAUAUAUGCUAUCAUGAUUAGAUGUGUCAAAUUGCAAGAUAUUCUCCUUACAAUGUUUGAAGUCUACCCGUUACGGAUAGCUGAGUUAGUGCGCAAUAGAUAAUAUUUCAUUAUGAAAGUUAAGGAUCGAUUCGUCUUGUCAACACCUUUUUAGUUGAGUUUGUCAACCAAACUUGUGAAAUACGAUAUACAUAUCUCAUAUAAAUUGCGAGCUAUUGCACAUAAGCGAAUUUACCUAAUGCACGAAAGAUAGGAACUACGGGCUGGUUUUCUUUGAAUUCCAAAUUCUUAUUUCUUUAAUAAAGAAACGGUUUCCUUAGUUGUAAAGUUGUAUAAAAAAAGUUUCUUUAACUAAAUACCGAUGGUUGUUGAAGAUGUUCAAUAAUAAAUCGUGCAUAAAAAAUAUAUACACCGUCAAAUAAAUAAGAAUGGUCAAAUACUCCCAUUGUUUCCCAACGAAACUCAUACAUAUAAGUGUAUAACAAAAACUACACAUAAGUUUUUUUAAACCCCCCCCCCCCCCCAAAAAAAAANNNNNNNNNNNNNNNNNNNNNNNNNNNNNNNNNNNNNNNNNNNNNNNNNNNNNNNNNNNNNNNNNNNNNNNNNNNNNNNNNNNNNNNNNNNNNNNNNNNNNNNNNNNNNNNNNNNNNNNNNNNNNNNNNNNNNNNNNNNNNNNNNNNNNNNNNNNNNNNNNNNNNNNNNNNNNNNNNNNNNNNNNNNNNNNNNNNNNNNNNNNNNNNNNNNNNNNNNNNNNNNNNNNNNNNNNNNNNNNNNNNNNNNNNNNNNNNNNNNNNNNNNNNNUCCCCCCCUACCCCCUGGGGUGGGCGGGGGAGGAAAACCCCCCCCCCCCCCCAAAAAAAAAAAAUGUCCUUCUGAAGCACGUCGAUGGAGCUGUGCCUACUUGAAACUCUCUCUUUUAUAAUAAGAGAAAAUUAGUUAAAUUAAAGUAGAACAGAAUUUUUAUUUUAUUUUUCAAAAAUACCCUUGCUGAAGCAGACACAUUGAUGAAGACGUAUCUGCUUCAACUUGAAACUUUCUCUUGUAUAAUAAAAGGAAUAUAAUAAAGGAGACCUACAAGCCUGCACCAUGAUGAUCCUAAUAGUGUUUAAAAUUAUCCCAUUUUAACCAUCACAUUGAUAAUAAAUCGCUGGUACAUUGCUGUAAAAACUUGGACAUGAAUUGUUUGGCAAUGUAUUUGUGUUGGUCAAAGGCAAUGACUAAGGCUAUAAAUGAGAAAAAUAAUACUGCAAGAAAAAGGCUACGAAAUAGUAGGUGAGACGAGAUAUCCAAUGACAUAAAUGUAUUUGUGCCAAAAUAGAUAUAGUCAAAUAUUGCUAAAACCAAAUGCCUAAUAAAUACUGGGAAAAAAAGAUGCCUGAUAAAUACUCCUCCCUUUACUUUCACUCAUUUAUCAUAUAAAAAAUCAAUGUUCAUUUUUAUUUAUUCAAUUUCAAAAAUCAAGUAAUAAUUUAUUAUUCUAUACGUAUUUUAUCUUUAUUAUUGAAAAUUUCAAAGAAUUGUUAGUUGGUUGCACGAUUUUGAGAGUCCCUUUAGACCACUUUACUUGUCAUAUUUUUUUAACAAACUAUGUGUUCGACUAUCAUACCUUAUUUAUUAUCUUUACUCAUACAAAAUAUAAUCUCUCUUUAAUCUCCCUUCAAUAAAUAAAAUGAUAAUCUAACCAAUCACAAUAUUGGAGUAUUACUUCCAAGAAUUAUAGCUAAACGGGAAGCAUGUUUUUUAAUCAUGUCUUAAUUUUUUGAAGUAACAAUUAUAUAUUUUUGACCAUCUAUUUAUAAUAAAGACUCAAAAAUAACAGGUACCUUCCUCAGAUCUCACUUAUUGAAUGUUACUGGAUAUGUACUAUAAUAAAGACGUCAAGUAAUGUGGUCCGGAGAAAAUAAUAGUCCAUUAAGAGUGAUAUAACAAAAAUAUUAUUUUAUUUUGUCAAUAAUAGCUCAAUUAUUGACCUUAAUUAGAGCAUCAAAGAGACUAGCAACACUUUAUAUAGUGUUAGAUCCUCCUACUGCAUAGCCAUGGAAGUUUCAAUGACCACUUAAUUAUCAGUAUUAAUAAUUACGUCGGUGACAUACCGUAUUUGAACAUUGACCAGAAAAAAAAAACCCAAAAAUUGAAAUUUCAUUUAUCCACGUUUUUAAUUUUCUAAGUAUUUAUUAUGUUCCCAACUUCUACAGAAUAAUAUUCUUAUUCGAUAAAUAUAUUUUUACCUACAUAGUUUAAUUAGUUAUAAUACUCUCUUUGUUCCUAAUUACUUGUCCACUUUUCAAUUGGCACACCUAUUAAGAAAACAAUAAUUGACAUAAUGAGUUUACCAUUUUACCCCUAUUAAUUAUAAAGUUAAUGAAUUAAAAACUAAAGAUUUUCAAGAAGUUCUACAUGUUAUAGUCAGGAUAAUCAAUUGGAAACUCUUCGUUGAAAAAUAAUACCAGCUAAUCAUUUUAUUUUUUAUUAAAAAAAAUAUUUACAAGGUGUUGUAGCCCAGAGGCUUUAGACGCCUUGAAAGAGCCAGCGCUUAGGAUAUGCUCACGUGUUCGAAUCUCUCACUAGCAUUUAUUUUUUUUGGACACCCUUCGUGAAAUUCCUGGUUCCGCCUGGACUAAUUUCAGAUUCACGUCAGGAAGUCACACAUUUGAAAUCAAAGCGCUUUCUAACAAAUGUAAUUUUAUAUCCAUGACUCGAAUAUGAGACUAGAGGCGAAUUCCAGAAUUUGAAGCUUAUAAAAAUGAGAUUCUAAUCCUUCAAAGUUAUUGAAUUCUAAAUUAUAAAUAUCGAAUUAGAACCAAAGUUAUCUAUGGCUAAACCCGAAAUUGAAAAGUCCAACACUACUACUUUCCUGUCUAAUACCUAUCAUCAAAGAUGAAUAAAACCUUAUGACCAGUUCACCACAAUCUUUAUUGAUUUCGAAACAAUACUAUCAAUGCAUCAUUCUCAUUGGAAAACGUGGUGUUAUUUGUGGUUGGUAUAGGAAGACAUAUAUAUUGAAUUAUGUAUAAUAGUUGCAUGAUUGAAUAUACAUAUAUUGGCAAAUAUGGCUGGCAUUGCGGCUGCAAUAUUUGAGACAUAACAGUGUCAAUUGUCAAUUUCCAACCCAUAUUCCCACUACUGCCCAAAAUAAAAAAGGGGUCUUACAAAUCAUUUGUUUUUGGACAAUAUAUAUUAUGUAUAUAUGUGACAAAAAUGUAUUAAUUCGAGGUUUCUUUAAUACUACGUGACAUCCUAUUCAAAGGGUCAUUUAUUUUUUUACGAUCUAAGAAUACAUCGUCUCAUUCUUAAAAUUCAAAUAUAGUUACAUAAAAUGAGAUGAAGAUAAUACGAAAUUUUUGUAGGAUAUUUUUCUUCUAUUCAAAUUGUGACUGGCUAUUCAUAUAUUUCAUCUUAUUCAUAGAAUCACAUACUCGUCUUAGGGAGAUUUGCUUUCGUAAUUGAUUAUAUCUUUUAUUUUAGGUAUAUGACAUUUUCACUAUAUAUUUUUAAAGAAUAAUUAUAAGUUGAUAUAGGAGAUUAUUUCAUCUUCACAAAAACAUGAAUGUGUUUGGUAUUUGUUUUCUUUUAUUAAUAAUGGUAAUUCAUAAAUUAUAUUGGAAGGGAUAUUUUUAUAUUAAAAUAAAAAACUUUAAAAGCGCAAAAUACUCAUGAUUCAGACAUACUGUCUUGAUGAACAAAAUAGGAGAUCUUGUCAUAAGAUAUGUGUCGAACGAUCCAGUCAUAUUAUAAUAAAUUUUAAAAGAAAUUAUAAGUUAUUUUAAAAUUUUCAACUAUUUUUUUUGUUUUUGUUUUAACCACAGCUAACUUUUAAAAAAUUAAAAAAAAUGAGAAAAAAAAUCAUAAAAUACAAAAUCAAACUCUCAUCAACUAGAUGAAAAUUCAGCUAAUCAAACAAUUAAGGUACUAAAAUUUCGUCAGUCACCAUCACAACUAACUAGUUUGGAGUUGAAAUAGAAUUUGAUAGAUUGACUCUUUCCUUAAAAUAUUGCACAACGUAAGCCACACUUCAAGGAAAUUAAUUAAACGUUUUUCAGCAGAGAUUAUAUUUGAAAUUUAAAGCAGAAUUAGUACAUCAAACGACCCCUUAGUGUUUUGAAACUUCUUACACCGUCACAUAAAAUUUAUUAGUAAUGAAUUUAUUAUAACGCCAGUUGGAAGAGAUGUGUGAAGAAUAUUUGAAUUGUAUUUCGAAGAAAUAGUAAUUAUAAAGUACUUCCUCUAUCCAUGUAAUUUGACUUGCUACAAUAUUACUAUCUCACUAUUAAUAGUAAAUUAUUUAAUUUUGAAAAUGAAUUAUUUUAUAAACAAGAGUAAGAUAGAUAAAAUUGAUAACUACAUUAUUUUUUGAACAUAACAUCCAGUGGCGGAUUCAUGAUUUUCAUUCAAGUGGUUCGGAAAAAAAAAGUAUAAACGUAUGAAUAAGCCAACAAAACACAAUUCCAAGGAAGUAUAUAGUUUAUGGAUACAAAAAGUUAGUUUCGUUACAAGAGACCAUUUAGCACGUUUGGAUUUUCUUUCGCGUUUGGAUUUUUUGGAGUUUAAAUCUACUCUUAAAAAAAGUGAAAGAUUGGUCUUGAAACUAAAUGAAGAGAAGCUAAAAAAAUAAAAUGUUCACAAAUCACGAUGGGAUUCGAACUCUGGACGAGAUGAUCUUGAAACUAAACGAAGAGAAGCUAAAAAAAUAAAAUGUUCACAAUGACAUUUGAACCUUGGACGAGAGGGUCAAUUUAUAAAGAGAUCUACCACUAUGCUACAUCUUGCUACUUGUUCGUGAGAGGUCAAAAUUAAUAUAUCUACAUAAAUAUAAAAAAAUUAUUUUAUAUAUACAAUAUAAUUUUUUACCGAGAGAGUUCGAAUAAACCCUGAAACCUAUAUGGAUCAGCCUCUAUUUUUAAUAUAGUGAACAAGUAAAAAGGUAGAUGGAUGGAGUAACUAUGAUUACUACUAUCAUAAUAUAAUUAUAUAGUACUAUAUAUUAUAAUUAAUGCUAACCCAACAUUUUCCGAUUUAAUCGGAGAAGUUGGAAUUAGCGCAAUGAUUGACCUGCCAAAAACAAGUUGUUUAGAAAAUAAUAAAUUUAUCUAUGUAACUUGUUUAGAUGGAUGUGUAGAUAUAUUAAGACAAUUAAAUUAGGAACAUAGUUACAUAACAACCUUCAUCGUAAAUAAAUUAGAAAAACGAAACUGAGAUACUUCAGAUAUACGUGAAGAGAAAAAGUUUAGAUGCAUCAAUAAGGAAGUGUACGAGAUUGAAUGUAGUAGAUUUUUAGAGAAGUAAACAUAACUAGGUCAUGAAAAAUUAGAAAAGACGAUCGGACAAAAUAUAACACAACUUAAAUUACUAAUAGAAGCAUAAUAGGUAGUCGCGCUCCUUAGUAUUAUUUCUCAGCAACAGAAAUAAGUUAUAAAUAUGAGACAAAAACUUUUCCUUUCCCUCAAUUUAAUUCCAUUUCUCCAAUUUCUUUCUCUCUUCUCCUUCUUCUUCUUCUUCUUCCUCCUUAAUUGAAUCUCAUUCUAUUGAAACUUUUUGUGUGUUAAUUUCUUCUUUCAUGGAUAAUGACUACUUCUCUAAUGGUGGAAUUCAACCACCAUUCCAUUUUGACCCCAAAAUUCCAUUAAACUCUCUACAUUCACCUCAAGAACAAAAUUCAGAUUACUUUCUAAACACCCAUUGGGACAAUAAUUCUACAGAUAAUCAAUACACCCAUUUUGAUUCAGUUUUGAGUUCGAUAGUUUCAUCUCCAGUACCGUCCAACUCAGUAAAUUCCAAUUCAUCACUCUGCGAAUUGAUUGGGAAAUUGGGUUCAAUUUGUUGUUCUCCUUCAACCCCAUUUACUAAUAACUGUGAUUCCACUAGAACUUCGUGUUAUACUACACCCAUGAACUCUCCUCCGAAAUUACAUAUACCCAUAAUGAACCAAAUUGGAAAAGAUAAAUUACCCAAUUUGGGGAAUUCAGUUCUUAUGAAUUCUCCCCCAUUUCCCUCUCUUUCAGCUGCUAAAUUCUCUGGUUUUGGUAGCCGUAGUUUUAAUGGCAGAACGAGUCAGUAUGAGCUGAAUAAUGAAGAAUCGCGGUAUGGAUCUGGUACUGGAGUUAUGGGGAGAGGAAAUUUGACUAGAAUAUCGAGUAGCCCUUCUGUUGUGCAAAACAAAAACUCAAGCCUAAUGAUGUGUGAGAGAUUGAAUUUGGGCAAAAUUUCAGGUCCUUAUGAAGAAUGUUCUGUUUCUGAGCAAGACCCAAGUGGUGAAAUAGGGUCAAAAACAAGAUAUGUAUUGAAUUCUAAGAAAAGAAAAGCAGUGAAAUCAAAGAAUUAUGUGCCAAUUGUAGAUGAAACUGGAAAAAAGAGAGCAAAAUCAACAGAAGGUAAUGGGAGCAACAAUGGAACUGUUAAAAUGGAGGAACAAAAGGGCAGUGAAGAUGAUGGAGCUGAGAAAGAAGCAAAGGAAAACCGAAAGAUUGCGGAGCCACAAAAGGAUUACAUUCAUGUUAGAGCAAGAAGGGGUCAAGCUACUGAUAGCCAUAGUUUAGCUGAAAGAGUAAGCCUAAGAAGUUCUUCAUCUUUUCUUUUUUCUAGUUUGUGUUAUGAUUAUACGACAAUUUCUAUUUACUUGAUUAUAUUGUCAACACGUCUUUUUACAUGCAAGUUUGAUUCUUUACUAGUAGUGCCUAGACCAAUAUGUGGGCACGUCCACUAAUUCCACGAGAUACUUGUGAUCUCCUACUAUGCACAAACUCUUUGAACCCGAGGCCUAAUGUGUGACGACCUCAUCUAAAAUUUAAAUUUUGAGAGAGAGAAAUUACACUUUUACAUACUAAUUAUACUUGCAAGUUGUAACGAUCUGAAGGCUAAACUGUCAUCUGUAAUUUUGUCUAAUUAUUGCCUUGUUUGCCAUUUGAUUAGGUCCGUAGAGAAAAGAUCAGUCAAAGAAUGAAGCUUUUGCAAGAUCUUGUACCAGGCUGUAACAAGGUUUGUCUCCAAAUACUUCUGUAAUUUCUUUGUUUAUCAUUUUCUUUAACUUUCUUGAUGAUCACAUUGAGUUUUAAGUUGAACUUCCAUUUUGAGUCCAGUUAUAACAUAAAUAAACAACUUUACUAGGUGACUGGAAAAGCAUUGAUGCUCGACGAAAUUAUAAAUUAUGUCCAGUCACUCCAACACCAAGUUGAGGUAAUUCAAGAUUUUGAUGUAGCAUGUUGUGUAUACACUCUACACUCUCCAGACCCCACUUGUGGGAUUUACACGAAAGAUGUUGUAGCUUCUAAUUGAUAUUUAUUGCAACAUUUUGUAGUUCUUGUCUAUGAAGUUGGCUUCGGUGAACCCAAGAAUGGAUUUUCACAUAGAUAGUCUCCUUCACAAAGAAGUAAGUGCUUGAUAUAUAUAUCAAUGAAUGACUUCCUUGUUACAUUCAAAUGGAAUUUCAUGGGGUUAUUUUUCCCUUGUUUCAGAUAAGUCAACCAAGUGGUUCUUUGCACCAACAUGUGUUCCUAGUAGAUGGAUAUGGUGAAAAUCUUGCUCAGGUAAUAAACCAUUUAACAACUCGUCGGUUAUAUGAAUCCUAACUAACUAUAUCGCUCCAUUUUAGCUCAUUUCCGUCCAAUAUUAUGUAAAAAAAAAAGGUACUAGAAUUUCGAUAUCUCUACUGGCAUUUUCUGAUUAGAGUUCAUUUAUACAGCUUCCAACAAUCUGUGAGGAUGACCUCCAAAGCAUUGUCCAGAUGGGAUUUAAUCAGAACUCUAACCAAGAUCUGAUAUUGCAGUCACAGACAUUCCCUGGUAAGAAAAGGAGAAGCAAAGUAUUUUUUUGAAGGGGGGGGAGUUAUGAUAAUUGGGGGCCCGCACUUUCUAUCGCAACUAGAGUAAAUAUCUCAAAAAGUCAUUCAACUAUGAGGAAUUACGUAGUAAAAUCACUCAAUUUCUCAUAGUUGAGUGACCUUUUGACAGUGCGGACCGCAGUAUUCCCCUAUCGACCCUUUAACACUUAUACAAUGAAUUUUAGCUGAUAAUGAGGAGAAAACCUUAAUUUAUGAUUAAUAUAUUUGUUUCUUCUGAUGCAGUGCCUAAUUCUGAAUCUCACAUGAAAAUUAAGAUGUAAUCACCAUUCAUUUGUCCACAAAUUAAGGUCCCCCACAGGAGAAAGAGCUUGCUGUAUAUAAGUAGAGAGAUUUUUAGUUUAAUCUGCUUCAGAAAUUGCUAAUCAACAAGAUUAGGAUUAGCAUUAAGGGAUAUAUUUCCCCACUUAUUGUAAUCUAUAAUUGAUUUGAGAAUUUUAAUUUUUGCUCUUGUUGAGCUAUUAUAGUAUUUACUGUAUAAUGUUAAUAUCAUCUCAUGUAAGAUAUGAGUAUUUCUCUGUAAAGCAAUUAAAAAUGGAGAUUAUUACAAGCUUAAAUUAUUCAAAUAAUUGUUCAUUAGUGUUCUAAAUCAUAUCAAUUGACAAGAUAUAUCCCAAAUUCCAAAUCUUCCAAGAGAUUUGCUUAUGGUUGGUGUCAAAUUAAACAGUGAUUAAAUCAGAAAAUUUUCAAAUAUUUAUGAUUAUUAAGUUAAGUAUGUUGUAACCAGCUGUAUUAGUGACAGCGGUGCUAGCUUGGGCCUAGCGGUUUCAUCCUAAAACCCUUCUAUUUAUAUAUGACUAAAAUUAUUUGUGUAUAUAAUAAAUGUUGAACCUCUUUCGACUAGUUGUGUAUGUAGUGGUUAACUUUCAAUAGAUUAACCAGAUAGAGAAGCUUCUGUUCUUCUGAUUUACAGUGCUAAAAAGUCCAAUAAUUAAAAAAUAAAAAAAUCAUAAGCCUAUUCUUACAAACUUUCUUAAUAAAAAUAUUAUUAUAAGUUAAAUCCCAGGCUGGCAAUUGGUCAGAUUCGGACUAGACCUAUUGAAUUAAGGGACUUUAAUUUUUCAACUAAUCCAAAAAUAAUUAAGUGAACAAGAAAAAGGUUAAAUAAAGUAUUGGAAAGAUACCAUAGAAAAAGAUUAGAUUAAAGAUUUAAUCAUUUGAUAGAAGAAAGUUAAUACUAGUAAAAAUUGGGUUUAACAAAAAUAUUUCUGCUUUGCAGCCUUAACUUUUUUUAAUAAGAAAGAUUCUUUCAAAAAAAUAAAUCUUCUUUCUCUUUUGUUUUCUAAUGUUAAAAUAAAUUGUAGUAAAUUAGUACAUAAUAAUAUUUUGCUAAUUAUAUUUCAAGAUAUUAAGACCGACAAACUUGUCCCCAGCCACACAAAAAAAUGAGAAGAUCAGUGUUCACACUAUUAAUUAUAUCAAAUAAUUCCAAUAAAAUUAUUUUUCAAGAUUUAGAUUACUAUUUUUAAAGAAAUUUUUCACUAUGAUUUUCUGGACAGGACUUAGAUGUUUGUUCUUAAUCUAAUGUUUAUUUUUGGCUAAGUAAAGACAAAUAACAUAUGUAUUUCUUUUUCCAUUUCUGUUUGGCUGUUUCCAAUCUGAAAUUUAUUAAUCCAGAAGAUUCCUUGUUUUUUAAGAAUACAGCAGUAAGGACCACAACUGAUCGUGAUAAAGUAAUAAAUAUUGUUCAUUUUUAAUCAAAAAUUUUAAUUCGAGCUCUAGACAUGAAACUGUAUAAUAGAAAAUGUUUUAUCUCUCAUAAUAUGUGAUGUGAUCCCUUAUUUAAUUAGACCCCUCGGAAAACAGUAAAAAAAAAACAAACUCUCAUAAAUUAUUUCAUGAUUAUCAAAAAGCAAAAAGCAUAAAGUUACUCUAGUUACUUUAGUGCAUCAGUGGUUUCUUUGUUUCGACUCAUUUAACUUUUUACUGAAGCAGUCAAAGAAAUUCCAGUCAUAACUUUUUUUGGACUCUGAAUAAAUUAUUUAUUAAUAUUAAAUAAAUUCUUCAAUGUAAUUAGAACAUGUGAGUUAAAGGUAUUAAGUUCUGUCAAAUUCCUAACUUGCAUGUAAAUUUAGAAUAAGAGGAUGGAUGUAUAUUUUGAUCUGAUUUAUUUGAAUUCAGUAUUUUUUAAUGCGGAACAUAAAUGAUGUAAAUGUUCAUUAAAAUUUUAAUAAAUAGUAGGUAUAAAUUAUAAUAGCCUUAAUAUUAAAAUCUUUAAAGGUGAAACUCUUAAAAUUUAAAUUGUGUAUCCGCCUCAGACAUGAGGGUGUCCAAUGCAAAGUAUACCAUUAAUUGCUAAAAUAUUAAUUAACUUAAUUGGCUACCCUACAAAGUAAAUUAUUACAUUACAUAGAGAAAAAAGGAUUAGUGAAAAUGGAAAGAAUAGUGUUGGCAAUUGACUUGUUUGUAAUUCAAAAUGUUUUAGAAGAGAAUUUUUUUACUUACACGUUUCUAACUAUGAACCAAUUUGGCAAUUGACUUGUUUGUAAAUCCAAAAUGGUUACAGCUAUUCUUGAACAUGUUGCCUACAAAUGAGAAUUUAUAUUUUUGUAUAAAUAUAUACAGUAAUUUUUAUAUAUUUAUAGCUAAAAGGUAGAUGAACGCAUAAAAGGAUUAUACAAUAUAUUUCAUGUAGAGAUUAAAACGAGAGCAUCCCUUUCAUUAGGACGACCAAUCCUUUUAUGACUAGAAAUGGAUCGAGAAUUUCUAGAUCAUAGGUGGAACAUUAAAGAAAUAAAAAAAAAUUAUUAAGUAGAAAUUGAACCUCUGUUGUUUGAGUAUUCAAUCACACAAAACAUUCAACUUUUUUAAGCGUGAGAACCAACAAAUAAUAUCAAGUUUAACAGAUAUCAUGAAUUUACGUGUAUCAUAAUUAGCACAUUAAGUAGGUGUUUGGCCAUGUGAUACCAUAUCGUGAGAUGGAAUCAACUCUUGGACAUGCGAUUUUACAUUGAUUUCAUAUCAUGAGAUGUGAUUCCAUAUUCUCCAAAAACCAUGAUAUGAAAUUAUAUGGGAAUUCCAUAUCAUGAUUUGAGAUGUUUUAAAAUAAAAUAUGAUCCAUGAGUUUAUAUUUUGUUAAAACAACCCCACAUUUAUAUCUACUAACCAUUUAUUUCAUAUGUAAAUAAAAUUUAUAAUCACAUCAUUACUUUUUAAAAUUUUAUUAUUCUCACCGACAUAAAAUUUAUUAUUCUCACCAACAUAUAGUCACUUUAACUCACGAAUAGCUUUGUAAUAAUUUAACUUCAACGUGAGGAAAUUGUCUGUACUUGUGGGACGAUUAUAUUAAAGACUAGUACACUACAAUUUAUGUUCAAUUUUUUUUUUAUUAAAUUAAAGUUAGAUGAAACAAUUACUUAAGUGGAGAACAAAUAGCUUUGUAAUAAUUUAUUAUGCGAUUUUAUAAAUUUUGUUUAUUUGAGAAGAUUGAAUAAACAAUUGGGGCUAUUUUAAUAGUUUUACAACUUAUGGGAUUUUUAUGUUUAUGAGAAAAUAUACAACACAAAAAUAUCAUAUCGCAUGUCCAAACAAAACUUCAAUUUCAUCUCAUGAUUCCAUAUAAUGAUACCAUAUCGCAUGGCCAAACGGGACCUAAAUCUACUCUUGUUUAUUAUGUGUUGCGUAAAACUUAAACAUAACAAUUGAAACAGAAUCAAAUCUAUUUCCAUGUUCCCAUUCUUUCAAUAUAUUGAUCAUUAAAACUCUUAUAAUUAUAUUAGAAAAAUGAAUUAGUGAUCUAUAAAGUCAACAUAAAUACCAAUGGUUGCCUAAUAGCGUUUUUGUAAAGUACCAAGUAAUGAAUGAGACAUAAAACAUGUGAAUAACCUAGUUAUUCAUUAGUCUUACUUCAAAGUGCUUUUAGUUACAUUGUCAAAAUCAUGUGCCAAACUGUGAUAAUGGUUUUCAUACAAGGAUAAAAAGGAAAUUGGGCACGAUUAAAGUGAAAAUGACAAGCAAAAAAAAAAAGUGAAGUCUUUAUCAAGAAAAGAAUGUUUAGACAGAUUGAGGUGAAUAGACACUGACGCAAAUUUGAUGGCUUUUUGUAGGACAUAAAAUAGUUAGGACUCAAAAUUACAAACUAAAUCACCAAAUAGUUGGUCUCCCCCACAACCAUUUUGCAUCCUAUGAAAUUUACUUUAGUACGCUUGAGAGUUGAAACUCAACCAAUCUUGAAAGUGGAGUUAGCGGCUAAAUUCAGUCUUUAAGGACCACAACAUAGAAAAGUUGUGGAGUGUAUAAUAACCCCCCCGCCCUAAGGAAUAGGGACGAUUUUCUUGUUGUAGUAUUGUGAAUGAGCAAAGUAGGGUUCGAUAACCUUUUUGUUAUUGAUAUAUUGAUCUAGAAUAAGCAAACUAUACUGAAAAACGUAAUUGAAAAAGAUUUAGGGGGGGAUUGAUGAUGAAAAUUUAAGACUUAAGGAUCAAUUAAUUUACCCAAGUAGGUAGAAAAAGGCAAUGACAGUGUAGUUGGAAGUGAAUUUGUAGUGGGAUGUUCUUUUAUAUUUGAUUGAACAUUUGUUGGGAUGUCUUUGUCUAUGUCAUCAUCAUGCUCUCUUUGUCACAACUAAAGUGGUUGUUAGCAUUCACUCAUGGUCGUGUUUCCUCGUUUGAUGUUGAACAAGUUAUGUUGCUUACAAGUUUGGCAACAAGUUUGUACCAAAGCUGGUGAUUGACUUUAGUGGUCAUUGAAAUCCGUUCUUCACUUUCUCUUGCUUAAAAGUUGAGAGAAAGGUAAUAUUUGCUUUGAGAAAGUAGAAGAUUUAUGAAUGAAAAUGAAUCUUUCCAUUGGAAUGCUACUCAACAACAAUACCAUACCCAAUGUAAUCUCACAAGUGAUAGGUGGGAUUUGGUGAGAAUAAACCUUUUACUUUCCUCAUGAAGGUACAUAGACUAUUUUCGAAAAUCCUAGACUCAACUACACCACAAUAAAAUGAAACUAUGAUAAACAUAUAGUAACAGAAAUCAAGGGAUUAAAAACUACGUGAAUAACAUAUGAUAUCUAAUAUGCAAGAAGAAACCUAUCUCAUUGGACAACAAAAGUGAUGCUCAAAUGUCCCAUCUAAUCGCUUUUCUCCAAACUUUAAAAAAUUUACAAAAUGCUUGGAAAUAUCGGAAUAAUACUUUAUGUCCAAACAUUCUAAAAAAAUGAUGGAAAAAACUAUUUUUAUAGUAGAAAAUGUUCCAAAAUGCUUGGAAACCAACACAAAUGGGUAACUGAAAUAAAAACAACACUAAUUCAGCCAGAACGACCUGCGGCGCAAACAAAAACACAGAAUAAGCUGAAACAAGUAAUGAAUGCCAACAAUAAACGAAGUCCAGGCGUCAAUGUCAACUCAUCGUAAGACUAAAGAAUACGCAUAUAGAAAAAUAUCCUCACAAAACCAAGUUGUUUAAAAGGAAAAAGGAAAAAAACAUAUAAAUUAGUCUCAAAAUUCAAAGAGCUCCAAUUAAGCAGCUGCAGCCUUGCCCUUCUUCUUCUGUAGUUUCUUCAUAUAGAACUCAAGUUCUUUGCCCUCCAAGAUAUACCUGUCAAUUGCAAUAAAAAGAUCAUGACUUGAGUGGGAACAGAUGCAAAAAAACAAUCUCACAAGUCUAGGGCCGGGAAGCAAGGUUGUCAAUGCGGAACUUACCCAUCAGCUCUGCCACACUGACCAGGGCGAGAUGAGAUACAAGCAUAUAGUCUACCAGAACUAAAUUGUUCUUCAAGGUGAGAAUCAAGUUUGCGAUCUGCCAGGCGCUUCUCAAUUUUUCGGAGAACAUGGUUGCUCUUCUUAGUUUCCUCAGCAGCAGCAGCACUUUCUCCCUCCUGCCAUGUUGUCAACCAAAAGAAAUAAUCAACACAUAGAGAAAAGAAGGAAGUCAUCACUACUUAGGUCAUCAUAAUGGACAUUUCAGAUUCUCAAGAUAUAAAAAUGAGAGGAUAAUUUUAUUAAAGUGGAAUACAUUAGUUGCUGGAGUUGGAACAGUUCAAAGUAAAGUGAAUAGGCCGGUAGUUGGUAAAUUAGGAAAACUAGACUUAUUUAGAUACAGUAGAAUGUGACUGAGAAGAGAUCAAACUAUGUAAAAGAUGACCUCCGCUGCAUUGUUAGAGGUCAAAAGUAUCCUCAAUAAGACGUAUUUUUCCAUUCACUCGUACAUUUUCUACCUUUAUCAAUUCUUUCUCAAUCUUGGGCAAGUUAUUUCUGAUUUUAACUGGACAUCAUGUCCAAACUUCAAAAAAUGUCAAAGCAAUCAUAGAUCACAGCCGUGAUGAAGAAUUCACAGCAUAUAACGAAUUAUGAUUGAACAGGAAAAUGAAAGAGCUGUGGAAGCCAGAUAGCACGGAGUCAACAACUACUCAUCAAAUGAUGUUAACCAAGUAUGGAAGUAAAGAUAACAAAAUUUGGCUACCUCAGCAGUUUCCUUCUUAGCAGCAGCCCCCUUUUUCUUCCUACCAAUGUCAACACCAUAAUGCUGGAGGUACCACUGUUUAAAUGGCGCUGCAUCAACCUGAACGAUUGCACUCUUGACAAGAGUCUGUGUACGAACAAGUUCAUUGUUUGAGGCAUUAUAGACCACAUCAAGGAUACGAGUCUUACGGGUGGUAGCCUCACUACCCCAUGAAUAAUUUCCGGUAUCCAAUCUUAGUGCCCUCCAUUUAACAUUGCCACCACGAACACGAAUGCGUCUGACUGUUUUGUUACUUGAGAUCUUAGUAUUAGCAGGCUGGCGGCCAAGCUCAUACCUUUAACAAUAAGAAAAGCAUAUUCACACAAAAUCAGUAGCUUUCCCAAUCAGACUUUCCAUUACAACCUCACAACAUCAUAGUUUAUUUUCAACAAAUUUAUCGCACGACUAUGCUAACAAUAAUUUUUAUAGCAGUCAUUUCAUUGCAAGUAUUUUAUGUCCUCUAUUUUCAUUCCUGUCAUAAUCAUCAAUCUAAUUUAUGCAAAUGCAGGUUAUAUCUUCCACUAUCUUAGUUAAUCUAAUGCUAAUUAUUCGGGAUUAAGUGUAGCUAAUGUGUACCCCAAACCUCCACCAUUUAGGUGGGAAUUAGAUUUACCAUAUUGUAUUCCCCUCUCCCAGUUCUCCCCACUUUCCAUGUAUAAUAAUUUUUUUAAGAAAAGAACCUGAUAUUAAUUCCUAUCACUGCCCCAAAUAAUCUUGGAAGAGUUACUUGUUUGAUUGAUAUAAAUCACCAAAUCAUAAUAAUAUUACCCUGGAAAAAUUGCCAAUAAAUCACUAAUUCCACAAGGGAGAGUGCAAGUUCUAUUGCAAUUUCUACUGCAGUUACUACUACUUCAUUAGAAAUAGCAAUUAAGACUAGCAAAGGAAUCUGGCUCUAUUCUCGGAAAUGAAGUUAUUUUUAGAUAUUUGGUAAAUUAACCAUCAUAAUAUCAAAUAACUUCCUUGCUUAUGCACUGAAGUCAUUUCUCUUUACUACUAUCCCAACAUUUACUCCAAUUUGCUGAUAUUAAUAUCAAUCUUCAACUAAUACUCAUCCAAAAAAUAUCUUCUAUUCACAAACCUAACAUGGACUAGUUAGACAAUGUGUUCAUAUACAAAACGUUUAAAUGCAGUGUUUUGAUAAAUUUUCAACGCAUUUUAAAGAAUAAACACCUAGUAGUCAUAAACAUGACAAAUAAUUGAGCGAUAUAAGCACAAUUAAGGAUAACGAAAGAUGAAUGUAAUAUAGAUAUAGAGAUAUUCAGGCAAAAGAAAAAGAGGCAGUAGCACUAACUUUCGCUUCUUCCUCCAGGUUUUCUGCUUGCCACCAGUGGCACGCCUUUUGUGCAUAGAGUCUCGUGAGAUACCUUCAUAUUCAUGAAUAAAUCAGUAAAAUUAAUAAAAACUGUCUGUUUUUUCGUCAAAUUGCAGAUGAAAUUAGCGUAGAGAAGAUGGAAGUAGCAGGUUCAGAUUCAUACCCAUGGUUACUGAUAGCUAAGCCGCACUCCCUCACACCACUCUUCCGCUUUGAACGAAGAGAACUAAAACCCUAACACCUUGAAUGGACAAGCCUAGUCCUUAAAUGAUGUGGGCUGGGCUGUAGUUCUGACAUUUUUUGGGCUUUUCAUUCUUGGGCUAACAUCUUGCAUCUCGAUUCAAUACGAAAGUCGUUCAUAUCAUUUUUUUAUUUCGACUUUAAAUACCUGUUUGUAGGAAAUCAAGGUCGAAACUGAAUUAAUUACGACAAUAAUAUAUCCAAUAUAAUUUUAUAAAUUGAGUGUCAAAGAAAUAUAUAUAAGUUUCACAAAUUGAGUCUCGAGGGAAGAAUGUACAUAUUAACCUUACCUCUUCUCUUAUGAGGUCCAACACAAGAAUGCUACGGCUUAUCUUCCCCAGACUUCAAAUAGGGAGGAUGAGCAGAUACUAAAGAAGACAGUCAACGUGCAGCAAAAUGACUGUAUUGAACUUACUAAACUUCGAAAAUUAUGAUUGGUAAAGUGUAAACAAAGAAACUUAGUACAAAACAAUAAAAGAUGGAGUAAUAAUUAUAAGAACAUAACUAUUGAUAGCUAUUAAAAUAAAUAAAAAAGGAGUGCACAGGGCUUGUGGCUCAUCAACACACCGGUUAGCAAAGGAUGCACCUUUCAAUUCUCAUGUCUUAAGCAUGAAAUAUCUCUUCCGUCUCUUUUAUUUUGUCUGAAUCCCCACCUUUCUUACGUUUCAUAAUUAUUGCUCACAAUCAUUAUUAUUUCUAGAAAUACGGCAUUUGCUUGCAAUUCAAGAACUGAUUAUUUUUCUACAGCAAUUCAAAUGACCUUUUAUUAAUUCCUCUCAACAAAAGGACAACACAUAAUAACUAGUAAAAGAUUGGAACACCAAUGAUGCCAGACGAAAUUCUAUUACAGGAGGAUCCAUCAAUAUAAGUACCCAAUGCAAAAUCAGAAAUUACAGUCAGGUUAUUCAGCAAACACUUUUUCCUAAAAUCCAACUAUAACGACUCCAUGGCAUUUAUGACAUCUCAUCGAAACCGUCAAGAAAAUGAUGCUGAUCCUUUUUAUGUCAUGUCUGAGUUAAAAGUUAUGCCUUGCUAUCAAUGCUCAUCGGUUCUGGUUCCUUGGCAGCAGAGUUCUACAGAAACAAAGCCACGAGUGAGUCAAUAAAAGAACAAGAAGUAAAGCUCGAAGUCAAGGGGUUAUAAAGUCUGCCACUUACGGCUGAGUUUGCUGCAUCCUGCUUAUUCAACUUUGCAAACAUGUUUCCAUAGAACUUUGCAUCCUUCUUGUUAAUUUCCUUGACUUUUUCCUUUAGAGCUUUGUACUCAAGCUUCACAUCCCUUGAUUAUCACAUAAGAGAACAAGCUUCAGCACCAUAACUAACAAAUACGAUAGCUUGGGUAUAGUAUAGAAUGAACUUGGUUGUAUACCUGUUGUCAGGGUCAAUCUCAAGAGCUUUCUUAAUGUCAAAUUCAGCCAGAUCAAGAUCAGCCAUGUUCAUAUAUGCUUGAGCUCUGCGGUAAAGAGCUUUGACAUUUGCGCUAUCCAGUUCCAACACCUACAGCUCACACAAAUAAUCCUUGAGAAGAAAGUAAAAAGGAUGAGUAUUUUUUUAAGGGGGUGGAUUUCUAGGUUUCAAGUUCUAUACCUUGGUACACAGUUUCUCGGCCUGCUUGUAAUCUUUCAAUUUCAGCUUGCAAGCUGCAUUAUUUAAGUUGCAGGUGAUCUUCAAUGCUUUAGACUGUUUCUUUUCCUCCUCGCUGAAGGAAGUAUCAUACUCGAUGAAUUUAGCAGCCUGCAUUUGUUAAAAUGUACAGUUAGGUAAUCCUGGCACAAUAGCAUCUCGAUCUUCACAGACAAAAGACCCACUAUUCUAGUUCUAAAUAACACAGUAAAAGCCAAGUAUCUACCUUCUCAUAUCUCUUAGAUGCCCUUGCGUAUUUACCAGCCUUGAACAGUGCAUUCCCUUCUUCUUUCUUUUUGCCAGCAGCCUCAAUUUUCUCCGGGGUAUUCAUAUCCCAUGAUUCCUUGUCCUACAGGCCAUCAACAAGAGUAUAUGAUUCAAGUAUAGAUCCAGAGAACAGUGACAUAUAGCUAAGGUUAGAAAAUAAAAAGAAAGAAAACAUCACAUACCUUGACAAAAGAAACAAGCUCAACCUCAUAAUGCACAGUUGAAUUAGGAGGAACAACAGCUAAAUCUUGCUUUGACUCAGAUGAACCAAAGGCAUAUUCAGGUGCAAUUGUAAGCAGCGCCGCUUCACCCUUCUUCAUUGUCAUGACAGCUCUGUCUAGCCCAUCUAUUACUUGUUCUGUUCAGGGUAAAUUAGAGCUCAGUCAAUACUAGUUAAAGUAUUAAAGACCAGGGAAAAUCACAAUUUAAGAUCUCUGUAGUUGGAACAAUGUAUACGGAGUCAUACCCUCAUCUGUCUUAAACUCAAAAAGGUUGUCUUCAUUUUCCCCAUCAUGGCCCUUCUUUGUGAAGACUGUGCCAUCCAGCAGCUUGCCAACCAGUUUUACUGCAGUAUGCAAAUUGAAACAACCCUCAAAUAUCAUAGUAUUCAUGUAACUUACAAGCACAAACUAAAGAAUUUUUCCUGUGACAAACUAACAUUUAACAACAGCUCCUUCAUUGGGUCUCUCAUAUCCUUCCCCUUCUUUCAAGAUCUUCUUUAAUACUUUCUUGUCAUCAGUAACAUUUGAAACAGUUUUCCACGAGACCAACUCCAAGUUGAUCUGUAAUGUGGCAUUAGGUGGAACUGCUCCUCCAUCACUUGAGGCUGGUUUUCCUUUCUCUCCAAAGCCAUCUGCAGCAAACAAAUCAGACUUAUUAACAACAUCCCUCUUAUCGGCAGAUGAUUACACAGUCACUUGUUAGCAAGCAUCACUUACAUUGCGGCUUAACUGUCAAUUGGACCUUUUCACCUUUCUUCAUAGUUUUCACAGCCUUAGCAAGAGCAGGACAGAAAUGACCUGUUCCAUUAAGGAUGUCAGAACAAAACUACAAUCUUUUUUUACCUAAUAGAACAUUGUGGGGAAUAAGAAGUCAAAGGUUACCAUCUUGAACAGUGAACUCCACUCCAUCUGAUUUUCCCACCACUGUGCCAUUUUCGAGCUGAGCUUCGUACUUGACUAAAUUACAGAAGACAGAAGAAGAUGCUCAAUUUAUGUUCCAAACAGCUAUAGCAUAGUCCCCUGUGAUUUGAAAAUGAUAAUACAUACCAAAUACUUCGUCAAGAUCUUUCGGGUUUUCCCAUUUCUCCCCCUCUGUGAGGAUCUUUUUGAAAAUUCCACCAUCCUUGCAAAUGUCUUUUACACUCACCCAUGAUAGCAACUCAACAUCAAAUUGUAGAGUGGCAUUUGGAGGGAUAGUUGGAGGAGAACCACUCUCUCCAUAAGCAAGCUCUGGAGGAAUGGUGAAAAUAGCAUUUUCACCUUUCUUCAUUGUAUUUAUACCUUGAUCCCAUCCUUUAAUAACUUGUCCUAUCAGGAAAUAAAAAGCAUCAGCAUAUCUGUUUAAUCUUGAAGCAAAAUCGAAUUCAUCUAAGUGCAAAUGCUAAUUACAUAGAUAUCAGAGACUUUCUCGCAAUGAAAAAAUCCAUAUUUCUUGGCUUUAAUAUGAGUUCUCACGUAAUUAGAUUUCAAACAAAUCAACUUUCUGUUUGCAAUCUUUGACAAGCAUUGUCCUUUCAACCCUUAAUCUCUGGAAUUGAGGAUGAAAUCUACUUUGGAAUGCCAAAGACCAUUACAAUCAUCCUCUAAGGAAACAAGAAGAAGAAAACCUCAGAGGAGCUAUAAAGUGCUAGUGAGAACAGCUUCACCACAUCUUCAGAUUCUCGUAAUAAAAAAUUUACUGUUGUGAAGUUCAUGCCUUCUCGACAAGCUAAAUCCUACUUUAAACUAAGGAACAAGAUUUACGUGUUACCAUAUAUUUACUAAGCCCUUGGAGGAAACAAGCUCCCCAAUCUCAUAUCAUCUAUACUGGUCCUAUUAGAGCAAUCAAGCUUUCAUUUGUUUUAUCAAAUCACUUAAGUUUAUUCAAUAACCAUUAACAAGCAAAUACAAAAAGCUAGUGAACAUUCACUAACCUUGACCGAGAGUAAACUUGAAGGGGUCCCCUCUAUCGCGACUGGAAUCGAACUUGGUUCCGUCAAGCAAAGUUCCAGUAUAAUGAACUGAAAAUGCAAAAACCAACGUGAGCUCAAAUAACACGAACAAAAUCACGUUUACCGCAGAGUAGAUGAAACAAAUGAAAAUUAAAUAACCCAAAAGCCAUAGAAUGAGCUCAGAAUCAAUCCACGAGUCUAGCGAGCGCAAAAUACUAAUUAACAGCAACUAAUACAAUUGCAAUUAAUUAAUCAAAACAAUAUUGCAAACACAAAAAACACAUUAACAUAAACAAAUCUCAUAUGCAAACUAAUUAGUAAUUACCUUCGACUUCAUCACCAGGCGCAGGAGUAUCCCAACCUUCACCUUCCUUAACAAGCUUCUUCUUCAAUCCCUGAUUUCCAAUUUCCUUCUCCUCGCCUACUUUCAGGGUCGAACUGUCAUCCGGCAGAUCCAUGUCCUCGUUCAUUCCCUCUACCGGUGGAAUACCAAAAUCCUCGUCCAUUUUCCCGUCAAACACAAUAUGCACUCACACGCAGAAGAUUGAUUGAUUGAUAGAAUCGAGCUCAGUGAAAGUAAAUAAUGGCGUGCUGGAGAUGAAGAAGAUGGAGGCUUAAAUGGUGUGAUAGAUAGUGUGAAAAGAAAGGGUUUAGGUUCUAGAGUGUUCCAAGGUUUUUGAGAGAGCUUUAGCGCGACGAAGGGUCAGGAUUCUUCCAGAUAUCUUAAAUUUAGAUAACCAAUAUAUUAGUAAUUCUUUAAAUUUAGAUAAUAUUAUUGGAGAGUGGGGACCACUACUAAAUUCUUAUUAAUCCAACUGCUGAUCUUUAAUUAAAGUUUUAAGUUAGAUGGCAAAUGAAAUGGGCCGAAUUUGGGCCAACACUGAAAAACGGGUCGUAAAAUAAGGGGGACUUGAGGACCUUCAUUUAAGAUAUAGCCAAGGUUCUUGAGUAUUUUCGUUUCUAAAACAUAUAUCCUCUUAGGGAUGUUCUGGUGUUUUAUGCCUCUCAUUUGUUUUCAUUAAGAUUAAAACGUUUAAAUUUGAAUGCCAUAUCUAAAUUAUGUUUUGUGAUAAAAAUAAAAGUCGAUAUUCCAAGACCAAGCAACAUAAAGAGAGAGUGCUUGAUUUCCUUCUUCGUUGUCUAUAGUUAACUUUACCAUUGCUGGAUGAGCUUCCAAAAUAGUUCUGUAUAUUUACUUACAGGGUUGGAGUUUGUAAUAUUGUCACUACCCAACACCAACAGCAAGUGUAUACAAGUAAGCAAAAGAAAAAUUGAAAAAUAUGUUUCAUUAGCAUCUCCUUGACAAUGACAACGACAAUGUAAUGUAGUAAUUUGGAGUCUGAACUUUGUCAAGAGGUAUUUACAGACUCAAUUUGACAGAACAGGCGUCCAAGUAAGCCUACUACAACAACUAUUAUGUUUCAAUCACAAGUUGAGGUCAGCUAUAUGAAUACUAACUUUCCAUGUCGCUCCCUGUGGUAAUUCUACUAUAUUCUCAUUGAUUAUGGGCAGCAAGAAACCAAUUCACGUGCAGAUGCAAAACACUUCAUGAUUUAGCCAAGUCUCAACUAUCAAUUGGCAUGAUGAGCAACAAGUAUCCAACAUAUCAACUGUUUGGCUCAACCUUUCAUUUUAGUCAGCACCAUGAGAUUACUGGCUCUUUUUCUCUUGAAACAGUCAUUCCAUGCCCAACAAUAUUUUCUGCUUGAAUACAUAAUGAUAUCCCAGUGGCCAGACUUUUUCUUCAAUUACUGUCAAUCACUGUUCAAUGAAGCGUUUCUCCAUGUUAGUGUCUGAUUCACAGCUCCAAACAGUUGGAAACUACAUAGCAUUAGUUUGAGAUCCAUCUGCCAAAGAAUAAUCACACCCCAUUUCCUCCAAUUAUUGUCCUUGUAGUCACCUGAAUCAGCAACUCAAAACUUUCCAGCACUGCGAAGUGAAAAUGAACCAUCUGCACAGGUGCAAUGUAGAAAAAGAUACUUGGUUAAACCGAACUUCGUAAUGAAGCAUGUAGAAGACUUGCAGCCCACUCAAUAUAUGUUGCUGGGACUCUUCAUAAAUGUCAUCGGGUGCGUGUUGGACCCUUCAAAAGUAGUGCAUUUUUGAAGGAUCAACACAGGUGCGGCAACAUUUUUGGAGAGUCCGAACAACUUAGCUCUCAAUAAUAUAGUGGGCAUGAUUCAGCUUUGUUGAAUCAUUAUCAAGACAUGCAAAUUAAUGAACAAGGAUUAGUAAAUAAUUCUUCACCUAUGCUGGAAAAAGAUGAUUCUGAACAGCAAGACUAGCCUUUCCGAUUCUAAUUGCUGAUGGCGUUACUGAAUCUUAUUGCUGAUAAACAGCUUCUCAAUCAUCAGGCGGGCAAAAGAUAUACUUCCAAAAGACAAUUGAUCAAUAUUGAAACAUAAACAUAUCAAAGUUCUACUAGUCCUUAUUAAGAAAAUAUAAAGUAUUCAACAAAGACUUGUAAGUCUUUUCAUUCAUUAAACUAUCCCUCUUCUUAAAUUCUUCAAGAAGUUCAAAUGCAUAAUCUCCUCUUCCUUCCCUACUCAAUUCUUCCAUCACUGUUUUAUAAGUAAGCUGAUCAGGUGACAAUGAAUUAUCCAACAUAUCAAACACCACCUCAGUGGCAUCCUCAAAGCGACGCUCCAAAGCAAGACUACAAACCAGUAUCAUAUAAGUAGAUCCUUUCGGAAUAAACCCUUUGUUCCUCAUUUCCUUAAAAAACUCAAGCCCCUGAUUCACUCUUCCCUUCUCACACAACCCUUUGGCUAUAUAGCCAUAGGUAAACGCAUCAGGCUCACAUCCAUACAAACCCAUUUCACGAUAAACACGAAUAGCUUCAUCAACCUCCAGACACUUAGAGUAAGCCUUGAUUAUCAUAUUCAAUGCAAAUGUAUCAGGAAUCACCCCAAAAGACUUCAUUUGCUUCGCUAAUGAUCGAACAGAAUGUAAAUACACGUAACAAACAUGUAACUUAUUAAAUUUACUGAGAAGAGCAUUCAGCAACAAAUUAUAAGUUUCUAAUGACGGCUUAGCAUCUUCACAUUUAGUCAUUUUCUUGUAAAUAUCAAAUGCACGAUUAAAUAAGAAUUUACGACCGCAGCAAAACUUAAUCAUGGAAUUGUACAGAGGGAGGCUCGGCGGGCAAGCGCCCGUGCGGGCCUCCCUGUGCAGGGGCCANNNNNNNNNNNNNNNNNNNNNNNNNNNNNNNNNNNNNNNNNNNNNNNNNNNNNNNNNNNNNNNNNNNNNNNNNNNNNNNNNNNNNNNNNNNNNNNNNNNNNNNNNNNNNNNNNNNNNNNNNNNNNNNNNNNNNNNNNNNNNNNNNNNNNNNNNNNNNNNNNNNNNNNNNNNNNNNNNNNNNNNNNNNNNNNNNNNNNNNNNNNNNNNNNNNNNNNNNNNNNNNNNNNNNNNNNNNNNNNNNNNNNNNNNNNNNNNNNNNNNNNNNNNNNNNNNNNNNNNNNNNNNNNNNNNNNNNNNNNNNNNNNNNNNNNNNNNNNNNNNNNNNCGGCGGGCAAGCGCCGGCGAGAACCUCCUCGACUAGGGUCUCCGCAACGCGAUAGCGCUUACUUGAGACAGCAAUGUUAAUCAUGUUUAAGUAAGUGACAUGGUUGUGCUUGUAGCCCCGUUGUUGGCCUGUCCACCGGAAGAUAUCGAGGGCAAGGUCCGGGUCGGUUUGGGCUUUCAAGGCUUCGUUUACAUCAGCUGGUGUGAACCCGGGUUUGAGAUUGUUGAUCCAUGAUUCGAACUGUUUCUCUAAUGGAGUUUGAGUUCGGGUCCGAGGGAUAGGGACUGGGAGUUCAUCGGAGAACGGCAGCGGAGAUGUUAGGGUUUUGGGGUGGUGAUCGGCGGAGGAGGAGUUGGAUAUACGGCGGAGAGAUAGCGAAGAGAAGAGAAAGGAGAUGACCGGACGGCGCACGGUCGCCUGCAUUUUCGGUAUCGGAGAGAAGAAACAAGGGUGUGUUUGGUUGAGUUGCUGUGAUUCGUACUUUGGGUCAUUCAUACAUUGGGCGUGGGCCUAAGACAAUUAACUUAUAUGGGCCGAGAAGCUAUGUUAGGCCCAUAUUUUCCGCUAAGCAGUCCCGUUUAAUAGCCCAACUAUCGGGCUAAGUUAGUCGCAUGUGGUCGGUUCGGUUCGGUUUAUGUAGGAAAAAAUUAUAUAAAAUAACAAACUAUUAAUUAAAAUUAAAUGUUACAACCACAGUUUCAUUUAAUGCUAAUCCGUAGCAAACACUUGUCAUUCUCCUCUCUCCCCAAAAAUCUCGUUCGCCACUCUCUCUUGCAUCUUUCACUUUUAUACAAACACAAAUGUAUAAAUUAUAUUUGUGUCUAUAUAAAGCAAGAGAAAAUCGUAUAUACAAAUACAAAUAUAUAUAUAUUUUCGUCUUAUACACUUGUAAUUAUACAAAUAUAUAUCUUCCCCUACCAGUUCUCUUUUGUCUUUCUCUCUUUCUCGCUUUAUACAAACACAAAUUAUACAAAUUACAAUGUAUAAUUUGUGUUGUAUAAAGCGAGAGAGAGAUUUGAUAUGCAAAUAUUUUAUUUCGAUUCAAUUGUAUACAAAUUCAAAUUUUAUGCAGAUAUACAAACACAAUCAUUGAUACAUAUACAUAGUAGUUACAUAUACACAAUUAUCUAACCAAUAUACAUAUACAAUCGAUGUGUUUUUAUACAAACGAGAUGUCUGCCUGCGAUUUAUACAAAUCUGAUGAUCCAUAGUAAAUAUAAAAUUUGUUAUGAAGCGCAAUCAUGCAAACUAUAGUUAUAGCAUACAAAUAUGAUUUUUAUGUUUGCUAAAUCUAAAUUUUACUCUUUAUGUAUUAUUAGUUUAGUUUAUCGGUUUUUGGCUUUCAAAUACAUUAAAUCAAUAAGAUAUUUUUUUAUCAGUUUUGGUACUUAACGUUUCAAUUUUUGAUUUAACCAAUAAUACUUAUAAAACAAAUAAACGACUCUUCAAACAAUUUGACGCGGUAAAACAAUAAUGUAAUCUUACAAAUGCUCCUAAAAUAAAACAUUAAUACUCAACUAACAUGAAAAAACUAUAUAAGUGUAACACAAAGAGAAAUUAAGAGGAAUAUGGUUUUUAGUUUAGAUUUUGACGUUUUGUAUAAUAAGAAGUUGUGAACUCAAAGUCACUGUGAAAUGUGAAUUGAAGGCUAGAGGGAAAAGACACUAACCAACAAGGUACUAAGAUUGAUAUUUAAAUUUAUGUAUGGAUAAAGCUGUAAAGUAUUACAAUCUUAAUGGGUAUUAAAAAUCCAAAAUCGAAUCGAUAUCGAUAAUUUUCUUUUUUAAUAAAAUCAUUAAAAAACUGUUAACUCAAUAGAAAUAAAUCAAUAGCACUUUUUUUCAAUUCGAUUUAUCGGUCGAUUUAAUUCUUACACACCUCUAGGCUAAGUGCAUAAAUAUCUGCUUUGGGAGUCAUCAUUUAACUUGUAUUCCUUCCGUGUUAAUUUAUGUGAUAUAGUUUAGGAAUAAUUAUGCAGAACCCAUAAAUUUUACUAACCAUCUAUUGAGCCUAAAAUUAUACUAAUUAUUAUGAAAAAUAGCCGUUCUGAAAAAGUAUUUACCAAAAAAUGGUUAAAUGUCAUCUUUCUUCUUUUCUUUAAAAUUCAAUAUACCACAAACGUAAAUCGUUUUGAAUAAAUUAUAUAUCAGGAGACUCAAAAUAUCGAGAGGUUUCAUAUCUAAAAAUUGAGACUAUUAAAUGAGAUUUUGAGUUGGUCGAGAUUAAAUAGUCAGGUACACUUCAGGUAUAGUUAUGCUAUAUUCAUUUUUUCAAGUAUCAUAAUGAAUAAUCAAUGUAUAACUUAUGUAUGGGUAAACAAGAUUCAAUUUUUUGAAUGUAUCAUAAUAUAUAGUCAAUAUAUACUUCUAUGACUUUUGAUUAUUUUAUAUAAAUAAAAAUGUGACUAUAUUUAUUAUAAACUAAUUACUUUAUUACAUAUAUUUGAAACUAUCCGAAGGAAUAUUCUUUCUCAACUUCAAAUUAUACUCAUUUCCGCGAGCCCAAGCUUCAAGCCCAAGUCAAAUUCCAUGAGAAGACUAGUUCUUUCAUACGAAAUCGCGUGGUCGGGUGAAAUGUGAAAUACCGAUUACAUUCCUAUUUUUCCUGAGAAUUACAAUCAGUACCUGUUCACAAAAUGGCAGAGGUUCGUAAUUUUACGAACAAUUAUAGGGCAAAGUUGUCACAAAAUAACCGACAAUGGAUAAGUUUGAAAAUAACAAAUAGGCAGAAGGGCUUUUAUGUAAACAUACUUGAAAGAGGACCACUCCUUUUCCCCACCACCAAGCAUCUUUUCCAUUUUUUAAUUUUUAAUUUUUUCUUUUGAUUUUUGUUUUUAAAUUUCUCUUGUUUAUCUUAAAAAAAACUAUUUUAAUAUUUUAAUUGCUUUUUAUAUGUUUCCAAAAUAUAUUUUGGUUUCUUCUACAACGCUUCUUCUUAUGAUGAUUUUGCUGUUACAUUAUCGAUCGGAACAAUUAUCUUCUCUCUAGAAAUCUUCCUUUAUCUUGAUCUUUCUCUCUCUAGAUGUUUGAAGUUUCACUGUUUCUACAGCAUUAAGCGGUGAGUUUGAUUUUUUCUUCUUCAAUUUCUCUGUUUUUAAAAUUAUAUCGUGCUUAUUAUACGUUUUUCUAGUGGCCGGAGAAUUUACUUCUGCUGUGUUGAUCAGAAAAUCAUGAAUAAAUUCAAUUGCAUUAUUCUUCUGUAGCUUUAAAUUCAAUUUUCAACAUUUUUGCUGUAUUUUUUGUUUUAUAAUAUAAAGUGACUGGAUUGUUUUCGGUGUUGAUUUGAAUUGGCACUAGAAGAGUUACUGGAAAAUCUGUAUCUGUUUUUUUUUUUGUUCACAAUUGCUGUUUGAUUUUAUCACUAUAAACAUCCAGCUGUUCAUGCGUUUUUUAAUAUUUUGUUUAUUACAUGUUUUUCCUGAGGAGUUUUGAGUUUUGAUCAUCUUCAUUGAUGUGUGUUUGUGUAUUUAAUUUAUCAAUUACCAUGUCAUAUGAUUUGUGCUUAUGGUGGAUUGUUUUUAAUUUGUAAUUCUCCUUUGGAGCUGUUUGUUGACGGUCGGCACAAAUAUGAAGAAAGUAAAAAAACCAGAGACCUCUCAAAAUAAUUGAAACUGAAUCAGUUUACUAUUUAGCUGUUGGUGUCAUAUAGAAAUCAUUGUUACGACAAGAAAAGGUGAAGCUAAUUGCUACAUAUGUUCAUGGAUAUUGGUAAAUCCAAGCGGUGAUUCCUGUCUUUUGAAUGUCCUGGUUCUAUAUCAUCAUAAUAGUAGGCAUGGAUGAGCUGAUCAGAGUAGUUAUUUCUCGCCUGAUGUCCCAAAGAUCCUAUAGAAGGCGAGCCCCCGUAGUGUUUAGAAUACUGGAAUAGAUCUCGGUGGGCUAGGUAACACAAUAGAACUCUUCCACAGAAUAGCAGCCUGCAUAUGCUAUUCACUAUUUUUGUAGCAUCUUUUUUAUCUCAUCUUGUCUCUCCUUUCUCUCUGUGAUUGUUUGAUACAUAUUCUGCUUUUUAUGUUUUUUUGGUUUAUAUUUUUAAUCCAGAUUCUUGAAUCCUUUAAAGCACUGAAGGUAGCAUGCGUUAUUCAUGUUCUACAGCUGUCUCUGACUUCUCUGUAACUUCUUGACAGAGAAAACAUAACUGAAGCUCAAUGAAAAGAGGCAUGUUCAUGGUUUGAUAUUUUGUUGGCUUACUUUAUCCAAGAUAUAGCAAGUAUUUGACAGAAACCAGUGGCUGCCUUUUAGAUGAUAACUACUGAUUGCAGCUCGUGAAGGCUGCAUUUAAGCAUGUUGAUAGUCUUUCAAUUGAUUUUCAAUUUCUUUUGUGAUGAGAGGUGGAUUUUUUACCAUUUACCGUAUCGUAUGCUGCACAUAAAAAGUGAUAUAUGUCAACAAUCACGUGAAGAUCACUGUUUCUACAGUGUAGAAACCUCUAUCAGGAGGUUAGAGGUCCAUUGAAAAAGUGUUGGUCCGCCAGUCAUUGUAAUCAUAAAAUGGAAAGGUAAUUCAUGUUCACACUCUAUUUGGAUAUUAAGAGGUGGUUUUCCUUUUGAUGACCCAAUAGUUUUGUACUUUGUUCUGUGGGACAUUAUAAUUCCAGAUAUAGAAUAUUGAAGGAGCUUGGAGAUGGAACGUGUGGUAAUGUAUAUAAGGCCAUUAAUACAGAAACAUCUGAAAUUGUAAGUGAUUGUCUUUGUUUAUGUAUUUAUUAUGUUUUAUAUAUCCACACAUGUUUUUCAGACUUUCUCAUUUAUUAGUUGAUAUAAGGAGACGUACCAUAAUCAUAUAUGCAAAAUCUAAGACUUGAGUAGGAAGUUUGCGUCUGGCAGCACCAAAAGAGAUUUUGAUCUGUGCAUGUUUGAAGAGUUGCACGUCUAAAUUAAUAAAAUCCUAUUGUUAUUACUUGUAAGUGCCAGAACAUUUGGAUUUGCUCCUUGGUUUCCUUUGUAAUGGCAAGUUAUUGGUGCAUCUUUCACACAACAGUACUAAAUGUUCCAAAUCUCAGGUAGAGUCUGCCUAACCAGAAGGGCCUUAGUACCAUACAUAAUAAUUUGUGAGAGCCAUGUUAAAGUUCCAUUCCACUUAUAGUCAAGUCAUCAGAUUAGUUUUAAUCAUGCCUAUGCUAUUUCCAAAAAUGAAGAAUAAUAAAAUUUGACCUUUUCACUUUCUUCUUUGUUCCCCUUGGAGGGAGUUGACGGAGAGGCUUAUGUUGAUUGUUUCUCUGUGCUUGUACAUCUCACAUGAUGUUGAUUCCUCUCAAAGAUUGUAACUUAUAGUUUCGUUUCAUGUAUUGUAGGUUGCAGUAAAGAAAAUGAAGAGGAAGUUCUAUUUUUGGGAAGAAUGCAUUAAUCUACGUGAAAUAAAGGUGUGUAGGUUUCCUCUUAUUUGGUCUCAUAUUGAUGGUCUGAAGGGAGUAUUUAAACAUAUCUAUUCAGAAAAAUUACCGUGUUAGAAAAGAGUUUCUUGUACAUAUUUAUAUAUUCUUGGUGCAAGCUAAGCUUUUCAAUCUUUCUCUGCGCAGUCCCUCCGUAAAUUGAAUCAUCCUAACAUCAUCAAACUGAAAGAGAUUGUCAGGGAAAACAAUGAGCUUUUCUUCAUACUUGAGUACAUGGUAUCAGUUUAAGACUUUUGUCUAGAUUAUUGUGUUGCACCUUUCUCAUUGUCUGUGCUGCAGAAUCUUUCGUUCUGAUAACAUAAUGUACAUUUAUGUAACUCUGGCAAUUAGUGCUUUUAGUUUCAGAAUAUCGAAAUUCUAUGUCAACGUGAACCUCUAAACUGUCUCCUUAUUGAUUGUCUAGGAACGUAACUUGUACCAACUAAUGAAAGAUCGGCAAAGACCUUUCCUAGAGGAAGAGAUUCGAGGAUUGAUGUCUCAGGUGUUGCAAGGACUUGCCCAUAUGCAUAAAAAUGGUUACUUUCAUCGGGACUUGAAACCUGGUAUUGAAAUGUCAUGUGGUCUAUUUACUAUCUUUAUUUAUGGAAGUGAGAAACUAAAGUUACACUUGUUCUGGCUCAGAGAAUUUACUGGUGACGAAUGACGUAAUUAAAAUUGCUGACUUUGGGUUGGCUCGUGAAGUGUCUUCAUUGCCUCCUUUCACUGACUAUGUUUCAACUCGUUGGUGAGUUGUCUUCUCUAGUUUGGUGUAUCCUUUGUUUCCAAGUGCUUGCAAAAUUUUUGCCUCUGAUGUAAGGAUGUUCUAAUGUCUUUUAAAGGUACCGAGCACCAGAAGUUUUGUUGCAAUCUUCAUCAUACACACCUGCUAUCGGUAUGCACUGUCAGUACAUUCUUGCAAUUUCAGAAGCUUCUUGUGUGGCACACUGGAUCAUUUUUUCAUUUGACACUAAUAGGUUUCAGUAUGUUUAGAAACUCAAGCUAGCAUCCAGAAAUUUUGUUAUUGAAUCUUGACGGCUGUUGCAGCUAGUUUGUUACUUGUCCUUAUAUACUUGUAAAUCUAAGUACAUUGCGCAGCAGUAUAUUUCGUGUUUGUUGAUAUUUUACGGUGUAUAAACAGUCUUUCUUUAAACGUUUUUUGUUGAUUUUGAUGGUAAGCACGUUGUGUGACCUGCCAUGGCUCUUUGAAGGUAAUAUAACCUUCAAUGGGUUCAAUGAAGGUUGUGUAAAAGAAAAUAGGAGAGUGCCAGGAAAUCCUGUGGACCAUGUUCACCAUGCCUAACACAGGCCCAUCAAACCCUUGACUUUAAAAUGCUGGCUUGAUUCAAUAGUAGAACUGGAAUAUGAGACAUUUGCUGGUGUUCUCCUAGUAGAAACUAAGAAUUUCCUCAGUUUUUUUCCCAUGUUUGUCUAGCAUGAUUUUAGAUGAAUGUACAAAAAAACUUGGGUUAGUUUUCUAGAACAUUGUUGACCGGUGACUUGGCUCCCUUUUCAAUUCUUGAAGUUAUCUUAUGUCUAUUCACUACUUCACAUGCUUGGGUUUUUCAAUCUCUUUUCCUUGUAUUUUUUUAGAUUGCUUUGUUUUGGAAUUUUAAUGGUCAUUCUAUGAUCUAUCCAAAAACAUACAUCUCUUUGAACUGCUCUUCUUUUGAAGUUCUCAAACAUACUUAAGUUUGACGGCCUUACAUUAGAAAUUGUUCAAUGCGUGGAAAGAACUCUUGGAUAAAAUUUCAUGUUUGUUUUUGUUGGUUAAUUGAUCUUUUUCUUGACUCAUGAGAAUAAGGUCUGUACACAGAUAUGUGGGCAGUUGGCGCGGUACUUGCUGAGCUUUUCACUCUUUGCCCAAUAUUCCCUGGUGAAAGGUGAUUUCAUAUCCCAUAUUGUCUUACACAAAAAUGAUGUCCUAGCUUCUUUAUUUUGGAGUCUAGACUGCUUUGACCUCAAAUGUAACCGACAAUUAGGUGAUGUAGUUAGUUCCAAGAGCUUGUGGGGGCAUAUUAUUCAAAUAUUAUGGGUAAUUGGAACUUGAUUCGUAUCAUUUGGAGAACUAUUUCCUUAAAGAGUAAUCUUCCCUUUUUCUUUGACCAGUGAAAUUGAUCAGUUGUAUAAGAUAUGCUGUGUUCUUGGACCACCAGAUUGGACUAGCUUCCCAGAACUGAGAAGUGCUUCACGGUUGUUUGAUAUAAGUUGUUUUGAUGUAAGUCCAGAUGAACUUCUUGCUAAUUUCCAGCCAGUUUCUUUUGACCUUUAUCACAGACAUGUGAAUGAUCACGUAUUCAAAUCAUUCUUUUUUUUUUUUUUUUUGUUCCUGAUAGAUUACACCAGCCAAUCUGUCUGAUGUCAUUCCAAAUGCUAGCUUGGAAGCUAUUGAUUUGAUCAAGGUAUUCCUACUAGCUGCUUCUUUACAUUGCUGGCAUAUUUUAUGCACGAAAUACAAAGUGGUUCUUUACUGAUCUAUCCCUCCCUUCAUGACAUAGCAACUCUGCUCGUGGGACCCAUUGAGAAGACCAACUGCUGACCAAUGCUUACAGCACCCAUUUUUUCAUGUAAGCCAUUUUAUGUUAUUUGCCAUUUGCUUCAGAUUUUUACUGUAAUUGGCAUCCUUCCAUGGAGAUUAAAAUAACCUGCCACUUGCUAAUGAAUAGGUUGAUAUGUCAAUUCCUCGUCCUCUAGGGGAUCCACUGCAGAUGAAUUUAAGUAGUGUUGGUGAGAACUCGUAAAAUACUUUUAGCAUCUGUCACUGUCCACUUUUAGUUCAUGAAGCUAUCCUGUUGUGCAGGACCUGAGCCUAAUCUUGAGUUGAACCUGUGGGAUUUUGGGACAGAAAAAGAUGACUGCUAUCUUGGUUUGACUUUGGCUGUGAACCCAACUCCCUCUUGCCUAGGUAUGAACUUUUAAGAUUUUAAUUAUUUCAGGUGUAUUUCUGUAUAACAUCCCACUGUCUAUGGCUCAAUUUGUUGCAAUAAUUAUAAUUUAAUCAUGUAUAUUCUGGCUUUUGUAAUAACUGACAUCUUUGUCCUUGACUCAUUGUGUCUUCCUCUAUCUUGUUUCUUAGAAGCAAUACCUGCACCGCUUUUGUCCACUAAAAAAGGAAAUAUAUAUUCUUGAUAUGGUGGUAAUCCAAGUUUAAGAACGUCUCAAAUUUGCCCAGGGAAACAUAUUUCUAAAGACAGCAUCCCUGGCUCUUGUAUCAUAUAAAACACCCUUAAAGCAAAAAACCAUCUUUGUGAUAGUAUCAUUCUUUAAGAGCAUGAAGACUGACAUCCUUGCUUAGUAUAUGUCUUGCCUUAAUUUUUCAAGUUUUUGUUUUAUUGUUGUAUUCUCUCUUUUCCAGUUGCAUCUUCCUAAAACAAUUUACCAUAAACCUCAUCAUGUAGAUUUAUUUCCUGCAAAGAUGGCAAGUAAAAGUCAAGGUGCAGGAACGGUGAGUGUCUUAAUUUUUUUUUUAAUACUUGGGUCACUGUUUUCAGGGAUUUCUUUCCAUAAGACUCCUGAUUUUGAUAUAUUCUUCUAAAAGGUUUUUAACAACAUUGGCAGGAUAUGUUCUGCCCUGGUUUCCAAGAUCACUCACAACACUCAGGUAGCUCAUAUACUUUUCUUCCUAGUGUAAUAUAUUGUUGUUGUAAAGAAAUGAAUCUUGGGCCUUACUCAACCCAAAAGAUAGCUUAUAUGAGGAGGAUUGUCCAAGUUCAUAUAAGGAGUCCAACUGCUCCUCAUCCCACCAAUGUGGGACUUAACAAUUGUGUUAACCAGUGGCGGACCCAGGAUUUUGGUUCAGGGCUUCGGAAAAAAGCAAGCAUGCUAAUAGUGUUGACAAAUUAACGAGUCGAUUUAGAUAUAAACGGGUCAAAUCAUAUACGAGUGAGCUUAAAUUAAAUAUUUUUUUAUUAAAGUAAAUAUUUUUAUUAAAAAGUUUAUUAAGUAUAUAAUAAUAUUUAUUGGAAAUCAAUUUUUUUUAUUGAAAUAUUACUAUGUAUUGAUUUAAUAUUUUAAAGAAACCCAUAAAUUUACAAUAUAAACCUAUUUGAAAAGGUUUGACUAAGUCUUCACAAGAAAAAAAAAAGUUGUCAGAUAACACCUCCACCGAGAUUCGAUCUCAGCUAAAAUGCAUGGACCUUAACCUGCUUAACCUCUGCACUAUGUACUAAUCUUGUGUUGAGGGAGUUCAAAAUUUAAUAUAUAUACGUAAAUUGUAAACUUCAUCCUAUACGUACAGUAUAAUUUUCCGAGUGAGGGGGUUCGGGUGAACCCCCUCGGCUCCAUGUGGGUCCGUCCCUGGUGUUAACCAUUCUGCAAUUUUAUACAACCUUCUUUUUUCUUUUUGUUAUGGGUGGGUGGUGGUUCUGUAAUAGUAUAAUUGCCUUGUGUUAAGACUCUUGAAUGAAACCUAGAAUGCUGAAAGGUUUGUCAUCAUAUUAUGGUUCUUUCUGGGUAUUUAAUGUAGUAGGUUGAAAUCUUCACCUUCUAUACUAUUUUACUUAGAGAUGUCAUGGCUGUGUUGAUUUCUUCUUUUCAGUUUUCUGGUCAUUGUUUCCUACUGAUCACCAUCAAAUAUCUACUCCGGUGGACUCCUCAUUGUCAUUAUCAUUCAGGUCAGUAUCCAUUUAUCGAAUUUUGUUUCUGUUAAUGGCAUAAGUUUUGGUGGGUUUUUGAGUAAUGUAUUAUUCCCCUGUUGAGAAGAGAAAUGGAAUCAUCCCGCUACCCAGUUUUGGUGGGUUGUUGAGUGAUGUAUUACCCCUACGGAGAACAGAAAUGGAAUCAUCUUGCUACCCAGUUUCCUUAACAAAUUUCUGUUCAAUAUCAUUUCUCAUAUUAGUGAUUGAACAUAACUUAGUCUUCCAACUCUCCACUACCCCUGCUAAACAGACAGCAUCAGAUACAUGUCCUCGGGAAAACCAAUAAGACCCAAUAGUAUCACAACUUGCAUGUCAGUACUGGGGAAUGCAAGGGUGGGUCUCGCUCUAUUGAUCAGAAAUAUGAUCUUUUUUGUUUUUGUUUUGUUGCAUGGAACAAUUAAUUGAAGCUGCUUGUAGGAAACAUGAAACUAAAGUUGUCCCUUUAUUUUGUCUGCAGCACGAUUCCACACUCAACUAUUGGAGCUCCACAAUCAACUGGUUUUGGCAUGACAUCUCUGCAGACUAACUUCUUGGAGCGCCCCUUUCUGGCUAUGUCGUCAUCCUUUCAGCAGGGACGUUGCCUUUGAGCUCCUGAUUCAAGUCUCUAGUUCGACUAAAUAAGCAAUUAUACUAGUAUUUAGUUGUAAUCUGUAAAUGUAGUUGACAGCACAAUUAAAGUCUAUUUACUAGAUUUUUUUCAUAAUUCUCAGAAGAUUCUCUUCUAAAGAUGUAGAGUGACCCACACCCCUUUUAGGCGGUGUAGUUGGUGUCCUUGUGGGAACAAUCGUAUAGAAGAUGACUGAAGUAUACUGUUGUAAUUAUUAAACCAUCAUAAACGUGGAGAAAGAUACAACUCUAGUUCUUUAUUUAGUUUUUGUUUUCAUUGUUAGUUGGAUGAGCUGAUUGCCUGGCCUUUUGGGGCCACAAAAGAUUUGCUAGCUACUCUUGAAUAACAUCACUUCUUGAAAAGUUUAAUGUCCAAUUUCCCCUUGGAGGUAGGGACAUAAUCACAUAAUGAAAUUUUGAAUUUGUACUUUGGGAAUUAAUAGUUCAAAUUCAGAGUUGUCAACCAAAGACCAGAAGAGAAAAUUGAAAAUGACAAAAAUGGUCUCUUAUGUCUCUGUAAGUUUAAAUAGUCCACAAACUAUAAUCUGAACAUUUUGGUCCUUUUAAGUUUGUCCACACUUUUGAUCUACGACGAAUAUAUAAAAAUUUAUUUGUGGGAAUUCACAUUUGGAGGUAUAAUUAAUAUAGUUUAUGAUAUUCAUGGUCUAUUUCUAGAGUUUGAAAUCUUACUUUUUUAUGUACGAUAUUAAUAUAGUUUCUGCUAUUUAUGAUCUAUUUCUAGAGUUCGAAAUUUAACUUUUUUUAUAUGCAAUUUUGGGUAUGUUUAUUGUUUAGUCUAUUUUUUAGUGUCUACUACAAUUCUUUCCAUCGUAAGAUGUAGCAAGACUUUUCUGGUGUUCUAUGGUUUAACAUUUUUGUCCACAGUUAUCAUAAAAUUUAAGAUAAUUUUUUAAAAAUAUUUAAAGGAGAUUAAAAAUGCCCAUUUUUGUCAAACUCAAAGAACCAAAAUCAUUCAAAGCAUACUUAAAAGACUAAUUUGUACGUACCUCAAAUAUAAGGGACCAAUUUCGUUAAUUUCCUCAUCAAAUGUCCAACCUCAUUAUUUUUUCCUAAACUGUAACGUAACCUCCUUAAUUAAUGAAACUGUGAGACUCUAAUAACCAAUCAACCACCGCUAAAUCAGGUAACACGUGGCAGAAGCCCAGAUAAUCUCCAAAAAACACACAACUCCACUCUGAUUCAAAACCUUUUUUCUUGUUUUUGCUUCUUCAACUCUUGUUGGCUAAGUAAACUUCUCAAUUCUAUCAUCAGCUUCUUGAAGUCCACUCUUUUCUUCUAAACCUUAAAAGAGUGGAUUUUGAAAACCCCCAAAAUCACAGUAAUAGUUAGUAGAGUUUUGCAGGCUUACAGUUAUGGGUGGAGAUACUACAUCCCCUCAUUCUACUCUCAUCCAUUCCACUGGUACAAUAUAUGAAAAUCUUCCCAUAUUGUUUUUUUUUUGUGGGGUGGGGUGAUUUUUCACAUUUCUUGCAUAUUUUUGAUAUGUAUGUUUGUAAAGUAUGGUGUGUUUUGAGAAUCAGUAGUUGUCAGGUUCAAAUUCCGAGAUAAAAAAUAGUACUAGGUGAUUUCUCCCUAUUUGUUCUAACUGACAGAGUUUAGUGGUGGAAGGUGACAUAUAUUUCGUGGAAUUAGUUUAGAAAAUGAGGUGUAGCAGUAGGUUGACGGUUUUGAACAUCUGAUCAUAUAACUCACUGGACUAAUUUGGACUUGAGACAAACAGUUGAUUGAUUCUUGCAUAGUUUUUUUCUUAAUUAAAAAUCUAGACUUGAUACACUGACAAGGCUGAAAAAAAGAUUGAACUUUUGCUACUUGCAGAAGAAUAGUCAUCUUUUGAUCAAAAUAUCCCUGGAAAAAAAUCUAGUUUUUUUCUUAUUUAAAAAUCUAGACUUGAUACACUGACAAGGCUGAAAAAAGAUUGAAUUUUUGGUACUUGCAGAAGAGUCAUCUUUUGAACUGAAGUUCCCUGAUAAUCCACCAAGUUCGUCUUGGUUUCGCAGGUAUUUUCUGUUACUGGUUCAUGAUUUUCUACAAUCAGAGACUCUACACAGGCUCUGUGUGUGUAUGUGUACAUGUUUGUUAUAUCAGUGGUUGGAAAUUGGAAUGUGUGCAGUGGUAGUGAUCUUUUUGGCUCAAAAGUAGAGAAUGGAGAAGUUGGACUAGGUUCUAUGGAUUUGGAGGAAUUCUUUCAAGCUUCUUCAGAUGUAAUUGAUGAGGUGAAUAAAAAGCGGAUAAGGAAUGUAUAUAUGGACGUCCUCAAGAGCUAUGAGGAACUGCAGUUCCAUAAGGAUUAUUUGAAGGAAGCCAAAAGUAAAAUCUUGAGGUACAGUAAUUUAUGGAAUUCAUUCCAGUUUAUUUGAGAGGACAAAUACAAGUUCUUCUUUUUAUGCAAUUAUUGUUUGUUCACUUAAAGGCCUAGAGAGUAGAGACAACUAGAUUUGGAUUAGUGCCCAGUGAUAGAAUAUUUGCCAUUUCUCUUGCCUAUUUUUAACUUAGUUAGCUACUUUCUAUUUUUGCAUAACCUUAUCUUACUUCAUCUCAGUAGUUAUUCAGUUUCUCAAUUGUACACGUUAGAUUCCACAUAGCAUAUUAUAAAGUUCAAAGUUCCUUGUCUUGGGUUACUUGUAAAUACUAUGCAUUUGUUGAGUUACAUGGCAAAUGAACACCUGCAGCUACACCCCUGGAUCAUGGAUUGAGGAGGUGGGUGGCAUGAAAGCGAGUGAUUACAAUAUACCAAAAAAGAUGACACUCUUGUUGAUUGGUCCAAGAGGAUCUGGAAAAAGCUGUCUUAUUAACAAGAUCUCCAGAGUGUUUGAUGAUGAUCCUUUUACACCAGAAAGAGCUCAAGUAUCGUGUAUGUUCUCUUUCCCCUUUGCUCAUGUAAUAAAGUGAAACUCAGAUAAAAUAUAUUAGAAUAAAUGUGAGUAUCAUAUUUCCUUUGUUUGUCCUAGAUACUAAUUCAAUCAUGUUGGUUUUUUCUUUACAUAUUAGUUGUCAGAUUAUUAACAUGUCAUAACAACUUCAUGGUUCUGAAUCUGUGGGUUACCAGAUUCUUCUGAUGGAGAUGGGACAUAUUUUCUCCACGAGUACACGAUGCCAAAAGGUUCUAGUUCUUUCUGUUUGUAUGACACACGUGGUUUGUCGGAUGAUUUGAAUGAAAAUAAGAAAAUUGUGGACCGCUGGAUGACAAAAGGGGUUCGUCAUGGGAAGCUAAUAAUGAGGUUUAUAUGAUUUAUUUUGAAUUUACUUAAAAAAAACUUACUUAGGGUACCUUGACUCUCUGAAAUGCUCCUUGUGACAGGGAUUCUGAUGAUGCACAUCCGAAGUCUAACGUUAGCCGAAAUAGAUACUGUGCCAGUGAGACCAAUGUGGUUAAUUGUGUCAUAUUUGUUGUCAGUGCGGUCCAAAUUCUGCAAUCGAUGGACAGUGAUGAUGAAACAAAGAGGCAACAAACUCGAGCUGUUGCUACAAAUUUCAACUACCCUCUCUUGUCAUUCAAAGGUAUUAAUUCACUUUAUUGUAAUGUUGUUAUCACUUCAAUCUGUCUUUUGGCCUUUUAAGAGCAGUGUAGUUGAUUAAAUAUUAAAUGCAUUUUGUUCGUAUUAGAAAAAUAUGUAGACAGGAAUGUUCUAUUAGAUAACGGUUAAUAUUAAUUGAAGCUCCCUUGAUCAGAAUAUGGGGGAGUUCAUUGUGGAUUUACAAAAUAAUGUUGAAGUAAUCAUGUGAAGAAGUGUUGGCCCAUCCAAAAACAAGUGUCAGAUCGAUACUAAGUUUAUAACAUAUUUCAGUAUCUAUCAUCCCAUUUCCUCUUUCUCGUUGUUGGAGCAUAUUACAGCUCUUUUAAUUUGCGUAUUCUCGCCAUCUCAGAUGAAAAACCUAUUGUUGUGCUCACACAUGGUGAUUUACUUUCACUUUCGGAUCGUACGCGCAUCCGCAUGCAUUUGGGACAGCUGCUGGGUAUUCAUCCCAAGAAACAAAUUUUUGACAUACCAGGUGACAUCAAGAUAAGUUAGCAUGCUAGUACAUGAAUUUGUUUAAGUUGAACAAAACUCUAACCACCCCGCACCCCCGUUCUAUGUUUCUCCUUUUGGUUUUGUGUUUUCAGAAAGUGAUGAUUUUGGGACUAGGUUGACUAUACUCAACAUGCUGCGCCAUUGUCUUGAGCAUGCUGAUAAAAACCUACCCUUCAAAAAAGGCCUACCUUUCAAAAGCCCAUAUAGCAGCAAGGUGAGAUUAUUGUUAGAGCAAAUUACAUGGUUGAUUCAUGUUUUAGGCGGUUUCACUUCUUUGUUAGGGACUUUUUAAAGUUCAUUUGUCUGUAAAACGGCUUUACUGCACCUUCCUUUGAUCAUUGAUGGACAUCUCCUAGAUCAAAUGGGUAUUCUGUCAACACUUCAACCUUCUAGCUAGAGUCUUUUGGGAACUAUCAAUUUAGUUAAAUGUUGAAGCAGUAAUGCAUAAUUACAGAGACUUUAAUGUUGGUCAUUUUUCACUUGUAUGCUUUGCCUCUUGGCAAGAGUUUCCUAUUAUGCUACUUCUAUGGAUCUAGGGUGUCGCAUGUUCAGAUGAUGUCAAACUUAGGCUGAGUUAAAAUGGGUGAGUAAAUAAAGAGUCAUGUAGCAAUCACUCAAAGUUCACUUGCGUCAGAAUGGGUUGAGGUGUGAGUCACAGUCCAAGCCAUCCAACUAGAAAUCACUUCUACAGUUUUAUUUUUCUCUGUAAGCUUUACAGUUGAGUUGCUAAAAAUCGUUCACUCUGCAAUAAGCGAAAGAAUUUGGCUGUAAUUUUCUUUAUUCAAGUCAUUUACUAUUUAACGACCCCCAACUUGCCUGGAUUGAGAUAUAGUUUAUUCCUCUAUUAUUUGGCGAAAUCCUGUAGUGGUUAGCAAUGUAGCCUGUUGGAUGAUUGAUUUGGGCUGUUCCUAUUUUUCCACUUAGAUGAAUGUCCCCCACGACCCGCCCAACCUGUUGAAUUUGGAUGCCCACACUUUAUGGCUCAAUACCGACACCCUUACUGAGAUCCAAUUAUGAUAUUGCUAUUUCUAGUUCAUCGGUAUAUAUUUGCGCACACAACUGAUUUUAGGUAUAGCACUUAACUAGUAUUAUGACAUAGAUGGAAGAAGUACAAUGCACGUAUUCAUUGUUUUAGAGACGAUAAUUGAUUUGUGCUGCUUGUAAACUCGACCAUACUCUGCAUCUACAUGUGCUCUUCAGUUUAAAUUACUGCUUCUUGUGCAAUUUCAAAUCAUGUAGUACUGUUUUUGCUUUUAGGGGGCCUUGCAGAUGCUUGCAGUACGUCUUCUAUUGACAUAUGCGGUUCUAGCAAUACUUUUCGGAAUGGGGAUGAUGUUCAAGAAUACUCUCAAAGCCAAAGUUGCCUCAGUUCCUGAUUCACAGGUAUCACAAUCACAUAUGGACAUAGAUUGGCAUGCAACUGCUGUUGAUUCUGCACCCAAUCUUCAGCCUGAGGCAAUGCAACCACAUGUAAAAGUAGAGUGUCAUGCAAGUGAGGUUGAUUCUGUUCGCAAUCUUCACCCUGAGGCCCCCCAAUCAGAUGAAAGCUUAGAUUGUCCUGCAAGUGAGGUUGAUACUGUGCGCGAUCUUCACCCUGAGGCCCACCAAUCAGAUGAGAACUUAGAUUGUCAUGCAAGUGAGGUUGAUUCUGUUCGCAAUCUUGACCCUGAGGCCCCUCAAUCAGAUGAAGACUUAGAUUGGGGUGCAAUCCGACACUUAUGGUCUGACUAAGUUUAUUGAUGAGCUCCGAUGUAUAGAGGUUGAUGCAUACUUUCUCUGUAUAAACGGCAUAAGAUGUCUUACUUUCCUUGUAUAUAUAGCAACUUUCAGCAAUAAUUCUCUUGGAAAAGAGUGACAGUUCUUUAGGAACUCUUUGCAAGUUGAUCUUUACGAGCGUUUAACUGAACUGUUUUACUACUGUUGCUGUUGCAUAAGUGACUAUUCUCGCUAUGAGAAGCACACUUGUCGUGGCGUGGCAUUAUUUUACAUAUAUGGCUUAUAUUGGUCGGGUUAGUAAAUAGAAGAACUAGCAAAGCUUGUCAGCAUUUUAACAUGCACAUAGGAGGAAACUAAUAGGACAGAGACAUUUUGAUUUACUGGGAUUCAAAAGUCAAUAAUUUGUACUUCUAUGAAAUUUAACACACAUUAGGUUCGGAAGACAAGUGUAAGCACUGAUUCACAUGGUACUGAAAUAAAUUCAACCAGGACUUCAGUAACAUUAAUAUUGCAGAAGAGAUUGGAAAACAUCAUAUAUGUAUAUGCUAUAAUAAGGCACAAUGUGCCAAGUAUGACACUUAAAUCAAUGGCAACUGCAUUAGAAAUGAAAAACCAAGGGCAACUUAAAAAUAUUGCUGGUAUGGUCCCUUGCUCAUGCUAAAUAUUACAAGGAUGGAAAAAAAAUGGAUAAAAUUUCAUAACCUCAUUUAUCACUAUGCUAUAGAAGUAAAAACAGGACCUCCAAGCAAAGAACCUACAUUCUUGAAUUCAGCGCGAGUUUGCUUCUCAAUACCUUCAGUUUUACCUGAGUAAUCCGUAGGACAAGUACUUAGCUUGCUGUAGCCUGUAUAUUUCCUUUGAGAAAAGACAUCAUCUUCCUGCAGAACAAGAGUCUGGGAGGCUCUGCAGAAAUUUUGCUCUUGCAACAGGGUCAGUGGAAAAUCGACCCAACACAGCAAAUGUGGCUGUGUUGCUUCCAAAUUUCUCGAUUCCUCUAGAUAUCAUACAGGUGUGAUUUGCUUCCACAACUACGAUAAUGUCUUCACCUAAGAAUGAUGAAACAGUCUCAGCUAUUUGUCUGGUAACCCUUUCCUGUACUUGGAGUUUAAAGCCAUAAAAAUGUACUACUGAUAGCACUAGAGGUCUUCCAACCGGGUUGACUCCAUCUGAAGAGUGAUAACCAAUGUGCACAACACCUUGAAAAGGGAGUAGAUGAUGUUCACACUGGGACCAGAAUGACAAAUUGAGCUCAGAGCAGAUGCCAUCAUUAAAAUUACCAACCUGACCAGAAGGACUUCGAGUAUCUAUUCUACUUCGAACAAAGCCAUUCAGUUUCAUCUCCAAAUUAGAGUUUCUAAAGUUCAUGAACCACUUCACAAACCUAGAUGGGGUUUCUACAAGCUCUUCUCUCAAUGGAUCUUCGCCCAGAGACUUAAGUAUUGAAUUCACUGCAUUUGUCAUAGCUGAAUUUGCUUGUCCUAGCAUGCCACAAGAUUGAGAUGGGCACCAUGAUUGGCUAGAGGAUCUACGAUGAGCAUUGUCUAUGCUUAUACCUCUGAAUUUUAGUAGACUCCAAAAAUCAGUCCAAACAUCAGCAUUUCCAUCCUCAAAAACACCAGAACCUGAGGUAGCUGUUAUCUUUACCCAUCCUUGGGAAGUCGAGUCGAGAAAUGCUGAUUCAAAAUUUGGAAAACAAAUAUGCAUACACUGUAGAACCACAGCAACACCUGUUGGCUUGAUUCCAUGCUGCAAAGCAGUGCAAACUUCAUCCGCAAGGCGCUGUGGACUUUGGAGCCGUUUUGCAAAAAUAUCAGCAACCCGAGAAAGCUUGCUUAAUCCUACAACCCUUUUUCCAGAUGGGACAUAACCUACAUGACACUUAACCUGGAAUGGAAGCAAGCAAGACUCACAGUAUGAAAAGAGAUCAAGAUCUCGAACAAUCACAAGCCCACCAACUCCUCCAGCCUGACCACUUCCACCUUCCAAUCCAGCUUCAGGGAAUAACGCGCCAUGAACGAUAUCAUUCACUUUUUGUUUGUAACCUUCAUACAACACAAAAUAUGAAAGACUAGAGUCAAACAGUAGUUUAAAACAUCAAUCCACCGACCCAUCUACAAUUGAAACUAUCAACAUGUUUCAUGCUAAUAGAAGACGUAGAUAUCCCUUGCAUACAGCAUGAUGAGUUCUGUGGUGAACUAGCAUAAGAUAGAUGUUCAAUGACUUGCAACAAUUUGUUAUGAUGUAAUCAAGUUCUUGGUGUUCAAAAUUUUUUCACUAAAGAAAUCCCUGCACUUGUUUCAACCUAGAACAGAAAUCCAGCACUAACCAGCAACCAACUAUUUAAAUGUAAACUGCAGAAAGGAGCAAAGAACAAGAAAGAAUGUUUCUUAAAUAAACAAGAUGAAAUUCCUAAUUGCAUAUGAAGAAACAUUGUUCCUAGAGAUGCUUCUCUUGACUAGAAAAAGAACACAUGAUAUAAUCUUUACUUCCCCUCACGUGUAUUGAAGAGACAUACACACAUCAGUUUCCUUCAACUGUGCUUCAAGGAUGAGUAUCCAAAUCAAAUACAUGGUUGCAACUACUUGACGGAAUAUCAUUUCAUGGACGUCCAAAGUCUGGUUUCAACAUUCACGACUUCCCUUGUCCCUAACUACGUAUAGGUUCACUUCCAAUAGCUUCAUACCAACAUUUACCAAACAAAAGUGGUUAGAGAAAAUGAAGUUAUCCAAUUUGCCUAAUGAGAGGGGUUUCAUCUAACAGCCUCCAACCUCCACCUUGGUGGACACACCAGAAUGGCCGAAAAUAACCUCUACACUGGAAAUUGAGCCACUUUUCCGAAACUUCAAAAGGUGCAGCGCUGGGUUCAUCUAGAAAAUAUGAAAUACAGAAAGCUCAUAUCCAACAUUGAAAGACAACUUUUUUUCUGGAAAGUUUGACGACUCAUGCUGCACUAAAUGCAAAGCUAAACAACAGGUGCAUUAGGAGAUUACUGAACUUCCUAAAGGGGGCAAUGGAAAGCUGGAAAGCCCAUCGAUCAAGAAGUCACGGCAAACCAUCCAAAGAUACAGUUUUGGACCAUCUGGAGGGAAGGAAUUUGAGAUAUGAUGAGGGGUUGGAAAACACCACCCUAACCUGAAAAGCCUUCUGAAGUUUGAGGCAAUCAUUUUUUUUGAAGAUAAACUGAAGUUUGAGGCAAUCAUUGCUUCAAUAUUCCAGAAUAAAUAUUCUGGCUACACAAUGAAAAUAAUUAUUUGGUGUAAUGAAGAAAACCAGACCUGGAAGUACUUUUAAAACUCAAUUUUAAAAUGGUAUAAAAGCAACUAAAAUAGUCCUCCUAGAAAUGACAAAGCUUGUUUGUCUGGUUAAAGCUAAUUCCUCUACCUUACCCGUUCUCUUUCCUUUUAUACAUAAUAAGGACAGACUGCUCAUAAUUGCAGAACCUUCACUAAAGGAGAACAAAAAAAGACCAAUUCAGUAAAUUCUUCAACAAAAAAAAUUCCAUCUUUUGGCAUUUUCCAACAAGGGAAACACACAAACAAACAGCAUGAUGCAAAAAUAAGCAUUCAUACUAGCAGUCCUUACUAAUAAUACUCUGACAAGCUUGAUGCACAAACUACACUUUCCCCAGAUCUCAUGGAGAUAUUAAGUUAGCAGAUCCAUUGACACAGAACAAAUAAAAAACAAGUAUUACAAAAUCCAAAAGGGUGUCAAAGUUUACCUCUUGUUCCUUGUCGAAGAGCCUUAGCAACACGAAAAGGGGUUUUCUUGAUUCCUUCCCUAUUGAUAUCUUCACCCAAACCCUGCAAUAGGACUCUAACAGCAUCCUGAAUAGCCAGUGUUUCAGGCUGACUUUCAAAGCCAAGCUCAAAACUAACUUCGUUAUCUAUUUCUGCAUGAUAAUGCCCUUCAUCUAAUGCGCCCAUUGACACACAAAACGAAAUAAUACAACAGAUCUUACCACCUGAAUCACAAGUGAUGAAUCAAGAACAAGAACAAAAAUUGAAUCUUUAAUUCGAAAGAUUUUAGCCAAAGAUUCCAAAUUUGAGACACCCAAUGACCCAAAUGAGGAAAAUUUGACCAAAAAUAGGGAUGAAAGGGGAUUUGUAGGGCUGCUAUUGAUGAACAUAUACUAUAGGGAUCUGGAGAUGAGAUGCAUAUGCAUUACUACAAGAACUUUGCAGUAUUUAAAAAAUGUUUUCUUUUAAUAAUAAAAAAUACGCAAAUAAAUAAAAAUAUGAUUUUUUUUUUAAAAAAAAAUGUAAGGUUGCAGUUGAUAUUGGAAUGUGUGGAAAGCUUUACCUAAUUCUGUCACGGCACUACUUGUGUACAAAAUUAAAGAUUUAAGUUGUGAAUUUAUGAUAUAUCAAACUAUUGAAAACAUCCCCUUAUUAAUUUAUAGCUUUAAAAAUAUUUAUUUAUUCAAUUAAUUAAACUUAAAUAUACAUCGAUCUGUCACAUGACAUAGAAAGUAAUCUUAAAUUCUUGUAGGAGCAUGAAACUUUUAAUAAAAAGCCGAGAAAUUAUAAAUAUCGAAGGUGUAUGCAAUAUCAAAGGAUAUAUGUGUAUUUAAAUUUAGUUAGUCAAAUAAGAAUGUAUUUUUAAGAUUGUCAAUAAUUUGAGGAUAAAACUAAUAAUUCACGCUAAAUUUAGGAAUUCGGAACUCAAACCCAACUUGGCUUGUCUAUUCCAUCCGCCGUCGCAUUGUAGCAGUUAGAUGAGUUUCUCAAUCAUUCAUCGCAUGGUUGUGCUUGGCAACUCCUACACCAAUAAAACUUGUGAAGAUCGUUUUUAUUUAAUUGAGUGGCUUUUCGAGGAGUGGAAAGGUUAAUAGAUUCAAUCGAACUCAAUAACUUUAGUUUAAAUUUGGUAUGUAUUUUAAAUUUUUUAUUUAAUAUAUAUAAUUUAAAUGGACUAAAAAUGGGCGGGGCAUUGGUGAAUGUUAUCUUGUAUACACCAAUUAAAGUGGGUGGGGAAUUGAGAUGCCACUAGCCAGUGACCACUAAACAAACUCAUCAUUUUGUCUUCUACUUAAACAUGGCAAAAUCCUCAUAUUGCUCUUCAAUUUCAACUCUGUGGGACCAAAUUUACCAUUUUUGAAAGCAUAAGCAUGGCAUAGAAAUGGAUAAUAAUAACAUUCACUGAGAUUUGGUGGAAUUUUGAAAAUGCAUGAGACAUGAUUUCCUCCUUUAAAUUAAGGACUUUUGGUGGGGUAAGGAAAGGGAAAAUCAAGGAGAGAUUAUGUGGUGGGAAAUUGAACUUUAUCAAUAAAGUUAUCAACUGAGUCACUAAGAUUCUGUCGUUAGUAAAUUCAAAAAUAUUUUUUCUCAAUAAGUAGGUUGUUCUAUGAUAAAUACUAAAGAGAUAAUUCUUUCGAUUUCACUCGUAUCGCACUACUAGCUUUUCCGUUGAAAUCAUAAGCAGAACUCAUAAAAUAUAUUCAGAAUUCAAGUCAAAUUCAAACUUAGCGAACUGAAACAUCUUAGUAGCUAAAGGAAGGGAAAUCAACCGAGACCCCGUUAGUAGCAGCGAGCGAGAGCGAAUUGGGAUUUGAAAAAAAACAAACACGAAGCUUCGUUCAAAUAACUGGCUGGCGGUCCACUUAGUCGGCUCAAACUGGACAGAAAGGGAAAUAAACGCUGUUUUAGAACAAGCAGUUUUUCCAGUAAUGAUUAAGUUUCACCAAUAAAGUUUCUGUCAAGUGAUGUUAGCUUGGUUAAUUUCUUGCUUUUGUUGAUUGUGUGUGUGGCAUUUAACUUGACUUUGUAGCUACUCAAAAAAAAAAAAAAGAUGACUUUAAUUUGCUGGAAAGGAUUCUUUCAAUUAAUUUAUUUUUCACACUGGAUUCGAAUUUUAAAAUGAACUUUUCACCAACCUCAAAAAAAGAGUUGGGGUGUGGUGAUGACCACGAUAUAAAGAGCAAAGAAUAAGGACUUGAGAAAUGAUAUAAUAUACAUUAAUUUGAUAUCCUGUCAAACAUAUCACAAAAUUCUGCGUAAAAGGUCAAAAACACAUUUAAAAUAUCUUGAUUAUUGAAUUCUAAAAUGUCAGGUGUGUGAGCUUACUAUUGAACUAUUACCAAAUAAUUAUCGAAACACACCUUGACUAUUAGUUAUUUGUUUUCCUACUUAAAUGAUAAUGAUAUUUCAAAUAGAAAACUCUCACACCUGAUAGUUCGAAUAAGUAUGUUCUUAAUUCUUCACUCUAAUUGUUUUUAAAUGAUAUUUUAUUUUAAAUUUUGUGUCAAAACAAAUUACCGUAAAAAAGAAGAAGAAGGUUAUAGGACGAAUGGAGCAGUAUAAUCUCAUGUGGGCUGAACCAUUAAAUGGCUGGUCUAGUCAUGGGCCGAGUCCAGGAUAUUUGGGCUUUAUUGUGUAGUAGCCCAGUUGCCAAUAUAUACCUUCACAAACCAAUAUCGUGACCCGAAAUAAUAAGAAAGAAGCGAGUACACUCUCAGUACAGCUCCAAGCCAUCAAUGGAGAAAAAUUCGUCAGUCGGUGCGAAGCCAUGGAGUCAUCAUCCUCAUCACCAUCACCGUCAUCAUCACUUUCAGAUAUUGCAUAAUUGUCCAUUUCACAGCUACAUGUUGCAGCGGAACAAACAUGGACCAACAUGCCCACUUUUUACUCCUUCUCCAUUGCCGCAAAACCCUGAACAAAUUACUCCGUCUUUACUGCCGGACGAUUUGAAUAUGCAGAUUUCUGAGCCUAAUGUCAGUUUUAACGACUCAGGGUAACUUUCACUCAAUUAAUUAAUGCUUUCUUGUGCUUUGAUUGAAAUUGGGUUGAUUGUAUUUUCUGCACAGUUGCUACCAUUGCACUUGGAUUUUGUGAUUACUGAUUAUAUAAAAAUGCCAUAUGUAUUUGCUGGUAAUAGUUUUAUUUCUUGAUAUUUUACCUUCUUUUAAUCAUGAUUUUCUGUAUAACACAAGCUUAAAACAUCAGCAUUACUGAUCACUGAAUUUCUGAUUUUGUUUAGAGGCUAGAAGUUUCUUUUGAGGCACCCAAGGGUGUGGCCAAGUGGUUCAAGUCCUAGCCGAGACAAAAAAAACACUUGUGAUUUUUUUCUGUGUCCUGUUGUUGAUAGAAUUAGUGGAAAUGCACACAAGCUCUUUUGGGCACCACAGUUAUAAAAAGAAAAAAGGAAGUUUCUUUUGAGUCGAGGGUCAAACAACCUCACAACCCCCACAAAGGUGGGAGUAAUAUCUGAUUGAUUGUUUAAAGGCUAAAAGUUGGUAUAUUUCAUGGCCACCUUUUGAGUGAAAAGUCUGAAAGCCUGGAAUUCAUUUUCCACACUUGGGAGUUGUUUUCUACUAGUGUAUGGGAACUGGGAAGUAACAAUCUAUUGCAUCUAUAAUUAAACGUUGGUUCAAUGAUGGUGAAUACUAGUGUAUGAAAACGCACCUCAGCCACUGAAGGUGCAGAAUGUUUGCUUACUAUGCACUGUCUGGUAUUAUUUUCCUCAGUAGCUAAUGUCAGUCAGACUGCAAUUAGAUGCAGCAAUGGUUGGACAUAUUAAACAAAAUUCAGUAAUUACCUAUUCUGCUGAUUGUGACUCAACUGAUUAUUAUCCCUUCCCGAUAGGUCUACAUCCAUCCCUGAAUCUCGUGGGUUACUAUUUUGUUCCCUUCAUUCUUGUAAAUGUCACCUGCGAUCUGCGCAGGUGUUUCUGCACCCCUGAGUAGACAGGAAAUAAAGGAUUUCCAUUAGCAAAUUGAGGAAAGAUAUUACAAAUAGUUUGUGGAGAUCCCAAAUGACGACUUAUAGGAGCAUCAACUCCCCCAUCCAGCAAUAUACACCGCAUCUCUGCCUUCACGCUCUCCUCCUUGUCCUGACCAGUUUUCGCAGCUGUCCUUUUCUGUUCCCAGAGCCCAUUUUUCCUUAGCUCUGUCCAUUUUCUCUCUAUCACCGUGGAAUUUUAUGCUUAUGUAUAACUUCUCUAGGAGUCCUACAUCUUCUUACUGAAUGCAACCAUCUCCAAGUCAUCCUAAUUCUCUCGACUCCUCAACAUAACAUUUGAAAUCCAUUCCACAUUUUCAGAAGUCCUCUCAGUUUCAGAACUGUGCAUGGGAAGUGGUAAUAUUGAGUUGAUUGCUGCUGAAUUUGGGACUCAAGAAAUAGGUCCAAAGUAAAUAGUGAUUUCUAUGCAUGUUCUGUUUGUCAAAGAAAAUUGAAAAGAGGAGGGAGUUUGUCCAUCCCAAACACGGAGAAGUACUUGAUCCCACUUUUCUUGUCUUUUAGUUUGUUCUUGGAAAAGGGGAUGAAGAUUGGUUUUGUGAUAGUUUGAAAGACAGAGUAUUAGUGGGUGCUAGUUGACUGGUUGAUCUUCUGUAUUUGUUGUAAUGCUACAUUUGAUUGAAACCUGAAGCAGGAAAUUCUGGCUUCAAAUAAACUCACAGGAAAUAAAUAUAGAUUAUAUUGGAAGUUUAAGAGAGUUUCAAUGGACCACUCCUUAUAGAAUGCAGAGGAAAAUGGUAAAAAAUCACGGACCUGAAUUUAAAGUUUCGGGAAUCAAGUAGGUGGUGUAGGAGAAAUUGAAGCUAGAACCUCACUGGCAUGAUUCCUUUUUGGUAUACAUGUGAAGCUGUGCGCUUGUGAAGUUACCCUUGUGUUAGAGCUGUCAAUCUUAAGGCUCUUUCAUCCGGUUGAUUUUAACUUUUUUUUGUGUGUCUUCAUCUGAAGAAUGAUGCAAAAUGAAGGUGAGAACUUUGAAGAUGAAGAUGAAGAAGAGGAGCCUAUUUUUGUCCUUACAGAUGAAUGGAGAGAUUUCUUUGCCAAAUCUGAAGCUAAAAGGAGACAAGGUAUUUUCACCACUUCCUUCUCUUUUAACUGUACAACUUUUGCUAGAGGUGUAGUGAACUAAUGUAUUUGAUCGGUCUGCAGCAAAAAAACAUGCUAAGAAGAAAGGGAAGGGUAAGAUCACAAAUGGGAACACACCAGCAUUGGAGGACUGAUUGUGACGUGAAGAAUGAAACUGCUAUAUGUCCAGAAGACAGGACCAGGAUAAACCCCUUUGGAUAGUUGUGACAGAAUACCAAAUAUCUUAAUUCUAUAGCUCAAGAAAUGUUUCUUUGCUCGAGAAGAUGUUAUUAACUAUUGAGUAUCACCUGAAGAAGGAAUAUGAGCUGAUGUAAUAUGCAUUUUUCAAAUGUUAUCAUCAUUGUCAUCAUUUACGCCUUUUAAUGAAUAUUUUUGUGACAUCCUUGGUUGAAGUAUCGUUUGUAUGUCAUGUUAGCUGCGGACUUGCAGUUGCUAUUGUUAUCAUCCCAGGGCUAUCUGCAGAUUUCUGCUUGGUUUUCAAUUAUCCACAACAUAGAACGAGGGAGCCAACUCUUUUUUCAAGGAACUGAAAAUGUCAUAAUGCUAAUAUAUCAGGGAUUUGAUGUUUAUGUUCCUACCAUGUCCUUUCAAGAUAAUAUACAAUAGUAACUGGUUCACAGUCAAAUAUUUAUAGAUAUCUAGUAAAUUAAGUACUUAAUAAUAUAUCUUGCCCGGAAGCUAGGUGCCCUGGUAUCAACUAUCUUCCAGCUAGCUUGCUCAUGGCGGCAUUUACCCUCUCAUCUGAGAUCGAUCUAUGGCCGUCAUAAUAAUCUAGUAUCUCCAUUGCUAUAUUUUUCACCUGUCAACAUUUAGAACUUCAUUAAAAGAUGGUUGUCCAAGCAGCAACUUGACAUUAAAAUAAGGGAUAGUCUAACGAUGGUCUUGUUAUAUUUUGAAAUCAUUGGCAAAGUUAAGCUUGCAUACAUACCACAUUCAUAUCAACUCGAAGCUCCUCAAACCAGGCAGUAGUUUCUUUAUCUUUCAGCACACUUGCAAUAUAUAUGCAAGCUAAAGUAAUCAAAUGUGGCGGAUGAAUGAGAAUUAGGUCCAUCUUAUAGGUGUCAUUUAUAAGUCCCCUAAAAGAAGCAGAAUUCAGAAGUUAUCAAGAUAAAAACAAAACGAAUGUAGAAUUUUGGAGAGACAUAUUAUGGGAAGUAAUAUUUUAGAGUAAUCUGACAAAUUUCGCAACUAGAAGUCAAAGAUAGGAAAGCCUCGGAAAGUUUCUUACCAAGUCAAUUGAGUUGCAUCAUUCAUGCCGGCAUCCUGAAGGAACCUGCAAAAUUGAGUUAAGAAUCAAGUUGUAUGCUGAGAGAAAUUGAUCAGCUACACAAGGAGGUAUCUAGGAGAUACUUACUGUGCUAAUGAACGAUAUGGAUGAUAUACGACUAAGUAAUAGUUUAGGGCUUCCAGAACUUUCAUCUCCAUGUCUAGUAUGUCUUUUAUUUCAUAUUUAUACUUCUCAUCCGAAUCUGCAGAAGCAAGUCAGAAAAAUCAACGUCUUGCAUUAGAAAUGAACUAAAUUGGGUAUGUAGCAACAACAGGAUAUCAUAAGAAGUACUUUUUCAUUGUAAUCUAAUAUGUUCUUACAUAAUUUCUUGAUGUAAAAUACAAGAAGUCGGGCCUGCACAGUGCUUUCUUCUGCUUUUGAUGCCAAAUACAAGCAAGUUGGAGCAACCAGACGAGGAUCAUACUCGGUCAUACUUCUCCUAUGGACAAGAAAAAAGAUGGUUAGAAAGAAUGAUAAAGUAGAAUGGUGGUUCAAGGUGAAGCAAUAGUAGGCCUGUAGAGCAUAAGUGUGAAUUUAAAAGUUUCAGUUUUGAAACAGAAAGGACACAGAGUCCAAAUUAGAGAAUUUUCCUUCCAAUUCGUAUGACUUUGUCCAGGAUCUAUUCCAGAAAAGAGUUAGCACAGGAUCCCAAACAUAAAUAUAAAACUGGUUCAAAGAAACAGAGCUGAGGGUGCUUUUUUACUCUUUAAGAUAGCAUUUUUUUUUAACAUACGAAAGCAUAUGACUUCAUGUUUGUCAGUUAUGUAUGCAAAUGCGAUUUAUUGUACACAUAUUUCUUUUUUAUGUAAGAAUAGCUAAAGUGGUCCAUCCAAUAUCCUUUCCAAAUCAGCUUACUUAUUUUACUUAAUUUGCUUUGGUUUAGCAAAGUCAUUUGCUGAUAAAGUGGUUCUACCAGAACAUAAUAAAUCACAAUUUGAGUGGCCAUAGCUGGUGCUUGCACAUAUCUGUGAGGAAUUUCUGCGGAGAAGUGACUCGGCAGACUCUCUCUCAGACUGCACAGAAUUUCCCUAUCCAGAGCUGCAUCGGAACAUUAUUGCCAGUAAUACCAAUCUUCUUUUCUCAUAAGUUCUACAUUUUUUUUCACAGCACUGAUUCACUAGUCCUCUUGUAUGAUUUAUUUAAGCAAGCUAAAGAAUUUAUGCAAUGUCUUUAAGAACCAUUACCCCAUUAGUUCAUCAUUCAUAAUCUUAUAGGCUUAAAGCAAUAUGGAUUUAUGUCUGGGUGGUGGCUUGUCGGAUUAAAAGUUCCUAAGUAAUGUAUCCUAUAUGCCAACAAGCUGAAGGUCCUUUUAAUAGGCGGACUUUUCUGGUUAGGUAAAUAAUUUACAGCGAAUAGUGUAUUGUCCUCCUAAUACCAAAGAUAGCAUGAUAUACCUGACAUAUACGCGUCUCAUGUACGUAAUUGCGGUAGCAACAACCCUGGAAAUAAAAAUCAUAUAUUAGAUACUAGAUUUCUGGAAGUAGCAAAAACAGGUGUUUUAAGAAGGAAAAUUACACAAACACACAUCGUCAGUUCCCUUCUGUGAAAGUUAUGGAAAUACAUGUAAUAAACACUCAGGUGCAAAGAGCAAUCUUGAAAAGUUUGUGAUGAAAAAAAUAACUAUGUCGAUAGGUAAUCCACAUUGUAUGAUCCACAUAUUGAGCAGAGGACACACUUAUGUAGUAUCACAGCAUUGACCUUCCUCUAUCGUCAAGCAAGUCCUCUAACUAUUAAACAGCUACAGCUAGUAGAUUCUUCCCCCUUAUUCACAUCCAAGUAAUGGAAUAGAUAAACGAACACAUAAUGUCGUGCAGUAUAUAUCUUCCUACAGGAAAAUAAUAGGUCUAAACAAAUAUUGAUCAUGUCAAUGGAAACAACAUCCAAUAAGCAUGUAUUUUUAUGACCAAAUAGCUCUUCCAGUUUUUCAGCUAAAGGUUAUGAACCUCACAGAAACAUUAUGCUCUUAAAGAGACAGUGAUGCUGAUGAAGGAACAUAAGAAAUACCUAUUACUUAUAGCAGAAGUUUUAUAAGCAGAUGAGGAGAGAAAACAGACCUUUGUCUCACUUUCACAUUUUGAGCCAAUCUUGCAACAUCUGCGAGGGAGCAGAAAAUUUAACAAAUCAAACGAUAUGGAAAACGGUAAUUAAAUUGUCCUGUGCAAGAUGAUGAUUGAUAAUAAGGAACUGCAAGCCAGGCAACCAGUCACAUAUACAUUAAAAUAAAACAAGUAAAGCACAAAUUCUGAGAAGUUUGAAGGCAUGCAAAGUAUGUUCGAGAAAAGAUAAGUGGUGCUCAAGAGGUAUACUGAAGGUUUCAAUUGUUUCAACUAUGCCAGACAAUUAAAUUUAACUGCAACUACCAGUGUGUACAUCAGCAAAAUUGGCCAUAUAUCAUGUAGAAAGAUGCACAUUUUGAUGUUGCCACUGAGUGCCGAAAAAGUACUUUGUCUAUGUUACAUACUUCAGACAAAUAUUUUUGUUAUGUUGGGUUUUUAUUAUAAAAUGUAUCAUUGUGAUAUUGCAAUAGAUCGUGAAUCAGAGCUUUAUCCAUUUCUGUUGACUAAAUUUCCAAUCCCAUAGCCGACAGCCUCCUUCAGAAGAGAUAUAAUAUCUGGUAUUCAUGCCAAGGGGAUCAGGCACAUAACACGCACAUCAGCCUUCCUAAAGUACAUUUUGAGCUCUCAAAUACCAGCAGUUUUCAUUCUUCCAAAACAAACCUCCAAGCCAAUAUAUAGUUUCUUAGCAGGCAAUAAAUCUUAAAUGACAGUUUUAAUAGAUUGGCGUAUCAAUGAAAAUUCUAAACUAAAAGGCAGUGACAACAUAGAAAUUUCCCAUUUCUGAUCUUCGGAUCUUGAGUAAUGGUAUUAAUUUCUUUCAUGAUAGGAAAUUAUUGGAUACCACUAGAAAUAGCUGAAAAGGAAAAGAAAUUCUUUAUUUUAGGACAAUGGAAAACUACUUAUUAUGCAAGCUAAGAGCUGGGUCCGCCCCUCUAACCACAUCAGGAUAUAAGACAAUUAGAAAACAGACAAAAGCUAGAUAAUGGGCCCGGCCCUCUACCCUCUACCCUCUACCCUCAUCCACUUAAAUACCAGACUUUAGUCUAGAGCAAAGUUCGAACUCACGACGUGCGCCUAACCCCUAAGUUGCGUGGACUUUUAACUUCUUAUGCCGCACCCGUGUCGGAUUCUCCAAAAAUACACUACUUUUGGAGAUUCCGACAUGCACCUGUUGACAUUAUUGAAGAGUCCGAGCAACAUAGCCUAACCCACACAGCACGCGCGACGCUCUUACCACUAGACCAACGCCCUAGGGGCUCAGGAUAUAAGACAUUUAUAGCUAUUAUUAUUAUUAUUAUUAUUGGAGAAUCGUGGACCAAACAUAUCCAAUGACAAUAAAGACACAAAUAACAGAUCUUUAGCCACCGCUUUGUACUUAAAGAUGCACUUGCUGGUGCUCUUUCAUGAUCAUAAAAAAUCACUAAACUUACUGACAAGAAACAGAAAAACAGUCUCUUCAUCAAAUAUGGUAUGAAAAUGAUAGAGUUUCAGUGCUCGUCCAUAUAAUCUAGCAAAUAACACAUGCUCGAUAGGGUAAUUACUAAGCAAAUCAGAGUAAAGCUAACAUUUCGAAAAGGGUCAUUUCAGGAAUCGUAUGAACAAGAGAAAAAAAAAUGCAGCUAACAAGGUCACAAAACGAAAUCAAGAAAGAAGUAAACACAAUUAUAUGAAAACAUAAUGUGAUAUAAUCUGCAAACUCCAGCAAGUGAUUAAUACCCUUGAAAAAUUCAAAUUAACCUAAAAAGCUAUGUACUUUACGCCUGAUUCCCAUAAGCAAAAUCAACCUUGAAAACACCCCCACCCCCACACAGGGGCGGAUAUACCAUUUUGGCUACACCUACUAAAAUCUCAAUAAAUCUAAUCCCUGAAGCCAUACUUUUAACAAUAAAAUAAGUCCAAUGCUAAGAAUCACAGAAUAAACCCUUGUGGUUCGAGCCUUCCCCGAACACGCACAUAGGGCUAGAUUAGUGCUAAGAAUCAUAAAAGCUGAACCCAUUUAAUUAAAUCAUUGGUUAUGGGAAUUACAAUUGGACAUAUGCAACUUGAUGAGCUUGAAAUCAUCGAGAGUGAUGCCUCUCUCUUUAUCCAACUGAUGCACAACAUCAACCUCUUCUUGGUCCAAAAGUUCCUUGCUGCAAACAACAAGAAAACAUCAAAACAAGAAAGAUUGAAGACGAAAAAAGGGAUGAUUUUUAUACAUACUACUGAGAAGAUAUCCAGAAAUUGGCAGCCAUAUGAUGAAAAGAGAAACACACAGAAUCAGAAAUUGGGUUUGAGCCACUUUAACUUGUACGAAUUCGACAACUGAUCCAGAUUCUUCUUCUUCUAGUUUCCUUUUCCCCUGUUCUUGUGAGAGAAGAAAAAAAUGGAUAAACGUCAGCUCUCUACUUUAUUGGGCUUUAUGACUAUUAGCUUUAUAAGGCCCAUGUAGGAGUUGGCCCAACCCAAAAUCUCGAGUUGCUGCUGUAUUUUUAGUGUAAAAUACUUUUUAAUAAAUGAAAAUAAGAUAAACUACCUUAUUAGACAUACAUCACUACUAUAUAUACUAAUAUUAUCUUUAUUUUCAAAUAAUUACAUAUAUUAUCACUUUUAAUAUUUUAUAUCAUUUAUUAAUAUAUUAUUUGAAGAUACAAUUAGAUAGAUACCCACAUCCCUUAAAACUAGGAUGGAUUAAUUAUCUACUUAAUUAACUCUUUCACUCCAAAUUAACCACUAUCUCUUAAUCCUCCUUCCCAUAUUUAUCACUCAAAUUUCACCAUACAAUUUCAUUCCAACAAUAGCUAAUCUACUCUUUUCUUCUCAAGAUAUCAUCACCAUGACCAACAAAUUCUCCUAAACCCAAAUAUUAUUUUGUAUUGCUCAUUUAUAACGAGAUCAAAUCAAAGUAACUGCUACAGAGAAAACUUUCAAUUCAAAGUGGGUCUUGAUUGUUUGUCUUCGAAAGAAAUGAAUAUUAGUUUUGAUUAUGUUAUGCCACAAAGCAAAAGGAUCAAAGAGAGUAUUGUAGAGAGUUUUUGUUUGUUGGUGUUCUUAAGGCUUUCUUUGGUUAUUGUGUACAUUGAUGUGGUAGUACCAAUAUUACUUCAAUAUAGCCCUUGAAACAUGUGUAUCCAAUAAGUAGUAAUCUUAAUUAAGAUUUGAGUUUGUAUUUUUAGUAAUGGGGUAUUUGAACAUAUAUAUGUAUCCACCAUUUAAUUUCGGAUACAUGAUUUUUAACAACACCAUGAUAUUAAUGAUACGACAUACUCUACAGUCAUGAUUUGCUCUUAAAUUUAUGUGUUUCAACUACAUUUCAUAGUUAGAUACACGAUGCUUCUUCUUUUUGUAUAUUCCAUAUUUAGAUACACAUAAUUAGAUGUAUAUGCUUCUUCUUUUUGUAUAUUCCAUAUUUAGAUACACAUAAUUAGAUGUAUAUGCUUCUUCUUUUUGUAUAUUCCAUAUUUAGAUACACAUAUAUAAUUAGAUGUAUAUGUUUACUAUAUAUUCGAGAUACAUGUUUUUUGAUAUAACAUAUGCAAUUGAUACUUGAUACAUCAAAUUAAUACUAGAUACGUAUAAAAGAUGCAUGAAAUUAAUAUUAGAUAUAUAUAAAUAGAUACCUAAAAUUAAUACUAGAUACGUAUAACAAAUUAAUACAUGAAAUUAGUGUUAGAUACUUCUAUGAUACAUAUGAAUGUAAUUGUAUGACACUCAUGCAUCUAAGUGUUUAGUUUAUUGGAUACAUCAUAUAUUGAUAAUAGAUACAUCACAUUAAAUGAAUUUAUUAUUUUAAGAGUAAUAAUUUGAAAUUAAUCAAAUUUACAUUACCAAGAUAUACAUGUUUUUAUCUUAUAUUAAUAAUAUUAAUGAAUUUACUAUUUCAAAGAAUAAUAAAAUGAAAUUAAUUAUCUAUGUAUUUUGAAAAUCCUCAAUUACUCCUCUAAUUAAGGAAAUCAGUUACAACCAAUUAAUUUAUAUAAAUAAAUUUUGUAUCUCAAUUUUAAAAUUACGGUCAGAUACAUGUAUCUCAUGAAUUCAGACUCAUGUAUCCAAAGCAUGAAAUAUGGUAGAUGAAGCAAUAUUUGAAACUAUUGGGAAUCUUAAUAAUUAAGAACUAAACUAGUGGGAUUUAUGUGGUUUGCCCAUGAAAAUAUUGGAUAAUGAUCUAUAAUUUCAUAAUCUAACGUUGUUAAGUAGGGAUGAAGGGUAAUUUCUUAAGAGUUAUAUUUGUACAGCAAUAACGAAAAAUUUUACUAUGGGUGAGGCCCAACCAACCAAAGUUGGAAGAGGCUCCAUCCAUUUUUUGACAUGUGGAUCGUGGGGCCCAAAUUAUUAGUUAAGGCUAAAAAAUGAAACCAAAAGGAGAGAGAAUGUAAAGUUUGAGUGGGAAUUGCAAGAUAAUUGUGGGGUCCAUGUCAACUUUAAUUAAAUAAAUUAAAAUAUUAUAUUGAAAGUGAAAAAGUGCAAGGGAAUAAAAAGUCAUAUUAUUAGUUGAUCAAUAUUUUUAUUUUCUAUUUUAUAUCCACAUUUAUUUAACGUGUUGAAUUGAAUAUCUAUUAAAAAUAUUAUUCUUAUAUUGAAAUUUGUUUACACUCUAUUUUCUUUAAACUCGCGUUACUUUUAAAAAUAGUUCUAUAUUACAAGAUAAGAUAAGAUUUGUGUAUUUUUUAUUGUCUUCAAACUAAUUUACUAUUAACGUCAAAUACCAAAUUGAAGACAUGCAUAAUUCUAAUCACCUAUUAAAUAAACCCUUUAAUGCUACUAAAGCAAUGGGGUGAAGAAAUGGAGGACAAUAUGAAAAAAGAGCGGAAAAAAAGAAAGUGAUAUCGUUUGUUUUGAAAACUCGAAAAUCUCAUUAAAUGAUUGUUGGUUAAUUUUAUCAUGUUGCGUUUCAUUUACACAAAAUAUAAAUUAUUUCAUUAGUUAAAUUAUUUAUCGUAGUGACUAGUGAGAAUGUACAUUAUGUUAGCAUUUAUUAAUUGAGAAAAGGUUCUAUACAAACUUGUGGUCCCUCCGUCUCAUAUUAUUUAAAAUAUUUUUUCGGAAUUAUUAUUUAUUUUAGAUAAUUAAAAUAGAGUGUAUUAAGAAGAGUUACAAGGCAAUUAAGAAUUGGGUGGUUAAAAUUGAAAAUCUCAAAAAAUAAAUUAAUGACUAAAAUUUAAAUAAUUAAAAUUAAAUUGUGAAUUUUGUAAUAAAUAAUACCGAAUGAAUUUUAGUAGCUCAAUUGGUUGAUUAUAUGAAUUUUUACAUUUUUGUGAGUCAAUUUAUUUAUUUUAGUUUCACUAUCUUCAAUCUCUUUGAAUUUAUUUAAAAAAUAAUAAUUUAAUUUCAUCUGAUAUAUUAUUAUAUAUAUAUAUCCGUCGGUGAGUUCUAAAGUUUCUUUCUAUUAAAAUAAAAUUACAAAGAGAGUUGGCAAGCAAACAAAGAAAAUGCAAGUAAGAAAGAAAGAAGUAUAAGAAAAGAUUAAAANNNNNNNNNNNNNNNNNNNNNNNNNNNNNNNNNNNNNNNNNNNNNNNNNNNNNNNNNNNNNNNNNNNNNNNNNNNNNNNNNNNNNNNNNNNNNNNNNNNNNNNNNNNNNNNNNNNNNNNNNNNNNNNNNNNNNNNNNNNNNNNNNNNNNNNNNNNNNNNNNNNNNNNNNNNNNNNNNNNNNNNNNNNNNNNNNNNNNNNNNNNNNNNNNNNNNNNNNNNNNNNNNNNNNNNNNAAAAAAAACAUUUGUAUUUUCGUAAUUCAAAAUAACUCAAAAAAUAAUUAUUAUUUUUUGAAAUAGCUAUAUGUGCCGUCCUGUUUAUCCCAUCCCGUUCCGUUCCGGUCCAUUCCGGUCCGUCCCGGUUCUAUCCCGGUAUAUAGUGGGACGGGACGGAACCGAGCCUCCAUCCCGGUAGUUCCGGUCCGGUUCAUCCCGGUACCGGUCAACAACCCGGUCAAACCGUCCCGUUCCGGUCCGGUUCCGGUUCGUUCCGGUCCGGUGGUCCCAUUCCGAUCCGGUGCCCAGCCUUAUAAUCCCACUCAAACUUUACAUUCUCUCUCUUUUUGGUUUCAUUUUUUAGCCUUAACUAAUAAUUUGGGCCCCACGAUCCACAUGUCAAAAAAUGGGUGGAGCCUCUUCCAACUUUGGUUGGUUGGGCCUCACCCAUAGUAAAAUUUUUCCAGCAAUAACAACAUACUUGGUUAAAUCACAUAAAGAAUAUAUGUGUCAAAUGUCAAUUACUAAAAAUAGAGUCAAAAUCUAAAUGAUGGUCUAAAAAAGUUUUUUUUUUUUUUUGGGUAAAUCAACCUAAUAAUAGCAUAUUAAAUGUUUCAAGUAUGUGAAUCGAUUUUGUUUUCCGAUAGGAGACAAUUCUAUUUAGAUAGGCUCUACACAAGGCAUAUUCCAAUUAGUUGAAUUAGCGAAUACUAAAUAAAUAAAAAAGUAUCUUCCUCAUUCGAAGACUUCUUUAGAUGAGAAUUCGACAAGGUGGGAAACGAUUGCAGCCUUCUUAUUUUUAAUUUUGAAAAAAUAAAUCAAAGAAUAUUAUCGAAAUGAUCGAUGUCAUCCAUAUAGGUCAAUGUUGUUUUAAAAAGAUUUUUAUUUAAAAAAAUUAUUAUUAAAAAUAUAUAAGUGAGAAAAGUCAAACAUAUCAUUGUCAAGGCACUCUCCCCACAACGAUUAUUGUUAUCCUUACCAAAGAAUCAAAGUUCUUGUUUAAGAUCAACUGAGAAGAAAAAACCAAUAGCCACCACAAUUGUUCACAGAGAGAGACAAGUAAAGAGGGAAGCUCUUCAUAGAACAAUCGAUCAAAAAAUAGAAGAUUGUUGAUGACCUCUCAAUAAAGAUGGUCCAAUUUCUUCUAGCAAUAGCUAUAUUUGUAAUUUUCGUAUCACUUUACAUGUUAUGGAAAACAAAAAUUCAAGCCAAAAAUAGUAGUAAAGUCAUGAUAAAUCUACCUCCAGAAAUCCCAGGAGCCUAUUUUCCAAUAGGUCACCUCUAUUUAUUCAUUAGCAAAACUCCACUUGCACUAAUUUUGGCUAAUUUGGCAGACAAAUAUGGCCAUAUUUUUAGUAUUCGUUUAGGGAUACAUCGUGCAAUUAUAGUGAGUAAUUGGGAAAUAGUUAAAGAAUGUUUCACAACAAAUGAUAAAGUACUUGCGGGUCGACCCGCUUCAAGUGCUGGUAUAUAUCUUGGUUAUAACAACGCUGCGUUUGGUUUUGCUGAUUAUGGGCCUUAUUGGCGUAAUAUUCGCAAGUUGGUCCUGUUGGAAGUUCUUUCAAGUAAGAGGCUCGACCAAUUCAAGCAUAUCCGCGUCACGGAGGUACUGUUCAAUUGUGUGACCAUCUUAUUCCUCUAAUGAAAAUUGAUCUUUUAUAUGUUGGAUGACGAUGAAAUUUGAAUUCAUAACCUUUUUCUUUCUGUUCUAAGAUUAUGUUGAAAUCAUGUGUAUAUCUCAUUUCAAAUCUUAAUAUGUUAGAAAUGGUAUAUGUAUUCUUAAUCAUAUAACUAAAUUAUGUUUGGACUUGCCUGCUCAUGUGUGAACCUAAAAGUUUAAACGGUUAGAAAAAAAACUACUAUAAUUAAUUUUAAUUAUUUGACUAUUCUCAACAGGUAGAGACUAACAUCAAAGAACUAUACUCAUCAAUUCUGAAAAGUGGGAGUACAAAUCCAUCAAAAGUGAAUAUGAGUAAAUGGUUUGAACAAUUAACCUUAAAUGUUAUAAUGAAGAUGAUUACUGGAAAAAGAUACAAAACAGAAGAUGAAAAAGGGAGACAUUUCACAAGAACCACCAAAGAAUAUAUGUAUGAGUCUGUCCAAUUUGUUUUAUCAGAUGUAAUUCCAUUACCAUUUCUAAAAUGGUUUGAUUUUCAAGGGAGAAUUAAGUCUAUGAAGAAAUUGUCUCAAGAAAUGGACAAGAUUGUAACAAGUUGGAUAGAUGAACAUUUGAUGAAGAGAGAGCUAGCAAUUAAAGAUGAUGACCAAGACUUUAUUGAUGUGAUGCUUUCUAAGAUUGAUGAACAAUUCAUGUAUGGUUAUACAAGAGAAACAAUCAUUAAGGCUACAAUUUUGGUAAGUAUUUAAUUUUACUCGAUGCAUCUAAAGCUUGAAUCUUUUUUAAUUUAACUGUUAUAUAUAUUGACAACGUAAAAGAUAAUAUAUAGUAAUUUAGUAAAAUAAUAGUAGUAGUAAACUAACACACUUAUUCAAUGUCAUGUCAUCACAACUUAUAUAAACUAAAGUCUCACCAAUUAGACCUUCUUGUUGAGAAUAUUGUUGAUAUCAAUGCAUAUGUCAUUACAUAAAAAAUGAUCUUUAAACGUAGUUAAUUAACACUUUUUGUAUAUGUCCCUAAAAUUUAUAGCGACAUUGGAUUCAAUGACAAUUAAUUAAUGUCGAUAAAGACUUUAUCAAUGUAUUUUUGCCGCUAAAACUUGUUUUUGUUAUAGUGUGCGGUGUGCCAAGUAGUCAUUGUCACGGACAUGUUUUAAUUUCAUGUCAUAUUUCUCAAAGUCUAAUUAUAAGUUUCACUACAUUAUAUUGUUCUUUAGAACAUAAUCUUAGCAGGGUCAGACACUACUUCAAUUCACUUGACAUGGCUCUUGUCCUUAUUAGUGAACAACAAACAUGUAAUGGAUCAAGCACAAGAAGAAAUAGACAUGAAAAUAGGCAAAGAGAGAUGGGUGGAAGAGUGUGACAUAAAAAAUUUAGUGUAUCUUCAAGCUAUUGUUAAAGAGACACUUCGAUUAUAUCCACCGGGACCAUUAGCAAUACCACAUGCUGCUAUGGAAGAUUGUACCGUGGGGGGGUAUAAAGUUCCAAAAGGCACGCGAUUGAUGGUCAAUGUGUGGAAAUUACAUCGAGACCCUCAAAUUUGGUCUGAUCCUGAAAAGUUUAUGCCUGAGAGAUUCAUGAAAAGUCAUAGUGAGAUUGAUAUUUCUGGUCAGAAUUUUGAGUUUAUUCCGUUUGGUUCUGGUAGACGAUCUUGUCCGGGGAUUACUUUUGCUAUGCAAGUGACACACUUGACACUUGCUAGGUUGCUACAAGGUUUUAAUUUUAGUACAUUAGGGGACUUGCCAGUGGAUUUGACUGUGGGCAAUAGCAUAACUUUGCCCAAGGCAAAUCCAUUGGAGGUAUUUGUAAUGCCUCGUUUGGCACCUAUGCUUUACCAAAAUUAGUCGGAGCUCCAAUACGGGCUCCAGACAUCAAGUAAUAAAAAUAAAAUCUAGGAAAAAUUGUUUCAAGUGUUGUUAAUUUUGGUCAAGGAUUCCUCGUAUAAUAUUGGUGAAUAAUGUUUUGUUUUUUAAAAUACCAAAUGGGAAGUUUGUAAAUUAAUAUUCCAAAUUCAUACUAUAUUUUACGGUUUAUUCUCCCCCAAUGAAAGAUAUUCCCCCAUUUUAAUAUGUUUGUUGUCUCAAAUAUUUUUCUUUAUAAUAGUUUAUCUUUUCUAUUUUGCAAUUUAAUUCGAUUUUCUGAUUUUGUUGGUUUGAACACAUGAUUAUAACAUUAUUUUGUUCAAAGUAAUAUACUAUCAAUUGUGGAAAGUUGUAAACAUAAAUUUACAUCUCAAAUAGUCCGUCCUCGUUAAUACUUGAAAUAUAUAACUAAAAAAACUGAUAUUUACAAGUAAUAUAUACUCCACCCUUGAAAUUCCUACAUAUGGUGAAUAAACCAAGAAUUUUGCUAGAGAUUAAUUUAAGGAAAAUAGAAUAUUUUACUAUGAGAAUUAAGAAGAAAAAAAAAGGAUUAAAGUGGGCUGCAAAAAGAAUAAAAAGAGAUUAAAUAAUUUUUCUUCCUUUCAAUUUGUUUUUCUGAUUUUAACUUGAUAGAAGUUAAAAAAAUGAAGAAGAUUUUUCUUAAUCUUGUGAUCUUAAACUAAAAAUAAGUAUAAUUUAUUAAAUGAUUUUAUUGUCUUAAAAAGUCACAUGAAAAGUUAAAAUUAAAAUAUUAAUAAAAAAAUAACUUUUGAUUUAUAAACAAACUAAAAGGGAAAGUAAGAUAAAUAAAAUUAAAAUGAAGGGAGUAUAAAUAAACUUGCUACAAGGUUUUAAUUUUAGUACAUUAGGGGACUUGCUAGUGGAUUUGACUGUGGGCAAUAGCAUAACUUUACCCAAGGCAAAUCCAUUGGAGGUAUUUGUAAUGCCUCGUUUGGCACCUAUGCUUUACCGACAUUAGUUGGAGCUCCAAUAUAGACUCCAGACAUCAGAUGUCAAGUGUUGUUAAUUGUUAUUUUAAUAUGUUUGUUGUCUCGAAUAUUCUUCUUUAUAAUAGUUUAUGUUUUCUAUUUUGCAGUUUAUUUCAAUCUUCUGAUUUUGUUGGUUUGAACAUAUGAUUAUAACAUUAUUUUAUUCAAAGUAAUAUAUCAAUUAUGGAAAGUUGUAAACAUAAAUUUACAUCUCAAAUAGUCCGUCCUCGUUAAUACUUGAAAAAUAUAAUUAAAAAAACUGAUAUUUACAAGUAAUAUAUACUCCACCCUUGAAAUUCCUACACAUGGUGAAUAAACCAAGAAUUUUGCUAGAGAUUAAUUUAAGGAAAAGAGAAUAUUUUACUAUGAGAAUUAAGAACAAGAAAAAAAGGAUUAAAGUGGGCUGCAAAAAGAAUAAAAAGAGAUUAAAUAAUUUCUCUUCGUUUCAAUUUAUUUGUCUGAUUUUAACUUGAUACAGUGUUUUAAAAAAUGAAGAAGAUUUUUUUGAAUCUCGUGAUCUUAAACUAAAAAUACAUAGAAUUUAUUAAAUGAUAUUAUGGUCUUAAAGAGUCACGAAAAAAGUUUAAAUUAAAGAAUUAACUUUUAUUUUAUAAACAAACUAAAAAGAAAAGUAAGACAAAUAAAUUAAAACGGAGGGAUAUAAACUAUCCCUUUUCCUUGUUGUUCCACUAUACUCUUCAUUCACUUUUACUUACAAUAUUUUGCUCCUUCCCAUUAUGUACUUGAAUUUUAAGUUUUAAAAGUAAUGACACAAAAUUAGAAAAAAAUGGAAAAGUCACGAAUUCAUUUCAAAAUUAGGUGAAUAUUUAAUUUAGGUUAACAACCAAUUAACCACAUAUAUGAGGUAAGAUGAAUGUGAUCCCAUAUUUCUUAACCAAUAAUUUGAAUCAAAACUCUGUGAAUAAAAAAAAAAUCGAUAAAAAUUUUUUUGUUACGCAAUAUGAAUGUCGAACUAAUUGGUGGAUUUCGAGUGACAAAUUAAAAAUAGGGAAAAUUGUACAUAAUGACAAACUAUUAAUUCAAAUUAAAUGGUAUAAUUACACUUUGAUUUAAUUGUGUCCUGUAGCAAACUGUUUGCCAGCGCCUCUCUCCCUCAAACUCUCGCUCGCCACUCUCCUCUCUCGCUCACUCCAUCUGUGCUCGCCUCUCUCGCUUUAUACAACAAAAGUGUAUAAAUUGCGUUUCUGUUUGUAUAAAGCGAGAGAAAAUUGUAUAUACACAUGCAAAUACAUAUAUAUUCGUCCUAUACACUUAUAAUUAUACAAUAAAAAUAUUCCCCUGCCCAGUUNNNNNNNNNNNNNNUUGUGUUUGUAUAAAGUGAGAGAAAAUUGUAUAUACACAUGCAAUUACAUAUAUAUUCGUCCUAUACACUUAUAAUUAUACAAUAAAAAUAUUCCCCUGCCCAGUUCUCUUUUGUCUUUCUCUCUUUCUCGUUUAUACAACAGAGUUGUAUAAAUUGCGUUUCUGUUUGUAUAAAGCGCGAGAAAAUUGUAUAUACACAUGCAAAUAUAUAUAUAUAUUCGUCCUAUACACUUAUAAUGUAUAAUUUAUGUUUGUCAACGAUUUAUACAAACGAGAGGCUAACAACAAUUUAUACAAAUGGCCUGCCAGCGAAAUUAUACAAAUCUGAAGAGGAGCCAACGAAUUAUACAAUUGUUUCUUUUUGUAUAUAUGUAUAGCGAAAUAGACAGCUUUCACUUGUAUAUGUAUAGCGAAUAAUACAUAUAUAUGUUUGCUAUGGAGCGCAAUUAUGCAAACUUUGCUAUAACAUACAAAUAUGAUUUUUUUUGUUUGCUAUAUGUGAAAGUUACUCUUAAAAAUAUAUAUGAAGAAAAUUAGGUGAACAAACGUAAGCUUGGUUCAACUACAAUAUUAUUUGUUGCUAAUUAUUCUCUAAUAAUUUCCUAGUCAAAAUUGACUUUCUUGAAUAUUUAAAAAAAAAUCAAUGAAAACAGAUUUGUUUUGGACAAAUACAAAUACUAUUGUACAGUCAAACAAUAUCUAUUUUAGCCAAAGCAUGUGACUUUGUGUUUCACUAGUUAAACAUCCAAUACCACAAAUAUCUUAAUUAUUUUUAAUAAAAUAAUUUAUAGUCACACAAAUGUUUAUAUUUUUUUUAAAUCAUAAAUUUAGGGGGAUUUUUAAACUCUUAAUAUAUCAGUUGAUUGACUUCUUGAACUUUUAUAUUCUUAUUGACUAUAUUUCAAUCCCUAACUUUGUAAUUUCAUCUCUCAUUUCCUAUUUUCCUAAUAUUUUUUAUAUUUUUUUUCAUUCAAUUAAUUAUUAACCAAAUAAAAAAUAAGGAAAAAAAGGACCAAAUUUGACUUACAGUGUUGGGGGAUGACCAAAACACACCAAAUCCGUUAUGGAAAGUAUAUGUCCAAAUAGUAAUUUAAUGUCUUACAUAAUCCUAAUUAGGAAAAUAUUUUAAUAAUCCACGUGUUCAUUUUUUAUUGGUUACACUACGUAAACUAGCUACUGUAACCCUCCACGCUGUAUUUUCUCUACAAAAAAAACUCCGCCAUUUUCAAUACCUUAAAAAGCUUCUCAAAGAAAACGUUACAGCUCUUUUUUUCAUAAAAUUCUUAGGAAAAAAAAAGAAAAAAAACUCCGGCGGUCGGAAAAUGGGUCAAAAAGGGUAUCAAUCGCCGGCGAAGAAAGUGUUGUCAUGGAUUCGGAAAAAAUCGAAGAAAGUGAAAAUCUUUUUGGGUUUAAUCACAGCAAUCGUUCUAUUGGUGACUCUUAAGUUAGUUGUUCAUGAUCACAACCUCUUCUUUGUUAUAGCUGAAGCUAUUCAUUUGAUUGGACUUUUGGUUUUGAUUUACAAAUUGACAACACUCAAGACUUGCUCUGGUAAUUUUGAUUUCAGACAUAAAUUCUUUUUUAUUUUCUGUUAAUCUGAAAAAAAGAAUAUUUUUUUUGUGUAGUUUCCAUUUGAUUGAGCUUUGUGUUUAAAUUAAACUAGAAAAAUUGGUUUGUUUUGUGUUACUCUGUUACUGCUCUGUGCAAAAAAAAAAAUUUGCUUUGUGUGUAAAGAGUCCUUUUUUUUAUUUCUAGAUGUUUCUAUUUUCCACUUUUAGAUGGGACAUCUUGAAUUUUGGAAUUUGGGAUAUUCUUGUGGGGAGUUGGGAGAACUAAAAAAUGAAAUUUUGGCAUUUUUAAUUAUAUUUUUGGGCUAUGGGAAUGUAGCCCACCUCUACUAUGUGGUGCCCUUUUAUGAGAUUUUUUUUAUAGGUCAAAUGCGGAUUUUUUUUUGAUAAUGGGUGACACGGUGAAAUUCCAUUACAUGACAUUUGCUUGUUGUGAUAUCAUGUUGCCUCUGUGACCCUUUCAUCACUUUAAGCUUUUAGGGGUUAGGACUAUAUUAUAAUUCCUUCAACUAAACAUAAAGACAAAUAAUCGUGCAUUUUAUCCUUACACCUCAUACCAAAGACUCUUUAGAGAGAAACACACUUUUUGAUAUUUAAUUGUAUCUUCAACUGAAUACCCCUACUAAUACGACUAGACUAUAAGCCUUGGGGGAUAUAUUGUUGACCUUUCAAGGUAAGCCAUUUUCUGAUUAAUCUAUAUAAGUAAAACACAAUAUAAAUAGUGAAUAAAUAAAUAAAUUCAACACAAAGUUCAAGAUUAGACAGUUGAAUCUGACUAGAGGUAUUGUCAUGGAUUAUUCUAAUGCUAAAUGAAAGAGGGUGUGUAAUUUUUCAAUUUUUAAAAGGAGGGUGUGUCAGAUUUGCUUCAUAUGUAUGUCAAACUGAAUAUGGCUACUAUAAAAGAGGGCCAUUCUUUUCUUUAGACAGUUACUUGGUGACAUCAAAAAGAUGAUUCCUUUUUCUCAAGAAAACAGAAAGUACUUGAGGACUGUAAUUUUAACUUUAAUGUUAUAACAAUGCAAAUCUUUUACAUUCCUGAUUACGUGUUUGUUCAAUUGUCUGAUGCGCCUUUUGUACUCCUACAGAUCGAUAGAUGUAAGGUAGUAGGCUAUCUGUAUAUUCCUGUUGUAUGAAAUGUGUUACUUUGGAACCUUGUUAUUAUAGGCAGGAUGCAAGAAGUCCAAAUUGUUUUGCGGAACUUGUUAGAUUGUCAUUCUUUUUACUGGACCUGAAGAAAAGACCAUUAUUUUCAUAUGCUUUCUUCUCCUGUUUUGUUAGGUCUUUCAUUGAAGACUCAAGUGCUUACAGCUAUUUUUUUGGCCGUAAGAUUAUACUGUAGUUUCAUCAUGGAAGCAGAUAUCCACACUGUGCUAGAUUUUAUCACCCUUGUGGCAACAGUGUGGGUCAUUUAUAUGAUGAAGUUCAAGCUGAAGGCAUCCUACAUGGCAGAACUGGAUAACAUGCCCUUAUACUAUCCGGUAUACACAAUUUUCGUCUACAGCUCUUUUCUGUUAGAUUGUUGUUAAUCAAAUUCUGCAUUCUGCAAAUUUUUGAGUAAUUAAUUAAGCUUUUAUAGAGCAGUUACUUUUUUGUUAGAAAUGUUAUUUCCAUGUUUUAUUGUGUGAUUCCAUUUACUUCUGUCCAUGAUAAAACUUUGUUUUAUUUAUAUUGUUUUCUCCUACCCACAAUUACUUCCCUUAUCUAGACUUCUAUUCAUUCCAAAAGAAACAUUUAUUAUUUACGCACUAAAGGGAAGAUUAUGAACUUGUUGUUGGUGGGAGCCGGGUGGUAGCAGGUAUUCCAUGGAAUUAGUCGAGGUGUGCGCAAUCUGGCCUGGACAUCAUAGUUAUAAAAAAAGUAGUUUAGAUAGCAGGUAUUCCAUUGAAUUAGUCAAGGUGUGCGCAAUCUGACCUAGACAUCAUAGUUAUAAAAAAAGUAGUUUAGACAACUAAUUACGGGGCCUGGAGUCUUAUUACUGCCUUUCUGGAAGUAAAUAGAUUCCUGACCUUCUCGGCCAUGUUAUUUCUACUAAGCUAUAUGAUACAAGACAGUGACAUUCUCUGUAGAGAGAAAGUCCCUUAUAAAUGAUCUCUUGCAAUUAGAAUUGCUUCCUGAUAUUGCUUUUGAACCAUGCCACUCAUUUUGCACAGAUAGUUCCUGCCGCAGCUUUAGCCUUCUUUGUCCAUCCUACUACAAGCCAUAUUCUGAUAAACCGAAUGCUUUGGGCUUUUUGUGUAUAUCUGGAAUCCGUCUCAGUACUGCCUCAGCUUCGCUUGAUGCAGAAUGUUCAGGUUCAUAUCUCUUCUUCUCCAAAUGAUUAAGAAGAAAAUUCUGUCUUCUUCUUAAACUUGUCUUUUAAUGAACAAAAAACUAACAGUAUGUUCUGUUCUCGCAUUUCAGAUAAUUGAGCCAUUUUCAGCUCAUUAUGUUUUCGCACUGGGCAUUGCAAGAUUCUUGGGCUGUGCUCAUUGGAUUAUUCAGGUUAGUUUUGUAGAUUGUAGCGUUAUCUUGUUCUCCAUAACUUCUUGAAUUAAUAGCAGCUGUUUCAGUUCAGCUGAACUCAUUGGUCUCGUGUCUUGACUUGAACUAUGUAUAUGUAUAUGAAACCACUUAAAUUAUCAAUUUUUUUAAUAAGAUGACAUUCAUUCUGAGCUCACUGACUCUAAAUUUUGGAUUCAUCUCUACAAAUAAUUAAGUCCAAAUGGCAACAACAUACACAUUUCUCCAUUUUCAGCACGAAUCUAAAGCUAUAUAAUUCCGUACUUGAGAGUUACAACUAUUCCUAUACAGGUUUAUGACACUGCUGGAGCAUAUAUUUACUUGGCUGGACGUGGUUAUUUCUGGAUACCUACAGUCUUUUUGGCAGAAAUGGUUCAAACGUUCAUCUUGGCAGAUUUCUGUUAUUAUUAUGUAAAAAGGUGAGCCAUUUAGCCCAUGACUAAUUCAAGUACGGCUAUUCAUGUGAAUCCAACUUUCAUUUACAUGACUUUUAAACAAAUCAUCUUUUUUGAUUUGCAGUGUCAUGAGCGGCCAGUUGAUCGUUCGCCUGCCAACGCCGGUUUAAUACACCAAGAGACUGUAACAUUUUGUUAAUUCUUAAGUUAUUAUGUGGAAUUUCUCCAUCUUUUUCUUUGACAAAGAAGCAAAAGUUUUUGUUGUGGAUAUUGGAUAGAGACCGUGACUGGAACAAACUCCAUUUUGAAGAAUUUGCAGAACUUUGCCCUUUUGACGAAAUUUUGAGUAGUCUUUUCAGUUAAAUUUUAUCCGCAAAUAACAUUUUACAUCAAACAAUAUUAAUUUUCUCGAAGUGUUUUUAAUCAAGAAACAAUAUGUAUUAGUUAACUAUGAUUAACCAAAGGUCUCGGGUUGAGUCCAUGUAAAAAAUUAUGUUGGAAGUGCCAUCCCGAAUGGUUCCGUAGUGUGCCAUCUGAAUUUAGUCGGGCUUCAAUGCAGGCUCUAGACAUCGGGUGGGAAACCAAAAAAAAAAGUUAGGAAAAGCAUGAUAGUUUAAGCCCGAUGGCUCUUGAAAAUACUAUUUAGAACCUAAAUAGGUUGUGAUUCUAAUUUAGUUGGAUUUCAACGUGGACAUCGAACAAUAAGUCCCAAUUUUUUUUUAAUGUCUCAUACAACUGACAUGAGUACAUCUGUUUUGAUCUUCUUUGUAUAUCUUCGUUCCAAAAGAUUAAUCUUUUUUCUGGAAAACACAAGACAAUCAAGUUUUUUUUUACUGUAAGAUGUUGGAGCUUUUGAGGAAGAUGAAAAUGGAAUUGGAUUACACAAAGAAAAUUGAUCAAAUCUGCAAUUUGAGAUGAUAAGAUGUUAAUACAGUGACAAAGAGGGCAAUACAUAGAGAAAUGAUAUACUAAUUUCCAAACACACAGUUCGUAGAAAAGGCCAAAUUGGUGCUUUUGGCAAUGAAUACUGUACCUAUGAUGAAGCUAUAAAAAGCUUGAAUCUUUCUUGAACCAAGAUUAUUUUCUUGGGUUUCCCAUUUGGUGUCAGGAUUUUUUCAUAUGCAGGGCUCAAAUCCGAGACCUCUGAUUAAGUAGGAUCAACCUUAUCCACUGCACAACAUUCGUUGAUUGUCUUUGAACCAAGAUUCAUAUGUAAAUGAUCACAAUCUUGCAGUUGUGUUUUGAAGUUGCUUAUGUUUUAAUUUGCCUUUAUUUGGCAUGUUGUGUAUUGAUGUGAGUACUUCUUUGCAGGUUGAAACAAUAUGAAAAAUGAUGGAAGGAUGCAAUACUAUUAUAAUUCUCUGGCAAGGUAGGAGACUUGAGUCAUACAUAAGUUUGACCAUGAAAAUGUAAUCAGAUUUUGUAAAUCUGAUCUUAUUUUCAAACUCUUAUAAGAGCUUCUCAAAGAAAAUUUCUCAUAAAAAAAAAAGGGAGACUCAGCUGUUCGAAGAGAAGAGCUUAACGGAGAUGGGGCAAAAAGGGUAUCAAUCACCGGUGAAGAAACUGUUGUCAUGGGUUCAAAAGCAAUCGAAGAAAGUGAAAAUCGUUUUGUUUAUCAUCAUGGUGAUUACUCUAUUGGUGACUCUCAAGUUAGCCGUUCAUGAUCACAACUAUUUUUUUGUUAUGGCUGAAGCUAUUCAUUUGAUUGGGCUCUUGAUUUUGAUUUACAAAUUGACAACCCUCAACACUUGCUCUGGUAAUUUAAUUUCACUCAUGAAUUCUUUUUCAUUUUUUGUAGAUCUGGAAAACAAAUAUUUUGAUUUUUUGUGUGUAACUUUCAUUUCAUUUCAUCAAAUUUAUGUAUGCCAAAUAGAACGUUGCUGCUAUUAGUCGAUUACCACUGGACAAGGUGUUUGUGCAAUUGUUUGAUGCGCGUUGUAAGGUUGAAUGCUCUUGUUGUAUGAAAUGUGCUACUCAUGAUGCAACUAGUCUAAGAUCGAUUUGUUUUUACUUGUUAGAUUGUCACUUUUUCACCUUUCGUCUGAUAACUUACUUAUCCUGAUUUGUUAGGCCUUUCAUUGAAGACUCAAAUGCUUACAGUGAUAUUUUUGGCUGUAAGAGUAUACUGUAGUUUCAUCAUGGAAGGAGAUAUCCACACUGUGUUAGAUCUUAUCACCCUCGUGGCAACAUUGUGGAUUAUAUAUAUGAUGAAGUUCAAGCUAAAGACAUCGUACAUGGCAGAUCUGGAUAACAUGUCCUUAUACUAUGUGGUAAAUACAAUUUCAUCCACGACUCUUUUACGUUUGAUUGUUGUUGAAUCAAGUUCUGAUUCUGCUAAUUUCUUGAGUAACUUAGCUUGUAUAGAACAGUUACUUUAGUUGUAAAUAUUAUUUUCAUGUUCUAAUGUGUGAUUCAUUUACUCUGUCCAUGAUAAAACUUAACUUUAUGUGAAGUCAUCUAGACUUGUAUGUGUAUCUUUAGCAAAGGGAAGCAAGCAAAUUAAAAGGAACAAGGUCAAAAAAUUAUUGUUCAUGAUUAUGAAUCUGUUGUUGGCGGGAGGUAACAUGUAUUUCAUGAAAUUAAUUGAGAUGCACAUAAGUUGGCUCAUACUGUAUGAAAAAAAUAUUCUAACAACUAAUUAUGGAGCCGGAAGUCUUUUUACUGAUUUCAGAUCAAUAGAUAGUCAACUUGAUGUGGUUUAGCACAUUAUGCAUGACUUAAGUAACUCCAGUUAUAGCUAAGAGAAGUUAACUGAUAUUGCUAAUAUUAGAUUUUAUAUUCUCGUCUUACUAAAUCUAGUUGCAGAUAUAUGUGACAUUGCAUAGAUAGUCCCUUAUAAACGAUUUUGAAUUGUUUUUGACAGAUAGUUCCUGCCGCAGUUUUGGCCUUCUUUGUCCAUCCUACUGUAAAAAGUUAUAUUCUGAUAAAUCGAAUGCUUUGGGCUUUUUGCGUGUAUCUGGAAUCCAUAUCAGUGUUGCCUCAGCUUCGCUUGAUGCAAAAUGUUCAGGUAUUCAUAUCUCCAUUUCUUUUCUACAAAGACAGAAGAAAAUCGUCUUCUUCUUAAACAAAAAGUUAACAAUAUUUGUUUGUUACUUGCAUUUUAGAUACUUGAGACAUUUUCAGCCCAUUAUGUUUUUGCAUUGGGCAUUGCAAGGUUUUUGGGUUGUGCUCAUUGGAUUAUUCAGGUUAGUUUUGUAGUGUUAUAUAUCUUGUGUUCUACGUACACAUUUCUCCAUUUUGAUCGUCAAUCUAUGCUAAUAUAAUCUCCGAACUUGAAAGUUACAACUAUUUCUAUGCAGGUUUAUGACAAUGUUGGAUCACCGAUUUUCUUGGAUGAACGUAGUUUCUUAUGGAUACCUAUGGUCUUUUUAGCAGAAAUGGUUCAAACGUUCAUUUUGGCUGAUUUCUGUUAUUAUUACGUAAAGAGGUGAGCUAUUUAGAUCACAACUAAUUCAAGUUAUACUUUUAUGAAUCUAACUUCAUCUACAUGAGUUUUUUUUAAUAAAUCGUUUUCGAUUUGCAGUGUUAUGAGCGGCCAAUUGAUUAUUCGUUUGCCAGUACCUGUGUAAAAGGCUUAAGAGGCUGUAAUAUGAUUUUGUUGAAUAAUUCAUGUGAUAAUGAAACUCUCAAGUUCUUAUUUUUGAAAUAAAUUUUAGUGACUGAAUCUCUUCUUUUUUGACGUUUACAUUAAAUAAUCAGUAUUUUAAUUACGCAACAAUAUGUAUUGAUAUUUUUCAACUAUCGUCACGCUCUCUUGAUAUUUUUUUUAUACGGUUAGACAAAUAUUAUUCAAUUUUUUGAUUUCACCAGACUUUUCCAGAACAAAACCAACCGUGCGUCAUUAUUCGCCACGUGUACAUUUCAGCACAAAUUCCUAAGAAAAAACAUCAAAAUCUAUUUCUCCUCCUUGAUGGAAUAGAACUAUUCAAUAUUUCAAUCCCUUUUCUGUUCAAUCUGACACGUGUCACGAAGCUAUAACCUCAGUAAAACGUGCCGCCGUUAGAAUCCACGUGGCAGUCAAAGAAACAUGCUGGUUAAAUGCUUUACUUAAACGCUGGAUUAAUUGAUCAUACGUGUCAUUAAAACUCUCACGUCAUCGUUUCUUUUCACGCCACGUGGCAUUCUUCACUACAUUUACUGCUUCAAUAAAUACAUCUCCUAUUUUUUAUCUUCUUCGUAUAUCUCUUUUGUUCCUAAAGAUUCAAUCUUUUUCUUGAAAAAACAAAUACAAGAAAGCAAGGUUUUUUUUGUUAGUGCAAAAAAAAGAAAAAGAGAGAAGAUGUUGGAGCUAAUGAAGGGUGAUUUUGAUGAAGAUGAAAAUGGGAUUGGAUUGAGUUUAAGCUUAUCAAUUGGAGGAAAUUACACAAAGAAAAAUGAUCAAGUUUUCAAUUCAGAUGAUAAGAUGUUAAUAGAGUGGCAAAGGUCAAAAAAGAGGGUCUUACAUAGAGAAAUGAUGGAGAAUGAAGAAUUAAUUUGGAGAAAAAGCAAAAUUAGUACUUCUGGCAGUGAAGGUGUAAAAAGCUUGAAUCUUUUUAUGAAUCAAGAUUCAUGUGUAAAUGAUCAUAAUCUUGUAGUUCCAAUUUGCGAUCAUCGGAAUGUUGGGAAAAGGGAAUCGAUGAGGAAAAAUUGUCGAGGUUUUAGAAUUUAUAACUCGAAUACGAGUUAUAAUCAAUGUAGAAGUAGUGAGUCGAAUGGAUCUAUGGAGAGAUGUUCUUCUACAAUUACAAAAUGCCAAAGUUCGUCUCCUAAAGGUAAUCUAUUUAAUUUGGAGUUUAUUAUAGUAUAAUUAAUAACUGCAUAACUCUGAUCAGCUAUCAAAUGAUCCUAUGUGGGUUUGCAGGUAGAAGUAGUAGUAAUGUCAUGUCCAUCAAAGAGGAACAAGACCAAAAAACAGAGGAAAAGAGGAAUUGUGGCAUGAUUCAAUUGCUUUCUCGAAUGCCGUGUGUUUCAGCAACCGGUAAUGGCCCAAAUGGGAAGACGAUAAAUGGAUUAUUGUGCAAGUAUGAUAACAAAAUGGAGAUCAAUAUUGUUUGUGUUUGUCAUGGAAAGUCAUUUUCCCCUUCUCAAUUUGUGGAGCAUGCUGGGGCUGUUGAUUUAUCCCAGCCUUUAAAACACAUCACUGUAAUUCCCCCCUGUUUUUGAUGGAAUCUAACUGAUCUUUUAAUUCAACUUCUUUUUUAAUUUCUUAUAUUAAAUCGAGAUAGGCUUAAAUGAAGCGACAUGAACCAUGAUUUACUUAUGUUAAAUCGAGAUAGACUUUGAUUUCUUUUUGUGGUUCAAGUUGGAAUUCUUUUACAUGGAGUUGUGUCAUUGAAUUUUGAAAGCAACAUAACCCCACAAUGUGCGUACAAUGGAAGCAAUAAAUAAAAAUAGAAUGCGAACACACGAAGUAGUACUAACAAUUGGACGCAAUAAAUAAAUAAAUGAGUACAAAGUACUUCAAAUAAUUGAACAAAGAACAAAAAAAUAAGUACCACAAACAAGCAAUGUCCAAGAUUCUGUAAGUUGCAACUAACACCACCAAAUAAUGUUAGGGUCUUUUCCAUCGACCAAUUUGAUUGUGUCACUCUUGAUCUACCAUUUUGUUAUAAAUUAGUUGGACAAACAAAAUUAAUCUGGAUAAUAACAAAUUGAUGGUCAGAUAAAUUUGAGUCUAAAUAAUUACACAUCUUCGAUUUAUAAUAAAUUAUCGGGUAAACUUUUCCAAUUAUAUAUUUUUUUAAAUUGUGUAUAGGUCAAAACGUGACACAUAAAUUGAAUAGGGGGAGUAUUUCUCUUCUAUAUACGAAGCAUUUAGUGAACAUUGAAUAAUAAAAAGAGAAGUAUCCAAAACAUCUCUGAAAUUGGUGUAAAUUAUUAGUUUCAUUUUUGAAUAAUAUCGUUUUACUUGAUUAACUAAAUUUAAGUACACUCCUAAUCAGUCAUAUGACAUAACAAGUGCUCUCAAACUCUUCUAGGAGCAUGGAGUUCUUGAUUAAAAAAAUUCGAGAGAAGUGUUAAAAAAAUCCUAAACUAGGCGAGAAUUUAAAGAGUUGGUUUCAAGAAUUGAAAGAGUUGUAGCAAGAUCAAAUGUAUAUUUAAAUUAGGCUGUCAAUAAUUGAAGAAAAAUAUUUUAUUUAUGAAUGCUUAUAUUUCAUGACAUUGAAAAUAUGUAUUAAGACAUCCCAAUUUAUAAUACUAACAACUAAAAUAAAUUAGAUCUAUAACCUCUCUAAUUAACAAAUCUUAAUUAAACAUAAAUAAGUAAUAUCAUAAAUAAUAAAUCCUAAACGGCUUAAGAUUCUUAUUACAACUUUAAAUUAUUAUUCCAACAAUAGUUCAGUGAUGAAAUUAAUUUCAUGCCAAAUUCUAUCAAUUAUAAUAAAGACAUAAAAUCUGCUUAAUAUGUUGAUUUAAUCAAUAAUAAAUACUACUAAAAUUAGUACAAUAUUUAAUUUAAUUUAAUAUAUUUCCUCAUCUAAUCAUAUGAUUAAUAAUUAACUAAAAGUACUCCUAAUACUAGUAGUAGUAGUACUUAUUUUUUCGUGUGUAAAUCCACAUAUAUUAAAGUUUUAUAAUAUCCCACGAGUCACCACAACACGUGUAUAAAAUCCUCUUUGGAACCCUUUCUCUCUCCUUUUCCCACUCUCUCUCUCUACUCACGCCUCUUUUCCGAGAUCCACCACUCUCUCUACAGCAAAACCCUAGAACUCAAACCUUCCUCCUCCGCAUCUAGAGAGAGAAACACACAGACUGUACAUCAAACGUUCGCUCUUUCCACUGACCUGAUCCGAUACAAAUCCAGGUAUUAAUGUUUAAUUUUUUUGAAUUAAGUUUUUUUUUUUCACGAGAACAGAGGAUUCGAGUUUUUUUUCUAAUAUUUUUGGUUAAUUUUGUGUUUAGUGCUUUAAAUAGGAGUUCGAUUGAUUGACGAUGGCAGCGGAAGCAGCAGUGGCAGUAGCGGCAGUAGCACCAGUUUCUGCUCAAGUUGUGCGUAUAUAAAUCAUUGCGUUUAUUUUGUUUUGCUUUAAGCUGUGGAUAUUGAUUGAGUUUGAUGUGUUUGUGUAUAUAGGUUGCGAAUGCAUUUGUGCAGCAAUACUAUCAUAUAUUGCAUCAUUCGCCAGGGCUUGUAUUCAGGUUUUACCAGGAUAUAAGCAAGCUUGGACGUCCUGAAGAGGAUGGAUCCAUGUGUAUCACUACGACAAUGCAAGUAAGUGCAACUGAACUAAUCUUCGCGUAUACUAUGGUCCAUGUUAUUCCCUUUUCCCCUAUAUUGAUUUUGUUGCAGAAACUUGUGAACAAUGUGCCUAAAUAUGUGUUUGUUGGGUGAGGGAGUUGAUUGAUUGUGUGAAGAAUAAAGGAUUUGAAAUCUGUUGAAUUUAUUUUUAUUGCUUGUAGGUAAAGAUCACAUUUUUAGAUGAAAUUUCAUUAAUCAUUAUCAGUGUUAGGUGAUGACAUGUAAAAAAUACAUUUUUCUAAUUAAUAUCUGUACAUUUUAAUGGAAAAAGUGGUUCUUUGUCCGUUUGUUUCAAACUAAAUGCCUUACUUUGACUUUGCACAUAUAUUGAAAAGAUUGAAACUGGAAUAUUGUACUUAGUUGAGAGAGCAUAUUCUAUAUCGACCUUUAGGUUUAUGUAGAAUGAUGUAGAGUGAGAAGUUUUACUUAUGGGCUUUGUUAGCUGUGGAGAUGUUGGGUAUACUUGAGUUUUGAUGCAGGCUUUUUUGGGUUUGGAGAAAAUUUUAUUACCUUUGAAUGACUAAAACUGGUCAACCUUGAGAGGCUCACCUUUAGCUUCACUUUUUACUGCUCUUGUCUUGUUUACUCUAAUGAUCUUUUGAAUUAGCAAUGCCGGAGUUGCUAAUGUUCUUUUGUUUGAUGUCAAACACAGGCAAUAAAUGAUAAGAUACUCUCACUCAACUAUGGAGAUUUCAGAGCAGAGAUCAAGUCUGUGGAUGCCCAAGAAUCCUUUAAUGGCGGGGUGCAUGUCCUUGUAACUGGAUAUUUGACUGGGAAAGACAACUUGAUCCGGAAUUUCUGUCAAACUUUCUUCCUAGCACCGCAAGAUAGGGGGUACUUUGUCUUGAAUGAUAUGUUUCGAUAUGUAGAGACUGCCGGUCAGCAUGAUACAGUCCACGUUCCAGUAAUUGAUGCUGUGGCUCCUGUCACGCCAGAGCAAAGUAAUUGCAACAAUUGUUUGGUUCUUUUGGCAAUACCCUAAUUAGCAACUGACAAAGUUUUUCUUUUACCAGUUGUUGCAGAUCCACCUACAGUACCGCAGAAUCACAUUCCCGAGCAAAGCACUCCACCAGCGGAGGAAGCUGAUGUGGGAGAAGUUUACAACCCAUCUGAGAAUGGUGAUGUGACUAUUGUUGAAGAGGAAGUGCCUGUGUCUGAGGUUGUCGAUGAAGUCCAAGAUGGCUCUGAAGUGGUAGCUGAAUCUGACAACAAAACUGGGGAAGUUCCUAAGAAGUCAUAUGCUUCAAUUGUAAGUGGUCAUGGCAACAAAUAACUGGAUGCACAUUCUUCUUAGCGUAUACUUUCAAGGGUUUGAUUAGCAACAUUAGCACCUCUAUACUCAUAUUUGCUACCAAUAGUUUAGACAUAUUAGCAUCUGCCAAGUCUAGUUGGUCUGUAGUCAAAGAUGAUUCAAGGAUAGAGAAGGUCUAUUCAAAAUUUCUUAGUUAAGAAAAUUUGCAAUUUAUUUCAGGUCAUGCAUCUCAAGGAAAGUGCUGCAACCUUCUCCCCUCCUCCAGCACCUGCUUCUAGGAAGCCUAUGACAAAGAGUGUUGUGCAAGUGAAUCAGCCUGCUGCCACAGCAACUGAUGGCCCAUAUUCCAGUUCAGAUACCAUUGAUAACAUAAAUAACACAGAAGGCAUGCAAUUGCAGAGUUUGCUUCUACUUUUUCAAUCCAUUUGGUGUUUUUUUUUCACUAUGAGUUGUGUUGAUUUCUCAUUCUUGUGUUUUUAAAUCACCUCCAGCAGCUGAUGGCUACUCAAUCUAUAUAAAAGGCUUGCCUAUGAGUGCAACUGUGGCAUUACUUGCGGAUGAGUUCAAGAAGUUUGGGCCAAUAAAAAAUGGAGGAAUUCAAGUCAGAAGUAACAGGGUAUGUUUGUUUGUGCUAUUUUCCUGCUAAUCAAAGAAAAAAAAAUCUGAAUCUGUGCAUUCUUUUGCUAUAUGUUCUUCUGCAUUAAUGGAUUCUCUAAUCAUAAAUUGGUUAAUGGCAGCAACAGGGAUUUUGUUUUGGAUUUGUGGAAUUUGAAGUGGAAAGUGCUGUGCAAAAAGCAAUCGAGGUAUCUCAUCUUUAUCCCUCUUGCAUGUCAUGUAUUAUAAGAUGGAGCGGGUGAAAUCAAGAGGAACAGUAGCUUAAAUUUAUUUCAUCAAGUUCAAGAGUUCUGUGAAAUGCAUAAGAAGUCUUUGAGCAGUGAGAAUCCAUAUGCUCUUCUUUUGUUAGUUGUUUUGAGUAACCAUAUUAUCCACCUUCAGCAAAUUGAUGGCACUGGAUUGAGUUAGUAUUACUUUUUAAGGUCUUGAUUAAAUAUUUAAAUUGAGUCGAUACUUUUAGCCCCAAUUUGACUCUAUCAUUGUUUAGUCAUCCUGCAGCGGAUGAUUAGUAGUUCAAUGCCAUGCAAUAUUCUAACUAGACCCUCAGUUGAAAAGAAAUUUAUGUCAUAAGGUUUAAAUUGGUAGUUCUUUACGGGUUAAUUUGGGAUUUAGUAAAAGAUUAGGCUGAGUUUAAUUGCAAUUCAAUUAAGAGAAUGAAGGAUAAUUACUUAAGUUUAAUUUGUCUGCUAAUGUCUGGUUAUUAUGGUAUCGCUAGUUGACCUAAACUUUCGGUUGGAUUGAUUUGUGUUGCCUAUCAAUGAAUGUAUUCCCUGUCGAACCUGUAAAAUUCAGGUGGCUUACACGUUUGUGGAUCAAAUUUGGUACUUUUUAAGUUAACUACAUGUUGCUUGAAUAACCUUAUAGAAGUGUGGCGGCUUACAGUUUUGUGGGUCCUACUUUGAUACCCCUUAGCUUUUAGUAUGGAUAUGAUUAACAUGGUCAAUCACAUUAGUUUUGUUAACAAUUCUUAUUGUCACCUUAGUAUGGAUAUGAUUAACAUGGUCAAUUCGCAUUAGUUUUUCCCCAUCCGAUGCGUCUCUUUUCACCUGCCCAGUUUACUUUUGGUUUUGGGCUUCAUUUUCUACAGGCUUCUCCAGUUCUCAUUGGUGAUCGGCAAGCAGUGGUUGAGGAAAAGAGGUCUACUAAUUCUCGACGUAAGUUUUAACCAUUUUCCUUUUAAGUAAUUAGAAUUACUGAUGCAUAAUCACCAGGAAAAAAUUGCAUAUUUGAUGUGUUUUUGGUGUAGUGAAGGGCGUGUUUCCAUAGUGGCUGCUUCUGUUUUGAUUUUUGGAGAAUAUUAUGUUGUUAUAUCACUUUCCUGGAAAAGCAUUGUGAAAAGAAAAAAGUGCAGAGCAAUAUUAUUACUUUUUCACAGUGAAUCUAAAUGUCUUCUCUGCUGCAGUUAACACCAGAGGUGGUGGUAGGUUUCAAUCCGGAAGGGGUGGUGGAUUCAGGAACGAUGGAGGAAGAGGGCGAGGAAACUAUGUAGGUGGCAGGGGCUAUGGUCGAGAUGAUUUUAAUGGAAGAAAUGAGUUCAACAACAGGGGUGGGAAUCGUGGGGGUUCAUCAAACCGUGGAGGUGAAGGAUAUCGGCGAGCUGACAAUACAGGUGGUGGGCGAAUGAGUCGUGGUGGUGGAAUGUCUAAUGGAACAGCCAAAACCCCGACACCUCGCUAUUCUGCUACAGCUUGAAGAGUAGUAGCUUAGUAUUAUUAUUUGAAUUGACAUUUAAAAUGAUUUAUUUUUAAGCUGAAGAGAAAUUUUGUCAAGAGCUAUGAUGUUUCUCAAAAAGCUCUUUUUGCUAAGUUUUCUAGUUCAAUUUUUUUUUUUCUGGUUAAUCGGAUGGGUGGAGGAAGGAAUGAAGUUUUUUUUUUUUUUUUAAGUAGAUUUCUUUGUGUAGCAUACGGGUGUUGGAGCCCCUAGCAAGAGAUUAUACGUCAUUCGUGGGCUUUUGCCUUUUUUGUAUUGAAUUAUUGUUGGGGGCUUGUGGAAAUUUAUUUAUUUUAAUUUCUCUUUUCAGUUUGACAAAAGAAAUGUUUUUAUUUUAUUUUGUUAUAUAUUUGGAUAAGCUUGUGCAUUGGGGACGCAUAUUACAAACCUUGUAAAACACAAGAGUAGGGAUGAGUCUGGAUCUGGUAUAGGCAUAAUGUUGAGAAAAAUGAACAAUGGGUCUAAUUCAAUCGACACUUAACAAGAAUGAGCUAACGUUAGAUCCAGCUCAGUCUGAUAUUUAAGAAGUCAAACCUUGCAAGUCUAACAAGGUUAAUAACAAUUGGUGCCCAUUUAAGCACCAAUUCACAAUGAAUGCACCUGCAUUUUGUUGGCUAACAGCAACGUAUUCAUCAGAAUCAUAUAUAAGCAGACUGAGAAAUCAUCUAAAGUGGUCUCAUUUUCAUAUGAUAAUAACAACACACUUACUGAUCAUAAGCAUCUGAUACAAGAUAUUUAAAGUCGACGGCCUGGAGGAAUCAUUCAGCAGUUUUGGGUACUGUUUAUUGUUAACGAGAGAGUUCACUUGCAAACAAGAUUGUUGUGUAUACGAAGCUCUAAAAUCUAAAUCAAUAUUCAAAAGGAAAUCAUAUCUAAAACACCACACCAGAGUGACAACAAGAAAAUAAGUUGCUUAAUCGUGAAAUCUGUAAUACAUUAACCCACAAAAUUGCAAAUAUCUCAACUCUGACAGUAGCCUUCUGAAAUAAUAUAACAAGAUAUAUUAUUUUUACUUCUGGUCCAUAAAAAUAGUAAACAUCGUAUAGACAAUUGAAAACUAAAGCUAAACUGCUGCUCGAGAAAAUAAAUAAGACUUGGAUAGACAAGAUACCACCUACGGCAUAGAAAAUGAACACUAGUUUUCCGUGUGACAGAGCAGGAACAAGUCAUAUUGAGGGAUGCUUGCAGGAAUAGCUUGCUGAACCCGACAAGCAAAUAUCCACCUGAUCUCAUGUACUUAGAAACCGAAAUUACACCCCUGCACGUACUCAUUUUCAUAAUCCACAUACUUCGUCCAUAGAGGCCGA
Molecule: long non-coding RNA, 89717 nt
Filed under: Solanum tuberosum (potato)
Lineage: Eukaryota; Viridiplantae; Streptophyta; Magnoliopsida; Solanales; Solanaceae
Description: long non-coding RNA (STUB_LNC006893)
Source: RNAcentral